UGGAGUUCUGCAUCUGCUUGCUGCUCACAAUCCUUGGCUAUGUCCCUGGAAUGAUCUACGCGAUUUACGUCCUUGUUGCUCUCGACUCUGACCGGCACGAGAGGGAAUACUAUACCCUUGCGUAGCCCAUUUGCUUGUGUCACGCCUAGGAGCUUUGCAGUGCAUAGUAGAGUCAAGUUGCUAUUUUCAUGUGGAUUAUCAAGUGGUCCUGUCCGGAGUCUGGUCUUUCUUUCCUCUCUUGUGUCGCUUGACAGUCAUAUUUCAGUCUGUUAAGUACUCGAACAGUGGUCCAGUUUAUCCAUUCUGUAAUUGUGAUGUGAGAGAAUAAGAUGGACUCCUAUUUCUGAGAGCCAUUGUGAUUUAUGAUUGGUGCUAUCAUGCAAUUGUACACUCUCAAUUCUCCCUCCAUUCUCAUCGAUAUAAUGGUCGAUAAUCUUUUAUUGCUUGAGUUGAGAUGAUGAUGUCUACAUGAGCCAUUUGUUCAUGCUUUAUCAGCCUACCAAUUUCAUUGUCGAAGAAAUGCCUUACUUUGUAACCAUGCUACGCCGGAUCGCAUAGUUUGAGCAUGGCAAAUUCGUGGCACUGGUUUUCUUUAUAGCUGCAAUCAACAUUUACAUUGUCGGACACUGAAAUUCGAGGUUAUUCCGCCCUGGUGUGUGGUGAGCUGCUGGCACCAUUUUUUUUACGCAAAAUGCUGGUUAUCCACAGCUAGUGAAAAACUUGUGUUGUGCAGAAAUUCAGAUUUGUCUGUUAUUCCGACCUCUUGACUUUGCACAUAUCGUCACUGAGAUAAACUAAGAGUGUUUGCCGAACCUUGCUGCAAUUGAUUCUGUCACUCCGCCGCGCUGCCGCGAGCGUGAUCCGUGCUUUCCGAACGACAUCUUCAUAUGCCGACGACGGUUCCGCGCGCAGCCUGUAAAAUAGAGCCAAAAAUGCUUCGUUCCCGGUGCUGAAUGUUCGUGCCCAUGUGCCGCCCAGCGAUUCUGCUAGAUCGCGAGCCACCUGUGUAGAUUGCGCGCAGCCGCUCCGGGAGCUUUGUUUAUUGGCGCUUCGGAUUGCAGGGAUCCUGUCUGCGUUGCUGUACGGAGGAGACGCUGCUGGUAAUCUGCGACGGCGAUAUGCUGGCUGAUUCAGGUGGCCCCGUAGUGGGCGCGUUCGGGGCAGUAUCACGUCUGAUUCGCUCCUGCGCUGUUAACGCCACUGCUUCUGAUUUUGUCGUCGCGUUUGGGUACUCCACGGGUUGGCUGGCGUCAUCGGUGACCUAGAAGUUGAGGAGGGGAGGAUCAGUGAGAAGAUACGCGUCGUUGGUAACAAGAAUCAGAGCGUCGGGUUUGUCGUUCCAACAGACCCCAAGCACGAACGAUGUGCAGCCAACUAUGUUAGCCACUGGCAUCUUACAUCUUUCUACUAAUCAGCGAGUCAGCAGGCUGCAAGCCGCCACGAAGCUGCUGAUUCGUUUCCGAAUCAGCCGAGCUUUAGCUCCUGCAUUUGCAUCUGCUGCGCCCUUGCUCUGUCGGCAGGAUGCGCUGGGCGGGGACAAAGAAGAAAAUGGAGCCAUCCCGAAGAAAGAAGAUGAUGAGCGUUGAAUGGACCCAGCCCAAUGGGUGGACUUGGAGAAACAUGUUCCCCACGGGCGGGCCCCCGACCGACGAGCUCUGCAGGUUUAAUCGUGCUGGGCUUUACAGACAGCAACGCUUGGAGAGGCCCGACCGAGUAAUAAGGCCCAUCCUGAAAAAAGGUCCAGGUCCCAUCAGGGAGGAAUCGGGAAGUUCAGUGAAAAAAUCAGCUGAAUUUUGAGCGCGGCGGAGGCGGCAGGCCAUCGUGGUCGGCAUCUCAUUCCCCGACCCCGAGUCGUCGAUUGCGGCGUGGAGGGGGCGCAUCUGAUUGGAUCCGCCAGGCGCCAGCCUACGGGGUUUCGAGUUUGACGGUCACGAACGGCUCCCGGCCUUGUCUGCCUCACGGUCAGGUCAGCAGUUAGGUACUACGGGUCAGAUGGCCGUGAUCCCGCCGGAUCUGAGAGCCGGAACAAUGGUCAGAAAGCAUUUUCACGCCUGCUCGUGCUGUUUCAGCGACCGCAUGAAAGAGGCCGUGUUAUGCGGCUACCACGAGGAGAGCCUCGACAGGGUCAGUGAUUACAUGCCCCCUCAUCAGUCGUCACGUUUCUUCCCAUGGCAUCCUGGCCCUACACGCCUCGCUAUAAGCUGAGCGCACCGAACAUGCGCAGAACAGCAGCAGGGGUUCCAUCAUCCGUGGCAUCAUCGGAUGUUCCAGCGAUGAUUUCGGUAGGGCAAGCAAGAACGCUCGAUGGAAACGAACAGAGAGUGCCCGCUACUGUUUGGAGCUUUUUAAAGGAUGGUCAGGAACGAUAACCCAAAGAAAGCUUGCUCGUCAGGUGGUUUAUAUGGCACCACGCCAGAGCGGUCGGCGGGUUGUCCAAGGGCGGUGCCUUGUGCCGCUGCUCGUCGGGGAAGCUCGACAUGGACUUGACGUCUCCUUAGACCAUACUCCAUUUCCACACAAUCCGCGCAGCAGAACUGUGAACCGAGGCAUGUGGGCGUGCGGGUGUGGCUGCCACUUUUACUCAACCUGAUCCGAUUCCUAGGCGCACUCUCCUCAGCUCAGCUCGGCACUGACUUGGAUGCCAUAUUCUGCAAGCAACUGCGGCCUGCGGGUAGGCUGGCCCUUCCCGUCAGGGCAAUGCUAGCUAAGCUGAGCUCAGGAAGCCUUGCUACGGCGCAUCACUUUUCUAACCUUAUUACCUUGCAUCAAAACUGUUCAUCUGUUACCAUCCGUCUUGGAAGAAUACGUUUUUUCUACAUGAGAAAAGAAAUCCAGUCGUGUUUAUAGUUGCUUCUGUUCACCUGACGUAACCACCCAGACACGAAUUACGGUCUUGUUUGGCCUUUUUUGUUACCCCAAAAUCUCAACUUUGACACUACGAAAAAAGAAAAUUCCCCAUCACAUCAAAUUUACGGUACAUGCAUAGAGUACUAAAUAUAGACGAAAUAAAAAACUAAUUGCACAGUUUGGUUGUACUUUGCGAGACGAAUCUUUUGAGCCUAAUUAGUCAAUAUUUAGACAAUAAUUCACAAAUACAAACGAAACGCUACAGUAUGGUACAGUACUGUCACAAUGAUUUAACGCUAUGGCACAAUGAUUUUGGUUGUCCAAAAUCAGGCAACUAAACGGGGCCUACUAUGCUUCGAUGUCGGCAAAGCCAGGUCAGUAAUCUUGCCAGACACAGAGUAUGACCACGACCACGUCCGACGUCCCUGAUUGAGGCGGGCAGGUUUCUUCCAGCACCGCGAAUGGUGGCGGCACGAGCUCGCGGCAGCCAAUAGCGGCCGGUUGCCGUCCCGAAUGGUCAAACCGUCGCAGCAAUGAUAGAAUAGAAUGGAAGCCGCAGCGUUUUCUUCAGUUUCGUUGCGAAGCGGACAAGGGCGCGGCCGCGCGGCCGGCCAGCGGAAGAAAGAAAGAUGCCACGCCAGCGGCCACCAACCGCGGGCAAGUGGAAACCGAAAGCGAGGUGGGGCGGCGCGUGGGCGGACGGGACGGGACGGCAUCAUGGAGGUCGCUACCACCAACCGCGGGCGCCCGGGGCGGGGGCGCCUGCCUGCCUGCCGCGCGCCGCCCGCUGGCUGCCGUGGAAAACGAGGGCACCCCGCGCCCGCUCCCGGCUCCCUCCCGCAUGCGGUGGGUUCCACCGCGCUCCCACUACUUUCCCCCACCCCGCGCCGCGGUGCAGUACCGUCCACCGCGCUGCUGGCCGCGCCAAUAGCCGCCGCUGCGCGCUGAUUCGUGAGCCCGGGACACGGGAUCCCUCCCGUGAUCUCCCUGCCCGCGCCGCGGACGCGUCCCCGUUCCACCCCCCAACCCCGCGCGCGGCGCGCCCGCGGUCUCCGCUGCGCCGUGUUCGCGGCCGCGGGGCCGGAUCCGGUCAGCGCUGGCGUCACGCCCCACUCCGCGGCCGCCCCACCCCGGCGCCUGCCUGCCUAACCUAUGCUAUGCGCUCCGACGCGCGCCUCCACUCCACCCCGCCCCGCCCGGCCCACCGCGCGCGCCUCGCUGACGGCCGGGGCCCCGCGCCCCUCCACCUGGCGGGCGCGGGCAGUUGGCGCGCCGGGCGCACGCGGGCGGUGGGAGGAGGAGGCCGGGAGGAAGAGGACGUUGGACGGGCCGAGCCGUGGGGCCCCCGGCCGCCUCCCCGGUUCCCGGUCUCCCACUUUCCGCGGCUGCGCUCCCCCACCUCGUGCAGUCGUGCUCUCUCUCUCCCCCUUUCCUUCGCCCCCGCGUAGACGAUUCCUACCGAGCCGCGGACGGAGGAGACGGAGCAGGAGGCCAGGAGCAUUUUCUCCCCGCAAAAUCCUGCGCCCUUCUCCUGUGCAUUUGGGAGCUCGGCUCGGAUCCCGCCGCCCCCAUCCAGCCAUCCUGCUCUCUCUCUCUCUCUGUGUGUGUGUGUGUGUGUGUCUCGUUCUAGGCCUUACUGUUCUCUCUCAGUCACCGCCAGCUCGAUCUCCUCUUCCUCGCCGCGUUGCGUUCCUUCUGCUCGCUUGCCUAGGAUUGGAAUAGGACUUGGCACGCGGGCUUCUUUCCGCUGAAAUCUCUGCCGUGUUCCGAGCAAUUUCUGCUCGAGCGCGCCAUCUGUUGCCACUUGCCAGCAAAAAAACAGUGGAAACCGCCUUGCCUUUCUAGUGUAAGCAAGCUUUCACCUCCCGGAAUUUGCUUCUUUUGGUCAAUCUUUUCGGGGCUUCCAGGUCUCAGCAUCACCAGUGCCCCUUUUGCCGCGAUCUUUCUGUCUGAUCACUGCAGUUUAAGCUCGGAGCACCUCCUUUUCAGACAAUUCAGUCCGCUAGCUGUUGAUCCCAUGCGGCGGUAGCUUCAGCAAAGAUCCUACCAUGCCGCAGGCUCCUACAGAGCCGUUCGCCGUGGCGUAGCUGUAGCCUCGCUGACCCCGAUUGGCCUGCGCGGGCUCCGAGAUUCGGAUUCGGGUUCCUUCUUUUCGGCUCCCGCGCCCGCCAUGAACGGCCUCCCCGACGCCGACGCUGCGGCGCCGCUGGCGGCCGCCGCGCCACCGCAGAAGCGCGACGAGUGGAGCGAGGGCGGCAUCGUGCGCCUGCUCGAGGCCUACGAGGCCAAGUGGCUGCUGCGGAACCGCGCCAAGCUCAAGUGGAGCGACUGGGUCGACAUCGCCCGGGAGGUGUCCGCGCAUUGCGCCGACGACGCCGCGGCCGCGGGGAAGGCCCCCGGCGGCGGAGGCGGCAACAGCGCCAAGACCCCCAACCAGUGCAAGAACAAGAUCGAGUCCAUGAAGAAGCGGUACCGGGCCGAGUCCGCCGCGGUGGCGCGCGCAGGCCCCGCCGCCGCCGGCCCGUCGUGGCGGUUCUUUGCCCGUAUGGACGGACUCCUUAAGGGUCCGGCCAUCUGCUCUGGUCAGGUGCCACAGGCAGAGUUGGGUAACAGUAUAGACCUGCGAGCUCCGGCGAAAGCAGAGGCCGAGGUAGUAGAAGCAGAUUUUGCCGCGCAGUUGCCGGAUGCGGGUCCUGGUGCAUUCUCUGAUCUGAUGAACAUUGACACAAAUGGCGCUGUCCCGGAGAAAGCGGAGAAGGUUGACAACAGCGUGCAGAAGGAGAGCAGGGCUGCAGAUAGCGAUGCCAACGUGAGCUCUCCAAGGAGUAAGGUGGCGAACGAGGACGUAGAGGAGGUGGACAAGGUCAGGGACCGGCCCAAGAAGAGAAAGAGCACAGAGUUUGAUAUAGCCAAGAGCAUCGAGCUGCUGGCUAGCUCAUACUUGAAGAUUGAGCACGCCAGAAUGGAGAUGUACAGGGAGACAGAGAGGAUGAGGGCUGAAGCUGAGAUUAAGAAGGGGGAAAUGGAGCUCAAGAGAACAGAAAUCAUGGCAAAAACGCACUUGCAGAUCGCUAAGCUUUUUGCAAAGAGAUUGAAGGAGGGCAGUGGCAAGACUGGUGGCAGCUCGUCAGUAACAGCUGAAGUGGACACCCAUACCAAGAAAGGCGAGAAUGGUUAGUGUCGACACAACAUCCCGAUAACAUGUUUAUAAUUCUGCAAAAGUUCCUAAAAUUCGAGAUAAUGGAUCAAUAUGUAGCUUUCUCUCUGUGAGAGUGCCCCAUUUGCUAAGUCUGUACCUCUAUGUCUGUUCCUGAAAUUCAUGAAUAGGAUGGAAACUUCAGCCUAAAUUAAUUAUAGCAGUCAGAAGUUGAUUACUAUGUAAAAUUGUAGGACACCUUGAGAAUUUGUGUAGUGGUAGAAGUGUAACAUUUUCAUUUUGCAGCUGUUGUCUGCUUUUCCUUAUUCGUAUGUAAUUGUUAGCAAUCCACAUGUGGAUCAUCAUUUCCCCAUUAAAGACUGAAACUACCAGUACGAAAUAUUUAUGUCUGCUAAAACUUCACAAUUAAGACUUCAUGUGAAUUCUCCAUUAACAUGAAGUCUUAAUUGGUAUUGUGAGUUAAGAUCUUGCCAUAUUACAUUGGCAUAUGUGCUUAUUUAGAUAUUGUUCUGGGACCAUAUUUUCUUAUUUCUUUACUGGUGAUAGAAGGGAUUGAUUGCAGACUGAUAUAAAGAUUUUGUUUCAGAAUGCAGAUAUUGCUGCAAGGAAUAGAAUACAAUUUUACCUCUUUCACAACCCAAGAAAAUACUUUACCUAAAUAAAAUGAUCACAUAUGUUCCGAACACAUGUCAGCUGAAAUUCACUACUCAAAUACAGUGCCCCAAUAAAAUGAUCUUUUAUUGUGCAAAAUAAACUGUAAAUGUUUAAAACCAUCUAAUUGCUCCAUAUGCAUGCUUUAGCACUUUUGAUUGGUAAUGAUUUGUAUUCAAGUGCAAUUCUGAAAUUUGUACAUCCCAAAAGCAUAAUCUAAAAGAGUGAUCCCAUCAUUCUGACAACAUUCAGGUGCUAUUAAUAGACCGAGCUUAGUGGUUGUGUACUCUAGGAAGCAUUGAUGUGUCAAUAAUAGGCUUAAAACGUUGAAGUUUAGGGUUACUUCUUGUUUCCUCUGUAUUCAGGUGAUAUUUUUAACUUUCUAAGAAGAAUCCCUUCCCUAAUGUAUGUAACCAAGAUUGACCUAAUAGACGUCGAGGUAUGCUUGUUUUAUUAUGAAUCUGUUCGCCUGCUAGCCUAUAUGAAGAUUCAGCCACACAUGUCAUAUUGAUGGCAUUGUGCUAGCACUAUGAUGUUUUACUGUGUUACAAUAAAAUGAAAAAUAGGGCUCCGAAGUUCCUGAAGGAUUUGCAUUGAGAAGUUGUAACUGCUCUGAGUGAUUUUUGUUCUUGUGUGCUUAUUCUUUUUUGGUUCAGUACCUACUCCUAGUGUUUCUGUCACGGUUACCAUACAAAAUCUCACACCUCUCAAGCUACUCAGAUGUUACAUUGUCUGUUCCGUGGCCCCAACAAUAUUAUUGUGCUGUAUAAGGGACUGCAUUCCUAUAUCACAACUCUUUUACUGCUGCAUAAUAUUCCAAUUUCAAUUUGGAUUCGGAAAAGAGAAUUCAAACUACAGCUGUGCUUGUUUAAUUAUAGAACAAAUUUUGUUUGUACCAGAAGCAAUAUACUGAAUUUUGUACCUGCAUUGUCCACCUUAUAUUGUUUGCUGUGGCCAAUUCUCUUUCUCAACCUUGGACAUGUGAAUUUCAGGUUCAGGGUGAUGUGCCAUUCUCUCAUGCUCAGCAGCUGAUUCUAUUACCAAAGCAGGCUAGCCUUAGGUGUCCUUGGUAUUGCACUGUUCAUGUGCACCAAAUGUAUGUCUGAUUGAUCCAACUUCACUGCGAGCGUGGAGAAAAAAAAAAAGUCACAAAAUUAGAAUACAGAUGCUAUAAUGGCAGCGACGAUAUGGUUGUUACCCGGUUUGUGGAAUUACAGAAGCAAAUUUUGUAUCAGUGAGUUACAAGCCUGAAAGCUAUCCCCUUCUGUCUCUGAAGUAAUCUACUGACAUCCAUUAUUUGUAUAAGUCCAUCUCCAUGUUGUGAAGAAAUGAAGCAGCGGUCGCCAAUGCUGUGAUAAACUGUAUCUUGCUGAAGCCCUUUCCCCCUUGACUAUGUAUUGUAACUAGAUUUUGGAGAGUUUGACUAUAGGGAUCCAAUUCAAAGGUCGGCUAAGUGAAGAGCAAGUAUAAACUGAACUGUACAUUUUUUUGGGAAAAUUAUAAAAAUGACUUGUCUUGUUACUGUUACUACAGUAUAUUUAAACCGCUUCCUACUGCAAUGGUGACAGACGAGACGAGGCGGUCACAAUUGGCAAAGAAGCUGCCGUGCAAGGUAAGGUCUCACCGUAGUGUAGGCGGGGCAGGGUAAAAAUGUGAGAAGAAGCAAUUCUCAGGAAGAAAAAAAGAAAAAAAGAUUGGCGAUUCAAGAACUGAAAAACUCGAGUGCUCGGAUGGCCUCAAACCUUACAUUAGUUUGUUUCUAAUUCAUGUACGGGUAUUUAGAUUCCCCUCCAGAAAUAAUAUUGCCAGUUAAAGUACUUUUAUUUGAACUAAGUUAAAGUACUUUUGUAACGGAAAUACUAGUAACCACAGACAUACAUGUCCCCACAUGUCAGUGGCCUGUUACCAGGCUGGGAGGACUCCUUGUGUGGCCCAAGCUUUUAACAACCGGAUGUAUGCGAACGCCGAACGGGCAGUCACCACUUGGUCCACCCUCCUCCUCCCUCUGUCCCCUCUCUGGCUAAAAGAACCGCAAAAAGAUCGCAUUUUUUCUGCCUCCGUCCUUCUACUCGAGUUCUUCCGUUCUUCGGAGUCGUCAAAUUGAGCGACUCGAGUUUGCCAUGGUGGUGAUUUGGAACCGGAAGUGCUGUGCUCCCCCUCUGAUCCCCUGAUUGGCCUCGCUCCAGUUCGGCGCGGGAUUUGGACGGGUGGAGGGUGGGAGAGCAGAGGCGGCCGCCAUGUUUGGGUCCAGGGUCCAGGAUGAGGUGGAGAUGCAGAGGAGGCCUAACAACAGGUGCGGGCUUCAUUCCUUAUGGCUUUCCUUUUCCUCUGCGAUGUAUGGUUAGUUCUGAGUUCUGACCAUGUGGAUCCCCUGUUGGAAUGGAUGAGUAGCUGCUAGAAUUUUGCUGAAUUAGGAUUGACUUUCGUUAGCUGUACGGGGAGCGAGAUUUGGGUUCGAUUCUAGUCGAGAGGAGAUAAGAGGUGGUGGCGUAUAGCUUGCACAAUGGGUUCUUCACUACCUCUAGGAAUUGGAGAGGACCAAUUUGAAGCUUUGAUCCCGAUUUGAGCCUGGAUUUUAGUUGCUUUGCUGAAGAGAGGGGAGGGAUGAGCCUAGGAUUGAGAUUGAGAGAGCUUUGCUGGAGAUCAACCGGUCAAGUCCAGAAUAACGCUUUGGUGCUAAUCGGACUAGAUGGUUUUGGUGGGCAUGUCAGAAUCUGACGAAGUUUGUGAAAAUUGCUGAAUAAAUGGAAAGCAUCCACUGCAUUUCAUUUGUUUAAGCUUUUUUUUCCUUUCAUUUAUAUUCAGCUUCAUGUACAAGCUUCUUUGUCUUUCAACUAGCCUGAUUCCCAUGCAACUGCGUGGGCAAAAUUGAAUGACACAGUCUACAUAUGAUUAUCUACACUGUUAUAAUCUGGCAUGCAAAAGUAAGUGAUGUAGAUCCUUUUCUUUUUCUCUUGAUUAGUGAUUGUGAAGGAGAGUUUCUAGGGUUUUACCUUUCGAUAGAUUCUUGUGGGAAUUUCUAACCCUUAAAGGGAAGGAAGCGCCAACCAUCUAUGGGUAUAUAGAUGUAUCAUGAUGAACUAAUGGUUAUAGCCUAUGUGGGUGGAGAUGGUUUUUUUUGUGGGAUGCUAUGUUCAGAUGAUAAUUCUGUUGCUACUUUCUUUCAAAGCACUCUAUUUUAACCCAAAAUUAUGUUGAUCAUAUUGACACAUUUUACUAAUUCUUCUAAGUUUCUGUUCUAUCUUUAGGAUCUUUCCUGACGAGAGACAAAAUCAAUCUAAGCCAUUAUAUCAAGCUGCACGAGCCGAUAGAUUUGGGGCAAAUAGAAUAGAUGUGAAGAAUCCUGAGAAGCUUAAGAUGUUAAAUGAAGGCAGCAAACCAUGGCACCAGCGUAUUCUAGACCCUGGAAGUAAUAUUGUACUGAGCUGGAACAGGGUGUUCCUUGUGGCAUGUUUGUUUGCUCUUUUUAUCGAUCCUUUUUUCUAUUACCUUCCAUUAGUUAGAGAACACGGUAAUGGAUCUUCGUGUGUUGCCAAGGACCAGGGACUGAGCAUAAGAAUCACCGUUCUACGAUCACUUGCUGACUUGUUUUACAUGUUGAACAUAGCAAUCAAGUUUCAUACUGCAUAUGUGGAUCCAAAAUCCCGAGUCCUUGGAAAGGGAGAGCUUGUUGUGGAUAUUAAGAAGAUUCAACAAAGAUAUUUAAGAACUGAUUUCUUUGUAGACAUACUUGCAGCUGUGCCGCUUCCACAGGUAAAGACCUCACAAAAUUAAUUUGCAGCAGAUCUCGUUGCAUAAAUUAAUUGCUUAUCAUUUUCUUAUUUUUCCAUUUCUACUGGUAUAACAAACAGCUGUUGUUUAUAUAUGUUCGGUAGCAAUAACAUAUACGUACUCUUUUGAACUAAACUGGUUGAGUAGCAUCUAUGCGUCCAACUUUGGUUAGAUUCUUUUGGUAGGCCUCUGGGAUGAGCCCAUACCAUUAGUUCCCUUAAUAUAAAAGGUUAUUGAAGGAAGUCAUCUGGCCAGUGCUUCCUGGUAAUGUUACUAUUUCCUAUCCUAGCUAAUUGUUGUCAGUAACCAAAUAUACCUCCAGAUUGUGACUUCAAUAAGGUGGAGCCAGCUAGCUUUCUACCUGGUAGAGCCAAAAGACAAUUGGUUUGAUCUUUUUCAACUCAGAUCAUGUGUAUCAUCUGAAUCUAAUUAACGUCCACUUAGAUCAUAAGAAAACAUUAAAAUUAUGAAAUUUUACUGUAAUAAGCUAUCUUAGCCAAAUCCUUGUAGAACAUUUUUGCCUGUGUAGAUGAAAUUUUGAAUGAUGAUUAUCACAAAUACCGAAUACCCAUGACUUGGUUUGCUAGUUCAAACUUCUGUAGUGAUGACUUGAAUCUUUCUGGGAUGCCUUUGUUUUGCAGGUUACUGUGUGGUUAAUUAUGCCUGCGAUAAAAAACUCAGAUUAUAACGUCCGGAACACUGCAUUUGCUCUCAUAAUUGUGAUUCAAUAUGUCAUAAGAAUGUAUCUCAUCGUCCCUUUAAGCAAUCAAAUUAUCAAAGCUGUUGGAGUUGUUGCAAAGUCAGCUUGGGGAGGAGCAGCAUACAAUCUUCUACUCUACAUGCUUGCAAGCCAUGUAUGGUCAUCCAUUUCCAAUUUCACUUAUAAAAUUGCUGGGAUGCUAAUUUGAAUCAAGCUUUAUUUCAGCUUAUUUUUGUCCUAAGGGAUAUGCAUGAUUUAUUUGCUAUUUAAAAUUAAGCUUGCCUUUUCUUCAUAUGGAACCUAAAAUCAGUGUUAUAUUCUAUUUUUCUAUUUAUAUGCAUGCUUUAUAGUGGCAGGGCACCAGCCUGUGAAGGCAACCACCGAGCGGUAUGGUUUGGGCCCUCCCAUCUGGGGUAGUUGCACGUGAUUGCCAGUCCCCUAUAGGGCCCAGGUUACGAUGCGGCCCAAUAGUGUUUGGGGGGUUUCUGGGCCUGUAGAAGGUUGAUUUCCUUCUUAAUCGAAAUACCAUGGGGGCGAUCUUUCCCCCACCGUUCGAGUUUCUUUUUUACGCUGAUAUGACAAGCAUAUCGAUUAUCCUAGGAUGCACUAGAAUUCAGUCUCAUGAAACACUAUUGGAGUAGAUAUGCAUGUGAGCUCAAUUGUGAGAAACAAUGCGACCACUAUCAUCUUGCAUUUUUUUCGUUACACUUUUGUAUGCUUGAUACUAAAAUAAUGUCACUUAUGACUUGUGUACAUCGCUGCAGAUUACUGGUGCAAUAUAUUAUCUUCUCUCCAUCGAACGGCAGAUUACGUGUUGGGAUCAGCAGUGCCUUGCUGAGUCCAACGUUACAUCUUGCAACCUUAGAUUUAUAAGUUGUGAGAGUGAUGGUUCUAACAGUUAUUCUGAGUGGCAAAAGAAAACACAGAUAUUUGUCAACUGUAAUGCCAAUGACAAUUCUAUACGAUUUAAGUACGGAAUGUUUUCUAGUGCACUGAGUAAAGGCGCUGUCUCAGCUUCAUUUCUUGAGAAGUACUUCUUUUGUCUUUGGUGGGGCUUGCUGCAGCUUAGGUAGUGAUCUAUCAAGAUGUUCUGUUUUUUUUAAAGAUCCAUCAAGAUAUUCUAUCACCUUGGGUUAUGUAUGUCUCUAAUACAAUUACUAAUGUUAAGGUCUGUGUCUAUUGUCACCUUUCCAGUUCAAGCGGAAAUCCUCUUCAAACAAGUGCAUUUAUCGUAGAGAACGCAUUUGCGAUAGCAAUUGGUGCUAUCAGUCUCAUACUCUUUGCUCAGUUGAUUGGCAAUAUGCAGGUAAUGUCAUAAACUCUCACUUCUGUAGUGCAAUAAGAUGUUUUGGACUUGACAGUUCAUACUUUUUAUGCCCAUCUUGCCAAGUUAAUCCUAGGAUUGAAUUAGCAUGAAUAAUUGCAUCAUGUGUUAAAUUUGUAAGCAAUUUUGAAAACUGAACUAGUUUGGCAAAAUUAUCAUGUAUUCAGUUAUAUUAUGAUGAUAUGUGUUAGGCUAUUUUAACUUUCUGUCAUUUUUUUGCUAACAAGCUAGAGGAUAACUUCCAUUUCAUGGUUUGAAAUUUCUGCUAAAAAUAAGGCUAUUACUGUUUCUGUAUUCAGUGAGCCAUUUUUCAUAUUGAUAGACCUCUUGAUGUCUGAUUCAGAGAUCACUUUGUAUUCUUUUCUUCUUUUAGACAUACCUGCAGUCUAUCAGUAAAAGGCUUGAGGAGUGGAGGCUGAGGCAAAGGGACAUGGAUGAGUGGAUGAGACAUCAUCAACUCCCAGCUCAUCUUCAAGAACGUGUCCGGCGGUUUGUUCAAGUUAAAUGGCUUGCGACACGAGGAGUAGAAGAAGAGUCCAUCUUGCAAGCUUUGCCUGCUGACAUACGCCGGGAUGUGCAGCGACAUCUUUGUUUGGACCUUGUUCGACGUGUAAGUUGCGGUUAUACUAUCAUCUCGCAGCUGAAUAAGUAGAAUUUUUAGCCUUUGAUUGUUGAUGGAAUGUUUACUGUAUUUGGAUGGAAAGAAACAAACUGUCACUCUGUUGCUAAUUGCAAUUGCUUCUAGUGCUAGUUGAAACUUGAUAUACAUUCCAUGGCAUGCCUCUGAUUCCAUUCUUCAAUGCAGGUCCCUUUUUUCUCUGAGAUGGAUGACCAACUUCUUGAUGCCAUCUGUGAGCGGCUGGUGUCUUUCCUGUGCCCUGAGAAUACAUACAUCUCUCGCGAGGGUGAUCCUGUGAAUGAGAUGCUUUUUAUUAUACGUGGCAAACUAGAGAGUUCAACAACCAAUGGUGGCCGCAGCAACUUCUUCAACUCUAUCAUCCUGCGCCCCGGUGAUUUCGCAGGUGAAGAACUGCUCACAUGGGCCCUGCUUCCGAAGACCAACGUCCACUUCCCGCUUUCAACAAGGACCGUGCGGAGCCUCACAGAGGUGGAAGCCUUUGCUCUGCGAGCUGAGGACCUGAAGUUCGUUGCAAACCAGUUCCGAAGGCUCCACAGCAAGAAGCUCCAGCACACAUUCCGGUUCUACUCCCACCACUGGAGGACAUGGGCUGCCUGCUUCAUCCAGGCGGCGUGGCGGCAGCACCAGAGAAGGAAGCUGGCUGAAAGCCUCAGCCGAUUGGAGUCAUACUCAUGGUGGUCAGAGGAUCAUCUGGCUGCUGAUAAACCCAGACAAGAAGGCACCUCAAGUGGUGGUAGGACGAUUGCUGAGGGUGCCAUUGCCCAUAUGCAUAAGCUCGCAUCUGCUUCCAGAAGGUUCCGUGCCAAGGACACUGCUAUUCGCAGGUUGCAGAAGCCUGAUGAGCCUGACUUCUCCGAAGACCAUUUCGAUUGAACCUGAUGCUUUGCAGCUGGAAAUACACGUUGUACAAUUACAACCAUAGUGUAAUUUUAUAUUCUUACUAAACAAGAAUUCUAGGUGUUGUGAAUUGUGAUAGAAAAGGUGUAUCAUGUAAUCCUUAGCUCGAGAAUCUACCCUGUUAGUGUAUAGACUUCAUCUUUGCAGUGCAUAUGGACUUGAGAGUUCUGAAGCCUCAUAUAUUGAGUUUCAGAGAUGCCAAUGAAUCUGGACGAUGCUCUGUUCAGGGACAGCAGCGCCAGCACUGACUUGGUACUUGGUUAGCACUGGUGUGGUGUCUGGUGACAAAAGAUUUAGCUCAAGCACUGUCCAAUGUACAUUGAGAUUCGUGAUCCCGAAGCUCUUGUGCUAUUUGGCUUUUGCUCUCUGGUCUCAGAGCCUCCGCCCUCCGUCUUGCUCACCUGAGUCACCUACUCACCUCCCCUAUCCGCCGCGCCCAAGCCUCUCGGCUUCGUCGGCGUCUUCCUCGCUCAGUCUUCACCGCAGUAAGUGAGAUUGAAAUGAGCUUAGCAUCAGAUGCUAAUCCCCUCCCCUCUUCGUUCGAUUCCGAUUUUGUUUUGCGUUUUUCUCUUGGCAAAGUUAUGCGAUAGCUGAGCUGCGUUGUUCGUGAUGGUCAUUUCACCCCCCAAUCCAGCAGUGGCAUGAGGGCGGGGCGGCCCAAGAUCGGCGACCAGGCGACCAGCGACGUGGUUGUGCGGCUACGGACACCGGAGGGCCGCGACGAGUGGCUCUACUGCCACUCCGCCGUCCUCGCCGCCGGCAGCACCUACUUCGCCGAUCGCCUCUCCGACGCCUGGCCGACGUGCCAGAUCCUCGGUUCGCGCUACUGCGUCGAGGUCUACUGCCAGGAGCUCGACCUCAGCUCCCAUGUCACCGCGCUCCGCCUCCUAUACGCCGCCGAGCCCUGCUCCCGCUUCGGCGUCCGCGGCGCGCUCGGCGUACUCCAGGCCGCCGUGAACCUCGGCUGCGCCCAGAUCGCCGCCGCCUGCGCCGGCUACAUCGAGUCCGCCCCCUGGGACGAGGCCGACGAGGAGGAGAUUCUGAGGACCGUCCCCGGCCUCGGCGCGCAGUACGAAUACAUCCUUGCGCGUCUCCGGCCGAUCGAUCCGGCUCCGGUAACCAGCAUCUUCCUUUCGGCGUUCCGGCACGCCACGCGCUCGUCCGCAGCUGGGCCGGCGCGGGAGCUCAAGUCUGCAGCUCAGGAGCAACUGGAGUAUAUGCUCACCGAGGAUGACGACACACCAUUGGUAGCCCUUGACAACAUCGAUGUCAAGUCUCAGGUGAAGGAAUGUGUCACUGGUUUGCUGAACAGGUUCAGUGAUUUCUUGAGUUCUGUACCGACGAAGCAGAAGGAGACGCCUCUUGUUGGUGACAAUGGCGAACUUCAGCAGGAGCUGCACACAUUUGUUUGUGACGUCUCCUGGGUCUGUCAGGUCUUGAGCAAGCUUGAGAUGGUGAAGUGCAUUGUUCUCUAUUGGGUUGGAGUGUCAUCUGAUGUGGUUGAAGCUGUCGAUGCAGUAUGCCCUGGGCACGACUGUCUGAAUACCAGGCUGAAGGUGGUAGAGGUGUCUGCAAAAGUACUGGAGGCUGUUGCGUUUGGCAAUAUUGUUCUUCCAACUGAGAAACGUCGUCAUAUGGUGAAUGUCUGGAUUGCCUUUGCAGGAACAACAAAGGCUUUGAUUGUUCAGGCCGAUCGCGAUGACGACGAUGAUGGUGAUGUCGAGACACCAAAGGCAAACCUGGACAACGAGAUUUGGCAGGGGCUGGAGUCGGCAUUUGUUUCAAUUGUGCUGACACUGCCGUCAAAUAGUCAAGCUGAGAUUUUAUCAGAGUGGCUCCAGUCAAAACAUGUUCGAUAUCCUGACUUGACAGAGGCGUUUGAAGCCUGGUGUUACAGAUCGAAGGUUGCCAAAAGAAGGUUCUCUUUCUUGAGUGACAUUGAUCGCGUAUCUUGAUCCUUGACUAGUCUAAUCGCGCUGUGGAAAAUGCCAUUUUGUUCAUAUUCCUACCAUCUGACUCUCGAACUUGUCACUGAUAGGAUUGAGUUGCUGCCUUUCACUGAAACAGUCAUAAUGGAGCUCCAUUAUCUUGAUUCGAACUCACCCCAGAUCAGGUUGUCAGUUAAGUUUUGGUGGAUUAUCUGCUUAUGAACUUACAUUGAACAUCGCUGAUGGAAUACACAGCAGUACACAGCACUAUCGAGAUAAAGUAGCCGACAGAACAUCCUGGUCGAUAUACACAAGUCAUGAUCUGCACCUGCAUGUGGUUGAAGCUAUGCUGCAAAAUUGGAACAGACGCUGCUGUGGUUGGCAAAUGACCAAAGCAAACCGGAGAUACCUGAAUUGAACAAGUUCACAUGCUUUCGCAAUUUUGUUAGAAGAUGCACAGCUAUGUUGAUGCUCCCCUUUCUCAGGUUUUGUUACCUCCAGCGUGAUGCUGGAGGCUUAGCCGCAUGUGCAGUGCUGAAAAGGGCUCUUGCUGCCAGAAUGAGGAGAUACCUGUGGUUCCUAUUGAAAUUGACAAUAUCAGUUAUAUCACAGUAUAUGUCUUGAAUCUUGAUAGCAUCAAGUGGCCGACUCUUGACAGGCGGGAUGGCAGCCAGAUUUAGUAGAUUACGCACCAUCCCUUGCUCUCCUCGAGGCAACAGUCUGUGAUCAAUAGGGCAUCAUUUCCUGCCCGCAGAAAAGAAAUUUGUAAUAAGUUGGUGUGAGAUCAGCUAAUCUUGUCUUUGAGGAAGUAAUCGGGGAUCGUGUGAUCUGUUAAUUGAUUGAGUAUUGAUCAUGAGAUGUUGACAAGCAUCCAUGUGCCUGUCUCUUUUUGCUCGUGAGGGUUGCUUUGCCGAGUCACCACCAUGUUCUAAAUCGCGCAGUAUAUAGUAGGCAGUGGAAAACUGAAAUUGACGACUUUAACUGCUGAAUGUAUUAUUAACAUCUACUGAGUAAGGUAAUCAGUAACAGCGCCCAUGGCCUAAUGGAUAAGGCGUCUGACUUCUAAUCAGGCGAUUGUGGGUUCGAGUCCCACUGGGCGUGCAAUUUACUUUUUUUGUGUUUUUAUUCCCCCCGCUGGCCUGCCUGGAUACCUCUGCGUCCAUGUGCGUCGAUGAGAACCCACAGCAUAGUAAGCCAAGCCUUCUGGUCGGUUGACAACCAGGAAGAUCGGAACUAGAUGCAAGCAGAGCAUUCAGGACUACUGCUUUUGGCUGUCCGUUUUGCCUAAUCUGGCUCCAACAAGACGUGGUCUACUCCCCGAGCUUUCUCCUGAAGGCCCCUUGCCGCCGUACGCCCGUACCGAGAGGCGAGAGAGAUCGAUCAAUGGCGCGGUUUGCAUGGCAGCGCUUGAUGGCAAGAUGUUCGCGUGAGCUUGUGCUACCACUACAAGCUGCACAAGGGCAGAAGGGCUACAGCUGAUCAUCAGUCAUCACUGGCCACCGAUAGAGAAAUUGCCUAUCUGUAUAUUAUUGACGAGUCCAACACUAGUUGCUGAGUCCAACUUGAAUGGACGGACGCUCUAGAUGAUUGAUCUCUGUACUGAAACUACAUGACUGCAACUAACUAUACUCAUGCGGUGCUAAAGCGAUAGAGCAGCUCUCGGUCGAUCGUCUGCUACAACUUUUUUCCUUCGUGAUGACGAGUAGUUGUACUGGUUGUUAUCACUGCCAUGGCAAAUCAGCUUUCUCAAAAGAGCAACAAAAGUCUUGCUGGCUCCUGUAGUAGCUUGUUGAUAGCUCUGCGACAAGGCCACACGUGCUGUUCCGGUCCGCAAACGCCAUCAAAUUUCCACUGUUAACGUCCCCUAUCCUGGAUCUGGAUGCGUGCUGGACAUGAACUCGUGUAGAAAGAGCUAGUAAAGCGUUCGUUGUGGAAAUGCUUGCAAGUUUACUAUGCGUAUACUCCAUAUACAGUCCAUAUACACACAUGGACAUUUUGUGUUUCCUGAGAACAUCUCGAUCGAUCGAUCGAUGUGUCGGCACGUCGUCGCUCCUGGAACUAGUAGCGAUCUUGCAAAUAGCUACUGCAUUUUCCAUUAAAGAUUUUUUUUUUGGGAUGCCAUUUCCUUCGAGUUCGGGAGAAAAAGAAGAAGCGUAGGGUUUUUUUUUUUUUUUUUUAGAUCAGAACGUAGUACAAUCGAGAGGGGAUACAGGAAACAUCAUGUGCAGCGGGGCCUGUCAGCCCAGGAAAUGGCCCAUUGCCUGGCUGGCCCAACCAAACCAAGCGGCUGCCAAGCCCACGAAAUGGCCUCCUUCUCCUGGCCUCCUGGGCCGGGCCUGUCAGCCGCAGCGUACAAGAGGCUUGACCAUUCGAAUUCGCAAACUAGAGUAGAAGACGAGUAGACGCACGUAUCCAGAAAAGGAAAGUGCCCGUUCGUUUCAAAAAAAAAAAGAAAGAAAAAACAAAGAAAAGUGUUCCAAUUCCCAAAUGUCCACCGCCACCGGCCGGCGGCCGCCGCCGCGCCGCCAUUCCAGAUCUGCCAUGGGGGUGGUCGCCGGAGCCAACGGGAAGGGGAGGCAGCCAGCAGAAGAGGAAGGGCAAGGCCCGGACUACACCAGCGGCCUUCCGGACGCCGUCCUCGGCGACAUCGUCUCCCGCCUCCCCACAAAGGACGGCGCUCGCACGCAGGCCCUCUCCUCCCUGUGGCGCCACGUGCGGCGCUCCGCUCCCCUCAACCUGGACCUCCGCUUCCAUCCCAUCCCCCUCGGCAAGGUGCCCCGCGUCCUCUCCUCGCACCCGGGCCCUGCCCGCCGCUUCUCCACCUCCGCGUGCUACGGGAAGCUCCGCGACGCACCGCCGUGACCCUGGACGGCUGGCUCCGCUCCCGCGCCCUCGACGGCCUCCAGGAGCUCGACUUCCACUACGACAUCCCGGCUCGGGAUCGGGGGAAUCCUCCGCCGCUGCCCGCACCGGCACUCCGCUUCUCGUGCACUCUUCGCGUCGCCAGAUUCUGCUUCUGCCGUUUCCCGGAUGGAAUCGAUGUCCGCUUGCCGGUUCUCGAGGAGCUGCACCUUUCGCAUGGCAUCAUCUCGGAGAGUUCUGUGCAUGCCUUGCUUCGCCGGCUGCCCUGUUCUGCAGAGGUUGCGGCUAACUUACAAUGAUGGCUGCACUAGUGUUCGGAUCGCGUCCCCUACCAUCAGAAGCGUUGAUGUAGGUCGAGGUUCGGGAGACCUCGGUUUGCAGCAACUCGUCAUCGAGGAUGCUCCCUGCCUGAAGAGAUUACGUCAUGAUACUCCUAUUUCACAUCACAAGAUGAUGGACAUCUUGGUGAUCUCGGGGCCAAAAUUGAGCAUUUUGGGGCGUAUCUAUGAUCACUUUCCCAGAUUUGAGAUUGGCACCACAGUUUUUAAGGUACAUGCGCUUUUAUCUUUAUAAGAAUCUCAAGUCUCUUUGCUUCAUCAUGGUGUCAACUGUCAAUCUUCGGAUUUUUCCUCACAUCCAUCUUCACAAGACUAUCGUGUCUCUUUGCUUCAUUAUGGUUUCAACUUUUGUAUUUUGUGCUUACAUUUGUAUUUUGUGCGCACUGUGAAGGUCUUUAUCUUUGUCAAACAAGAGUCUUCGUUUGGGUUUGGUUCUUAACUUCAUGAAAUGCUUUCCCUGCUUGGAGCAGCUGAACAUCAAUGUGAGUAAACUUACUCUUUAAUUCAGUUUCCGUCUGCAUUGAUUAUUUUGUAACUUACUAUUGCUUCAAUACUUGUUCUAGAGUAGGUUGUCACUAUUUUUGUGUUUAUUUGGCCUUUCCCGACAUUAUUCUAAGGAAGGGAAAAUGUGUGGGGUAAUGGACUCUGCAAUCUUAUUAAUACCCAUGACACUUGUUUGAAGAAAAUUGUGUUGAGAAACUAUAGAGGCAACGAGUCACAUGUUAACUUUGUCAAGUUCUUUGUAUUGAAUGCAAGGGUUAUAGAGUCAAUAAGGCUUGUGUUGAAGUUUAGGAACGGUAGCAAUAGUUGGAUUAAAGGACAGCGCAGCCUGCUUCAGUUUGAAAUGAGAGCUUCCAAGGGUGCACAGUUGGAUUUUGUGUCUUCUGAUAGUUUGCGUGAUGAGGAAACCGCGUGAUUUCUCCACAGAGGACCUCAUUUCCAGGUAUCAUAACUGGUCCUGAUUUCUUUCUUUCCAUGGAUUAGGGCACCAGACUAUACUAUUUAUCAGACACUUACUGGUCACCUGUUUGCAGCAUUUCGAUGUCUCUUCUCAUGGAAUAUUGUUCAAGAUACAGGAUUACCGGACCAUGAACCACAUACACCUAGGGAGAAGCAGAUUCCUGUCUGCUUGGGGCAAUGGAACAGUGACUUCAAUCUUGUUGUAGCUCUGCCAAAAGUGCAAGGAAGCCUGCAUUUUCACUUGUGCUACUGCUAACUACUGUACAUGUAUAAACUUGUAGACUUGUGAUAGUCCUGUCAACAGGGAUGGUCAUUUGGCUUGUCUGCUACAGGUUCUGUCGUGGAUCUAUGACUGACCAGUUGCAGCAACUGAUUUCCUGCCCUAAGACUUGUUCCUGGCUGGUAGGAUGAAAGUACCAUGAUUGUAAACGCCUUUGAGAUGCCUCGACAUCCAUUUCUCAUGACAGUAGCACAGCAGUGAGAAAUCAUCGAGGCAGAAACUCAAGGAAUGAAUUUCACGUUGUUCAUUUUGCUCGAUGCGAAAAAGCUGGAGUCGUCAAUGAGAUAUUGACGGGUGGACUCUACAUUGAGAACAAGGGGUUGUCUUUUGCAGCUCACAUCGUGGUAAUAUAAGUAGAGCAGAAUUCCAACCUGAGAAUUUGGGAGAUACAAUUUCCAGCUUAGAGUAGCAGCUUGACAAACAGCUCCUCAUGACAGUUUUUUUUUUUCUGAAUUGCAUGAACGCUCACGCCCCUUUGGUAAGCUGUGAACAAGAACAGGAAGAUGAGUUGAUUAAAGCCAGACCGAAUACAAUCAAUUUUCCAUUGCUUGAAGAGGUGGAUACCAAUCAUCCCUGAUGAUCCAUGACACAUAUUCAGUAGAAGACUACCGUAGGACAGCACGCGCUAAUGCGAGAGGUAGCCUAGCAAAUGUUCCAACGCGCCCCAAAGCACCUCUACGAUCAACAAACCAGUUAAGAUGAUCAAUAAACUAAUAAUAUAAGUCCUCAAUGAUCAAUCAGUUAUCAGUCAAUCAUAUCUAGAUCGAUACAUCCCCGAUCAAACCAGAAAGAAAGUAAAGCAAAGCAACCAAGGGUUCUGUCCCUCACCAGUACUGAUAAGAUGCUACGGCCGAUCGAUCAAUAGAUACAGAUACACCGUGAUGCAAGCUAGCUAGAUGAACUGAGCGGAGAGGAGCCUGCGUGCGCACGGCACGCUCAUCUCAGUGCGCGCCCCACCACUCUACUGUUGGGUUGUCCCGUUUGCCUCAUCUGGCUCCAACACGAUGCGCUCCCUGAGAUUUCCGUCUCCUGAACCUGAACCCAUCGUCCUCCCUCGCCGUCCUCAACUGCUGCUUGAGAAACCAGGAUGGCACGGUUCGGCACGGCGCAGAGAUAUGACAGGAUGUUUGCCUGAGCUCGUGCUACGGCCUCGACUGACUUUUCCAGCCAUAUAUGCAUCGACCUGACCAGCUCGCUUGCUUCUCGAUCAGGAUGGGAACGUACGUGCGUGCGCUCUCUGCAGCUAGGUAACCAUGAUGGGUGACAGCGCGAGCAACUAAUUAAGCAUCGAGGACGGGAAGCCGCUGCUAGCUGCCAGCAAGUCUUCCUGCAUGCUGUAGACGACCAAUCAGCGGCGGCGGGUUUGGAGCCUUUCGCUCUGUCUGAAGCUGCAGAGAUGGUGACUUCAGCAGGAGUAGGUAUCUUCAGGGCUGUGGUUUUUCCUUGGACUUAUUGUGUUAGUCACAUGCGUAGGAUUAAGCUAUGAUUGUGAUUGUCCAGCAGGAGGGAAAGAAUCAAGCAAGAUGGAUUAGGGGCGCUUAGGGCAGCAGCUGGGCCCUAAGCCACUAACACACGACAUUGUCGCCAUCUUGUAGCCACCUAUAGAUACCUAGCUACUCCUAUAUACUUAUAUAUACAUACUCCAAUAGUGUGCAUUGAAUAAGCUUUGCUUUUCCGGUGCUAGCCAUGCAUGCAUACAUACACAGGUUAAUUAGGAGUACCAAUUAAUGUACGUACACUACUACACUUACUGGUAGUUCAAUGUGCAUACGCCAACAUGGAGAUCGUUUCAGAAACGCCUUAGCAUACUACACCAUUAACAACCUGAACACGACUAUCACUUGAUUAAUUCCAAGCUUGAAGUGUUCUUUUUUCCCGACAAAUCAGUUUGAUAUGACCUGUUGAAUCAUUGAUUGGCUAGUGAGGCAUUAGGCUAUUAGCCUAUUACCACCACAUUAUUUUGAAGGCAUGAACGCUAUACUAUACAUUGAUUGAUCUGUACUGAAACUGCUUCAUGGAUGCCACUAAACACUAAUGUUGCUCAUUUAUUUAUUGCACAAAAAAAAUGUUAACUUGCACUGGUGCGCGCGGUGCUAACAUCUAGUUUCCUACUUGGCGGUACAAGGGCUUCAAGUGCAACUACUUUCUUGCUAGCCACUCAGCACUCACAAGAUGCAGAUAAGCAGCUCCGAGUCGACCGUUUACUACCUCUUUUUUCUUCGCGAUCGCAGUAGUCUGUACUCAUCAUCACUGCCAUGGCAAAUCAACUUUCAGAAAAAGGAACACCAAAGUCUUGCUACCUAUCUAGCUUCAUCGCUCCGUGACAGGCCACAUGCUAACCUUGUCCCAAAACGCCGAAUUUCCACUGUCCAUGUCCCCCCAGAGUGGCUGGUGUUCGAAUAUGGCUUAUCACCCUGGAUGCGUGCAGGGUCACAACUUGUGCAGAAAGAGUAAGCCUUCUGCUUGAACAUCCAUUCAUGUGUGCAAGUCUACUAUGCGUAUACUCCAUAGUUUGUGUGUUCAGUAAACAUCUAAUCGGUCGGUCGAUCGAUGUGUCGACACGCAUCAUGCAACAUUGCUGAGAGCCAGUGAUGUCUUCUAUGGUAAGAUCAUGUAACUACUGAAAGAUCCUGCAAAGCAAGAGCCCCGGGCGGCCCAGUGCGUUUUCCAUUCAGAGUUUGGGGAACUAGCAAAGAGAGUUGCAGUCUGGCAAAAGCAAGUUCCAAGAAGAAACCUAGCUAUAGACACAACUUUACCAAAGAUCCAAGCAAAGGCAAGAACAGCACUACCCAACAGCACAGCUAGCCCUUGCUUAUGUGUUUGGUGGCCUUGAAGUAAUUUCACUCGGUUAACCUUUUACAGCACAGGUAAAACGAAAAUAGAAGUAGAGCACAUAUACUUCACUAGAUAGCUUUGAAAAACCAUAGCGAGACUGUCAAUUGCCCACUUAAUACAUUUUUCUUGGUUUUUGAAUUCUGCUUAGACCACAUGUAGCCGACAGCUGCACUUGUACGUCUGAACGUUUGUGCUCUUUUGUAUUAUUAGUAUUUCUAUAAAAUGUCGCGCAAAGCUUUUCUGUUUUCCGAAAGAAAGAAUAAUCGUCGCGAGAUACAUUUUCCAGUUUUCUCUGAGGAGGAUCUUGUAACUAGCUACGCUAGCUCAUCAAUAUACUGUCAACACAUGUAUACACACAAUUUUGAGCAUGCAGGAAAUAUAUAGCAUGGUGUCCAUGAUAUCUAUAGAUAGAUGAAUAUAAAUGGAGAGGCCUGGCUUUAUAUAGAUCUAGAUUAGUUGUUGCAGAAAGUUAUACCAACUAUAUAUAUAUAUACUACUCAUUAGCUAGCUUAGCUAGUCAAAGCUUAAAGCACCUGAUCAAAGAGUAGGCCAGCAAGCAAUUAAUUAGCUAAAAGGCCACUUGCACCGGAUCGGCCGGAGGAGAGAGAUUAAUUGGACGUACGGCAGAUGCAACAACUAAUCAAGCGUGCAUGCAAACUUUCUGAUCUCAUCAGAUCAUCAGAGCUUGAGCGACAGGUCGAUCUCCUCCCCGUUCCGGCCGUGGCCGAGGCGGCCACAGCCGCCGUCAGCCGCGGCGGCCGUGUCAGCGCCCCAUCCUGCCAUGUCCAUCACGACGCUCGGUGUCGGUGGCGCCGCCUGCUGCGCCGCCGUGGCGUCCUCGGCCGCCCCAGUGGACCACGUGGCGCCGUACGUCGCCGGCAGCAGGAAGUCGUCGUCCCUGUUGUUGUUGUUGCGUUCCGGUGGCGCGGCGUGGAAGACGACGGCCGGUGGCGCCGGCGUCGGCGGCGGGGACGAGGACGGCGGCGCGGCGGCGGCGAGGAUGUCCCGGCUGCGCUUGGCGAGGGUGCGCUCGAGCUUGUGCGCGUUCUGGUGGCCGCCCAGCGCCUGCGAGCUGUAGAAUUUGCGGUGGCAGUAGUUGCAGGCGAAGGACUCCCCCGGGCGGCGGCCGCUGUCGACGGCGGGGACGGCGGCAACGGCGGGUCCAGAGCGGCGGCCGCGGGGAGAGAGGUCGUCGAGGCUGACGCCGUGGGCGCCCGACGCCGCCAGCUCGUUCUCCAUCGAUCGGCGGCCGGAAGCGAAGACUCUCUCUGCUACCUACGGUGCUGGGAAGUGAGGAGGAGAUCGAGGGAUGUAGCCCGUGUUGGGAGGAGGCUCGAAGCCGAUGGACACCAGCAAGAACGCAGUGGCGUGUGGCCGCGUGAGAGCCCCGGUAUAUAAUGACAAGCAGCCCGGGCCGGCUCCACUCCCACGCGUGUGCACGAGCCGGCCGCGUACACUUUGGGAGUAUCUGUACACGGUUUGUACGUGUUGCGACGUACGUGGCGUAUUUGGAGAUGUACGUCUUUCCCCUCUCGUACGCACACACACGUUCGGGGGGCUCGGGGCAGUGUGUGCUACGCUCGAGCGCUGAUCGAAAGAAAAUGACGAGGAGACAGCAGUAGGGGAGGUCGAGGUCCACGCAGUCAACUCGGCCGACAUGGAGACCAGUGAAAAGAGUAGCUAGGGGGCUUAGCGUCCGGCUAGCGGACAAGCCGUUGAACAGUCGAACUUGCGCAUGUGCGUGAAUGCCGCGAUGCGUCCGGCCAGUAGGCGCCCGACACCGCGGGCGUCCAUGGAUCUCUCCCAGAUAUUCAGGUGUGGGGCUGGUGCUUCCCGAUGAGAAAGACGGGGGGCCCUGGAGGCUGGAGGUGCCCAGCCGUCACGUCAGUGACCGUCGCAUGCACGGGCCGGGCGGCCGAGACGAGCCCGUGUGCUCUACCGGUGCGCUAGCAGCAUGGCACCUGCAGUCUGCAGAUCGCGGAACGCGACAAAGCGAUCGAGGUAGCUAUCUGCUAGUCUGUUCACUCAUCAGAUCGACCACUCUGUCCUUUUCAGUCGCGUUGCGUCGAUCGAUCGGCCGAUCUGCAUGCAGCGGCGCUCAGCGAGAAACGCGUCUGAACUUACUGCAUCCAUCGAUGAUGAACAAUCCACUGAAUGGUCGAUGAUGAACAAUCCAUUGAAUGGCUAGCGGCAGCCUCUGAGUCUGAAUGGAUCGAUGUAACCAACGCCCUCCUGCAUAUACACGGAAGGGCCGACACAAGUAGCAGCUCAGAUGGAUGACCCGCUGCACAUGAUCGAUGGCGAGGGCUUCCGCAGAAAGAAGCGAAAAAAUGGCACCAGGGGGAACCGGACGCGCAGGUUCCGAGUUCAGACUUGACUAGCGUGCUGAUGCGCAUUAGUCCCUGGCAUGCACGGUCACUCACAUGACUGCACGAGUGCUGUGGUGGCAGCAGUACAGCAUGGAACGUCCGUCCCUGCCCCUGUUCCCCACUGACAUUUGUCCUGGCAUUCUUUCGCGUAGUAUCUCAGAGCAGAGCCUGAGCCUGAUGCCUGAUGGCUUCACCGACGCGGCCAAAAGAGCGAAGACGAAGCCUGCUGGCAGGGUUAGAACGUGCUCGUUUUCCUCUGCCUCCCAACUGCUGCAACGACGUCCUUGUAGUACAACUGCAUACACAAUGCAGUGAGCUAUUACAGAUAUGUUUCACUUGUAACGGGAUCGACGACGCUGCUCCAAAGAGAUAUAUGGUGGGGGUGCCGUGCCAGAUCCUGCAUGGCAGUCUGGUCGACCGCAUGCGUGUACCAGGCCAGGACUCCUACAGUCCUAUGCACGCAUGCAUCACGUUUGCCAGGACAAAAUUUGAACCAGCGAAAAUCUGAUUCAGCUCGCCUGGUUUCAAACUGACACCUCCGAAGGCGGAACUGUCUUCAUUCCAUGCAUCGAUCAAUGGAAGGUAACAAUGCACUGGUGCAUGACACACCGUACAUUACAACGUCUACGCUCCAAAACUUCUCCAUGAUCACACUUUCAUAUCUUUCAACAACAGGUAGCUGUGUAAGGAGUAGGUAACAAUGCACUCUUCGCAAAAAAAAAAAAAAGGUAACAAUGCAGGCCAGCAAGAGGAAACUCGAAACAAGCAUCCACACACAACAGGAAAACAGUCACAGCUACACUUGUCUACAGAUCGAGGAGUUAACCGCGACAGCCUGAUAAUCUGAUGGCUGUUUUAUUUAGGCUCACUAUCAGAAAUCACAACAAUGAUUUCUUGAAUAAAUAAUAGCUCGCUGCAGUCCUAUACAUAAACAACCCUGCUAUGCUUCAUAUUACUCUGUAUAUUUCAGAUCCUUGUAUACCUCCUACAGAAACAGGUCCACAGUUGGGGCCAUUAGCUUCCUAUACAAACACAUUCUUUUGUAUUUGUGGGGAAACUCCACAACGACGGGCGCGCUUCUCUGUGGGCGGUACGUCACCAAACAUCUCUCAAGUAUCUCCCUUCCGUCUGUAGACUCUUCACGUAGCUUUCUGUCUUUGAGUUAUCCAGUGACCCCUGCAGAGCACAUCCAGGGUAGCAGCAUUCACAGUAAAUAGAAGCACUGUACUGUACUUGUUGUGAAGCAAUGGCAGUAGCAAAGAUUUAUCAUGGUGUUACGCAACAAAAUUCAAGCAAGUAAAGUAACCUGGAACUUCACUGCAUUUGAGUCAACAACACCAAAAAAAUGCACUUUAAGAGGCUAGGGGGGCUUAACUGACAGAUGGUCAGCAAAUGAGUUGGCACUACUCAGAGCAAACGGGAUCUCAGGAUUGUUUUUUAAUAAAAAAAUAAUUGGCCAGAAACCACAGCUUUCUGCAUGAUUUGAUUAUCCUUGUUUUGAUGUUACUUUCAAGAAAGACACAUGGACAAGGGGAAAACUAUCAACAAAAAAUCCCUACCCAUGUUAAGUGGAAGACUAAAGAUCAUACUUAGUUAUUCUUAGAAACCAAGAGUAACAUGGUAGACAUAAACACAGCAAAACUCUGAUAUUAAUAUGCUGAAAGUAGUCGGCCAUGCUGUUUGGUGGUGGUUUCAAAAGCUUGAGUACCAGAGUGAGCAAUCUAGCUGUCCACUUCUUAGACCCUUGGUAAAGCAACUACUCCCUCCGUUCCAAAUUGUUCGUUUUGGUUUUUAUAGGUGCAUAGCUUUUGCUGAGCACCUAGAUAUAGUGUAUGUUUAGAUGCAUAAUAAUAUCUAUGAAUCUAGAAAAAGUCAAAACAACCUGCAGUUUGAAAAGGAGGGAGUAACUAAAUCUAGGAAGCAUCAGGUGACAGUGAUACAAUGACAAACUUUGUAAAACUAGACAUACCUGCUCCUGGAUGAUGGUAUGUAGUGUGCGGUGCACAUCUCUAGCCAUGCCCUUUGCAUCACCACAGACAUAAAUAUAACCGCCCUGAGAAAUGAUGCUCCAAAGCUCGCCAGCCUAGGAAGAUUACAGGAAUUGUGAGAAAAGGGGGAAGUAUUCUAGGUCCUUCCUUUUAUUUCGUUGGGACUUAAUGUCCUUGUAAACCUGCUGUAUAUAUUCUUUUUUCUAUUUUAUAAUAUGAAAAGAUGGAAACUCUCCCACAGUUUCCAGUCAAUAGUAUUCUUUUGAACAAAACAUGAUUCUGCAGUGGACAAUCAGUUUACCUUUUGUGCCAUUUUGUGCUGAACAUACUCUUUUGUAGGACCCUCACGAGAAAAGGCUACAAUCAACUCAGAAAGGGCACCAGUAUCAACAAAGUUACUAAGCUCAUCCUCAUAUAUGAAGUCCUGAAAAAAAAAAGACAUGAAUCAGUGAAAUUUUGAAGAGGCUACGAAGUACAUCCAAGUUGAACAUGUAUGAUCUGCAUCUCUGUAUGCAACAGAAAUGCGAAACAUUCUUGGCAGAUAAGGAGCUUUGAUAGAGGAAUAAUUAGAUGGCAGCUAGGUCUUUUCUAAGCAAGAAGUGAGACUGAAAAUUUUCAGCAAAUCAUGGACUUAUGCAAGCUAAUUGUUGACGAGGAUGAAUAAUGUUGAAACACAACCAUACCAUCUUCCGAUUUCUGCACCCAAAGAAAAGGAUAGCAGGGCCUAGUUCCACCCCUGCCUCUUUUAAAGCUAAUCGUUCCUGCCAGUGCAAAAAAGAACAUCGGACAUGCACAUAAAAAUAUUAAAGAGAGACAUAAUUUGAAGAACAAUGAACAACGACAGCUUAAGACAAAAACAAACCUGUAAGAAGCCUCUGAAAGGUGCCAGACCAGUCCCAGGGCCAACCAUUACAAUAGGCACAGUAGGAUCAGCAGGCAGUUUGAAGUUUGACUGCCUAACAAAAAUUGGUGCCCAACUACAUUCUUGGCUCUCUUCCAAGGUAGUUGAAUGCUGUAAGUAGGAUUAGCAGACCAAAUGUUUAAUGGAUGACAUGAUGAGUGAUAAAUAACUUAAAGGAAUUAAAUAAUAUAUGCUUGAAUACAUGCAUAUAGUUAUACUGAAAAUAGUAUAUCCUCGUUUCAAGAUUCACCUCAGACGAAAGAGAAGACAAUGUCUUCUAAACAUGAAAGAAUAGAUAACAUGUACCUUCAUCCAAGUAGAACAAACUCCUUUGUGGAUUCUUCCAGUAGGGGUUGGCCCAUAUACUAGUGCACAUGUCACAUGAAUCCUUGUUGGUGCCAUUCUGCAGCGAUAUAUUAGCAUCAGUCCUAACUGAUCGAUCAACUUGCUCAGGUCAAACGAGGUAUUAUAUAGAAGUAAAGGCCUAAUGGGUACCUUGGUGAGGAAGAAAUAGAGUAAUAUCUCGGCUGCAGGCGAGGAGAAAUAGCUGCAAAGAAGACACCAAGUGGAGGCUUUGCUGAUGGGAACUCCGACAUAACUUCUAAGAGACUUCUUUGGCUCGUGACUAUCCAUUGUGAAUACUCCUUCUGCCAAUGAAAGUCAUGUGAGAAAUUGUGAAUUAGAACACCAACAUCAUAAAGUAUAUUGGUCUAUUUUAGAAACCAACCUUUCCAGCAGGAGAUGCAAGGUGUCUAAGCCGCUCAGCUUCUUUGGGAUCAGAUGCAUGAGCAGCCAAAGCGAGCAAAGCACUCUGCAGCAACCAUUGAGAAAAUAAUAUGAAUGUGAACAAAAACAUCAUAUAGAUAUGGAUGAAAAGAAAAACACAAGUUUACCUUCUUGGGCGAAUUCAAUAGAUCUGCAUAUCUGGUAAGUGCAGUCCUGACUGUGCAGGGGGAUGGGAAAGGAGGUGGCAAAGAACCCCCACAAAGCGGGGUACCAUCCUCUUGGUCAGCAUAAAUUGAGAAUAAAGUAUCUGGUGAAUAACCUAGAAGCUUUUCUGCCUCUUCGACAAUUUCAAUGCAGUUUUCAGCAUAGACACCAACAUGAUCUCCAGUCUCAUAUCUAGUAAGGUAAAAGGGGACUGUCAGAAUAAUGCAUUCUGAAGUCCAAUCUAACAAUAAUGUAUGUCUACUCUCUACUCUUACUUUCAUGAAUCCAGUUUAUUGAAUAUACUUACUUGAGUCCAGUUCCAGCAAUAUCAAAUUCCAAAUGAAUGCAGGAUCUGUCAGAAGCUGGUGUGUGAAGCUCUCGCCGCACAGCCACAUUUGCCCUGAAAGAUAAGCAGAUUGGUAUCAGCUCACACUGCAGGCAGAGCAAAACUUCCAGGCAUAUGUAAGUAAAUUAAAAAAUAAAAAAAAUACCUGCAAGGAUGUUGAAUGUCAUAGACAGCAUGACCGUUACUAAGACUAAAUGACUUGUUAAUGUUUGUGGUAUCUUCUUGUUUAACAAACACAACUCUAUAUUCUGGAAUAGCAGCUGUGUAAGGAGUUGCUGCUGCUGAAGAGUUGUCUUCCUGGCGGAGCAAUUUAUCCAAUUCUGGCCAUAGAAGUUCCUUCCUUUAAUCGAAGGAAACAACAGAAGGCAUUAGCUUCAAUGUGUAAGUGUUAGUCUACUGUUGAAACCAAAGUUAAGUGUCCUCGAAUAAAAGCACUAUACGCAAGAUAAGCCUGAUGAAUCAUCAGAAAAGAAAAGAAAAAAACACCCAUGAAAGUAAGUUCAUUGGAAUUCAUACCACGCAUUAAAGUCAUCCUCAAUGCAUUGGUCGUCAUCUCCAAGACCAACAGGAACAAUACGUUUGCCACCUAGAAUAGAUGUGUAAAUGGACAGGAGUUAAUUACACUCAAGUGUUUCAAGAACAUAAGAAAACUGGGAAAAGCAUAACACAGGAUAUAUGACGCAGAAGAUCCGAUGCACCUCACUCAAAAAUUAAUAUUGUGAAACAGUUGCUCGGUCCUUUCUAAAAAUAAGGGUCAAUUUGGCUUAUUUAUAUAAAGUUUGAAAGUUUGGGUCAGGCAGCAAAAAAUUGAUAGCAUUCAACUCUUUAAGCAUUUGAGCAUUAUUACCACAUAACACUAAUAGAAAAUGCAAUGUGUUUACAGUGCAAAUGAGUGUGCGCAUAUGUAAAUAAGAUAAGGGGCAACACUUAAUAUGCAUUCUAAAAGAAAAAGUUCUGCCUAUGAAGGAGUAGCGUUCAGAGAUUUUCAGUGAGAACAAACAUAAAUACUGCAUGCAAAAUCAAAAGCUUCAAAUCCAUCUGAAUUGAGAUUGAAUCAGUGAUUUGGCCGCUCUAAUUUAGUUACCUUGUUCUGCAAGGAGCUGAUCAACCAUCUUUCCAAUCUUCAGUGGAGACAAAAUGACAAAAAAAGAACAAAAUUAGUAUGCGCUGUACAAACAAAUAUACACAUCCAAUCAAUGUAGACGCACCAACCUUGUUAAAGUGCUCGUACUGUCUAUUUCCAAGGCCAAACACCCCAAACCGAAGAUUGCUCAACCACUCACCUCUCUCAUUCCCCUGCAGACCAACCAGAUCAAGAGGCAAUCAACAAUCAAUAAAAGGAAAAAGGACACAUACACAGGUGCAUCCAUAAAAGUAAGCUUGCAUUCCAACCUCCGAGAACCAUUUAUAAAACCUCGCUGCAUUGUCAGUUGGCUCGCCGUCACCAUAGCUACAAAAAAACAGCAAGAAGACAUGCUAACAAUUAACACAAAACGUACUUUCUCCUGUCUUUGAUCGACUUAGUAAGGUGCUGGCAAUUCUUACGUUGCCAGGAAGAACAAUGCAAUGCUCUCCUUCUUGAGCUUCUCUCCGUACUCCUCAUCCUCAGCGGCGUAAUCAUCCUAAACCCCAGUGAAGCACACAUCAAUUAUAACAGAUAAGCUGCCAUAAACAUGAAAUUUUAAGCAGCAGCAUGAGGAUGGAAUCAGUCGAGCGUACCAGAUCGACCACCUUGAAGACGGCCCUGUCGUACCUCGCCUUGGCCUCCUCCGCGAGAGCCUGCAAAUCCACGCCGAAAGUGGCAUCAAUUUCAACCCAAUCAGAAGUGGGAAACAAGAGCAGAGCUCUGCUUGUGCCAAAAAAAAGAACACGAAUCAGUAGUAACCUUGGCGAAGCCCUCGGCGGUGCCGGUCUGCGUCCCGAAGAAGACGGUGACCCUCUGCCUGCCGUCGUCGGGGUCCGGCUCGUCCUUGGGCUUCGCGGCGAGGGGCCGCGUCUGCGCCUGGGCGGCGGCGGCCGAGGCGGCGCGGGGCGCGGCGGCGGAGCGGCGGACGAGCAGGGCGACGCCGCAGCCGACGAGCACGGCGAGGGAGGUGGUGAGCAGGACGAGCAGGUGGCGGUCCUCGGCGAGCGAGGACGCCCAGUGCGGCCCCCGCCCCGUCAGCAGCGCCGCCAGCAGGUCCAGCGCCGAGGGCUUCAGCCCCGCCGACGCCGAGUCCAUCGCGCCGAGGCGGGGGUGCGGAGCGAGCGAGCGAGUCGCGAGCCGGGGGGGCGGCUGUCCGCUUCGAUAGGAUCGAGGCGGUGGAGAUGCGCGCACGCGAGGAGGGCCACGGCCACAGAGAUUUGCUGCUGUUGAGUCGAGACAGCGGCCGCCGGCCGGGCACGGGGGAACUUUUAUGUGGCGCGGCCGGCGUGUGCAGGCUGCCGCGGCCGCGAGCCGGGACCCGGACCGGGAACGAGUGACCGAGGCGGGGUGCCGGCGCGCGCGGGCGUUUCCUUUCCUCGUGCCCUUGGGCUGCGGUGACGCGCGAUCGGGGCCAAAAAGGACUUGGGGUUGGGGUUUGGUUGGCGGUGCCGGUGGCUCUGCCUUUCCCUGCCGGGGUUGGUUUGGCUCGCGUUGUGGCUGUCGUGAGGCCACCGGUCUCUGUGCCCGAAUCGGGGCCGCCGCGCGGUGACACGUCGAGCCGAGCCAAAGUCCGUCGCGGCCGUCACAUUGGCUUCGAUUCGAUGCCCCCCCCACCACUUUCCAUCUGGUGAUCUUCCGCAAGCUCCCGGUUUCUGUCGCCCUCCCUUCUCUCUCGCUUUCGAACCAUAGCGACGACUGGAAGCGUGUAGGCUUGUCGCUCUGAAGUCUGAACCAUCACCAGAAACAGUAAAGCCGGGGCUCAGCGUCUGACUUGGACACAUGGGGGUUGUGAGUGUUUCUCCCUGCAAGGAGACUUGCCACUUGUGCGCGGCAAAAAUUGACUGGCGCCUGCCGUGCACCAAAUCGGUAUCAGGAGAUGUGGUGUGUGUGUGUGUGUGUGGGGGGGGGGGGGGGGGGGGGGGGGGUGGGGGGUGCGGAAAACUCCAGAACGGGCGACGAGACUGGGUGGAGGACGACGUCGAUGUCCGCGACGAUUGCGUGCUAGGGCUGCAGCCUGCAGCUCCAUGUCUGCUUCGACCGUGCCACGGAAGCUGCGAUCACGAGUUCUGACUUUUGAUGCACGUCCGUCCAGACAUGUUCGGUUGCAUGGGCAUCCAAUGGCUCGAGCUCGUCAGUUCUGGCUGCUCCUUCGGCACCAUUUUUCUGGGCAUGCAAUGCAACCGCUCAGUUGGAAAGUUGGUCUGAUCUCUCUCCUCUCCUCCUCCUUCUGGACAGGAAUUUGGCCUGAUCUCAAUCAGACAAUAGCACCGUUUUUCUGCUGCCUCGUCAGACUGUGAGGAAGGGGAUGCUGUAACCUGGACUGGGCCGAAUUCAACUUGGGCAAUGAUGUGCAAAUUAGGCCGUGGCCCAGUUUAUCUCGUUCAUUCGAAAAUUCAAUCUGUUUCCGUAGGUGGUGAAUUUGCGUGUCUUUAGUUUGUGUUCUCUGAAAUGAAGAGCUUGCAAGCCAUACUGCUCGGUUGGGCAUGGAGGCUUCUUCUGCUCCUCCUAUAAUGAUAUAAACUAUGUAUAGACUUCAUGGUGGACAGCGAGUACGCUGUUUGGUCUCGGUAAUUCCUGUUUUAAAAAAUUGUGGAAAUUUGUGCAGUUCUAGUGCAGGCCUGCAGGGGAACUUGUUACUGAUUACUGUUGCUGAAACAGUUUUGGAUGCUAAACCAGGCAACAUUUUUCUUUCACAAAUUGAUUUUUUUCCACCAAAUUAAGCUCCCUAGGAUAGACAUUAUUGGACACUGCCACGGUGAACAGAAUCAGCCUGCGCCAUGACCUCGGCCAUACCGUCCUCAAACUGUCAAACACUCAAAAACCCUUCACGAGCUCUGCUCAUCGGAGUGCUUUCGCGUCACCCCCGUGCGCGCCGCGAGCUUCUCCCAGUACUCCGCGAGCAUCUCGGCGGCAGAGCCGGCGCCGGCCGCGCCGGUGCGGAGGCAGAGGUACGGUCCUCCCUCUCCUGCUCCGCGCAGCGGUGCAGCCGCUCGAGCGACGCCCCGGACGUACUCUCAUAGCUCGUGAUUGGCCCCGUCGCGCUCCCGGUCCAGGUAGUAUGCGUUGGCGUAGCGGUUGCACUGGUAGAGGACGUCGCCCGUGUGCUUGUCCCACGGGACGAGGCAGAGCCAGCAGAACUGCUGUCCGCAGGGGUCCGGGCACGUCACGCGCAUGCACCCCUGGUACUUCUUGAUCGGGGCUCCCACACCUGGGUCAGGGCUUCGUGUUGGCCACCAGCCAGUUGGCGGCCUCCCAGUCGGAGCGGCGCUUGGCCAUCGCAGGACGCCGGCCAGUGCGCCUCCACGCCGCUUCGGAAGAAGAAGAUCGGGCUCCUGCAGGUGCAAACGACCACCUCAUGGAGGUACCAGGUACGAGCCGGCAAGGGCGCACCCGGGCCCGGGGCACCAACGGAUGUCCUCGACGUACCAACGGGUGUUUGCGUUUAUGCACGGGAAAAUGUUGUUUCAGCUACUAGCACAGUUGGUGCGCUAAGAGUUUGCAAGUUCGAAUUCAUUACACAAAGAUCUAGUCGCACUUUAUGAUAGCCAAAUGCGUGCAUAUAGCAUACAAAUUUAUGCUAUUUGACUCUGGAAGAGACGAAACAUAUGAAACAUUUUCACUGACAGGAAGAACUCAUUCGCAGAUAAAAGGAACACAGCACUUGAACCCCUACACACGAUCACGACACGACCUCGGCCAUGCCGGAUUCAAACCCCUCCACGAGUUUGCUGAAGUGGCUCCGUGUCACAAGUGUCAGGUUACAGAGCUUCUGCCUGAACUCCGCGAACCUCACGGCGGCGUGCCUAGUGGCAGAGACGAAGUUGCGCUCGGCGCAGAGGUGAAGCACCUCCAGCGACCUCUCGGCCUCGCCCUGGAGGUACUCGCACAGCUCGCGCUUGGCCCUGUCGCGCUCCGGUUGCAGGUAGUACACGUAUGCGUACGUCCACCUCAGCACCCGCCGCGCCUCGACGAUCUGCGCGUGCGCAUCCAGGAGGAAGCCCAGCUCCGUCGGCGGCACGCCGAUGGCGUCGGCGAGCUCGUCCAGCCCGCUGCCCUCCAGAGCGUCCAGGUCCUGCCGCGCCUUCCUCAUCGAUGCGCCAUGCUCCGUCCAGCGUUCGUAGUAGUGCAAGUACCUCUCGAGCGACGCCCUGGCCUGCUCCCGCUGCGUCUCCUCCUCAGCGAACUCCGACUCGCCAUCGCCCGCCGGGUAGCGGUUGCAAUACCGCAUGAUAUUAGCCUUUAAUACCGGUUAGUUUUCGAUCCGGUAUUAAUGUGAGCAUUAGUAUCAGACUAACGCCAUUAGUCCCUGUGAUCUCCUUUAGUACCGGUACCAGCUCGGUUUCAUCCAUUCAUAGUGAAGUAGAGGAGGUGCUGCCGGAUUUUUGACCAUUUCGUGGGGAUUUCACUCAUUCAAGUGUUCUAAAGGUUAGAAACUUCAUCCUCCUUUAAUAUACGGUUAGUGUACUAAGUUUUAUGCUUUAGAGCUUGACUGUUAUAGUUACCCAGGUACCCUCAUGGAGGCCUAGCCGACUACUAAUGGCCCGACUCGACUUGAUGAAGAAGGUAUGAGAUAGAGUUCGGCUAGGGCUCUUCACGUAUUGUAAUUUGACUAAUCUCAUCUAUACUAACCGAUUAGGGGUCCUGCCAUGUAACCCUACCCCUCGAAGUAUAUAAGGGGAGGUAGGGGUACCCCUAGGAGGGGGACCGAUCCAAUCCCUCAACACACCAACCAACACUCAAACGCAGGGUGCAAAACAAUCCCCAAAACAGGACGUAGGGUAUUACGCUACACUGGCGGCCCGAACCUGUAUAAAUUUUUGUAUCUUGUGCCUUGCGUUGCCAUCAAGUUUAUGGUUUUGUGAUCCUUCCUGCGUACAAAUCUACCACUUUACCACUUAGGUAACCCCCUGGUGGACUGUCGGGCUACUAAAUCCGAUAGUUAGCACACUAGGUAGAGGUGAUCGUGAGGUCCUCCUCAGCGAAUUUGAUGGCAGUCAUUCAAAAUCUGGGUGAGUUGUUCUCAAUAUCGUUAUCAGAUCAAUCUGAUUUUUGAGAAGCUAAUCAUGUAUUGAUCUUUUAUUUCUAAUAUGUACGUGCUGACCGAGCGUCGCCUGGCAUCGCGUGUCAUUAGCAACGGCCUCACAGCCACUACAUGCCCAAGACGGGGCAACUGCCACGGCUGCCGCCAACACGCUCUCUGCGAUCAUAGUUGUUGCUCUAGCUGUACUCAUCUGCACCCAGGCUGCCGCCGGCCAUGAUUCUAUCUGCAUCGACUUGACAAGCACAUGAAGGGUGCGGCUGGAUUCCUAUGUCCCUGCUUCCUGGCGUUGACUCCAUGUUUGCCUGCAUGCAGCUAAGAAGAAUCAAUCUACAGGAAGUACACGUGAAUAGGGAAAUAAUCUUUCUAUUAUUUUUCUUCUUCGUAUAAUAUAUCAUGCUCCUUCGUGUGAUUGGCCGAUGAUAUUUGUUCUAAUAUGUUAUUUAUUAUCUCACCUGAUGCAUAUCCGUGGUCUUCCGUAAUCCGCAUAUCCAUGGUCUUCCAUAAUCUGUAUGGCUAACUUGCCGAGCACCCAACGACGGAUCGUGUGGGUCAGAGCUCAUGCGAGUCCACUGCGCUUGGCGGCAGCUUCGACGAGCUAACGAUGAUGCCACGCACUAGUUACGGUCAACGUCGUCGACACGUCGCCAACUAAUUCAACCACUCGAAUUCGGCAUGAUAGUUGGGGGUGAAUCCUGAUUAGUUUGCUUCAUCAACAACUGUCCGUCAACCACUACGAUCAAGAUGACGGUCGGGGCUUCUAAGCCUAAACGCGAAGAUGACACGCGGGUUCUCUGACUCGAUCACGAAUCAAGCUAAGUCUUAUUUACAGUUAAAUAUUUUACGACUUCAGUAUACCUACAUACGCCUCGACUCCUCCAUGUCUCCGUGACUUUCACCGACCACCUCGGCUCCUCUACGUCUCUGUAACUUUCGCCGACCACCUUGGUCGCACCCUGACUGCUUAUACAGCUUGGUCCGUCCACCACACGGGCAGUUAGGAGUUACACCCCACGGAGCUCAUGCUGGUGCUUUUCCGCACAGUUCCGACUGCUAUGUAGCUUGUCCGUCCCUCUGAAUGGUUGCUAAAAUACUUGGGUAGCACACGCCUUAAUCCGUGAAGCCUGACCCUCAUGUGUCGCUUCCUACUAAGCACGCUCGAGUCCACUCGGCAACACCCCGGCAGAGUCAGGUGCUUAAACGUAACGGGCUAACUACUCGGGAAAAUUACCUGGCCUAUAAGAGCAGGACGUGCAAGAGUUUACUUUUACGCUGAUUAAACGUCCAAGUUAUUCAAUCAUUAAAUAUUCUACAUUAUGCUACAUAAUGUUUGCAUUGUCCUUUUACAGUUCAGAAACUACUCGGCGUGCCUCCUUUUACAGUUCAGAAACUACUCGGCGUGCCUCCUGCCGCUCAGCCGACCUCCCAGACUUGGGGGCUUGGGGCAGGAGGCGACUUGGCGUGCUUCCGUGGUUCGGUCGGCUCCCAACCUCAGGGGCUGGGCGACAGAGGCGACUCGGCGUGCUUCCGUGGCUCGGUCAGCCCCCGGCUCGGGGGUUGGGCGCCACAAUCUCCCUAGCUUGGGGCGGGAAGCGACUCGGUGCGCUUCCUCGACUUGGCCGGCUCCCAGGCUUGGAGGCUGGGUGCCACAGACGACUCGGUUUGCCUCAUGUUGUUCAACCAACCUCUCUAGCUUGGGGUAGGAGGUGACUCGGUGUACUUCCACGACUCGCCCGGCUCCCAGGUUCGGGGGUUGGAUGCUAUAGAUGACUCGGCGUGCCUCCUGCCACCAGACCGACCUCCCAAGCUCAGAGGAUGGGUGCGGGAGGUGACUCAGCGUGCCUCCGUUGCUUCUCCAGUCCUCGCGCUCGGGGGCUGGACGCCUACUUUGGGUCGGCGUGCUUCCGUGGCUCCGCUAGUCCUCGUGCUCGGGGGCUUGGAGGCUGCACUUGAUGUGCAUCCAUGAUGUUUCACAAGACAAAGACUAUAAGAUCAAGGAUUUUUCUUUGAGUACUGCGCAGCUUCUCAGCAACCAGACGAUGAAAGCACUCGGGCGAAGCUUAUCCAACUCGGCAUUUGUGUUGGGCUACCGUUCAGCUCCACACCGCUCGGGGGCUUAAUGGUUAUUGAUACCCGGGUACCCUCAUGGAGGGCCUAGCCGACCAUUAAUGGGCCGGUCCGACUUGAUAAAGAAGGCAGGAUAGAGAGUCCGGUUAGGGCUCCUCACGUGUUGUAAUCCGACUAGAUCUCAUCUAUACUAACCGACUAGGGAUCCUGCCAUGUAACCCUACCCCUUGAAGUGUAUAAGGGGAGGUAGGAGUACCCCUAGGAGGGGAACCGAUCCAAUCCCUCAACACACCAACCAACACCCAAACGCAGGGUGCAAAACAAUCCCCAAAACAGGACGUAGGGUAUUACACUGGCGGUCCGAACUUGUAUAAAUCUUUGUGUCUUGUGCCUUGCGUUACCAUCAAGUUCAUGGUCUUAUUAUCCUCCCUCCCUAUAAAUCUACCACUUGGGUAACCCCCUGGUGGACUGUCAGGCUACUAAAUCCAACAGAGCUAGAGUAAUUUGUGAUUUUUAGAAUAAGGUACAAUGGAGAAAAUUUUUAUUUAUAUGCAUGUGUUAUCUAGGGCUCAUAUUUGUGAUUUUUAGAAUAAGCUACACUUUUUUGGAUGUUAUGGUUUGUAUAGUUAAAGAAAUUGAUAUGAGGUUAGAGGAAUAAUUUUAUAGUUUAGUCCUUUACAAAUAUGAGCUAAAUAAAUUAUGGGAAAAAAUAUAAUUUGUUCAUAUUUUAGUCAUUUGCAAAUAUGAUUGAGAUAAAUUAUGGUACAUAGAGAUAAUAAGAUGGAAUAGAGGUAUGUAAUUAGGCAAUUUUUAGAAUAAGUUACAAUGGAGAAGUUUUUUCAUUUAUAUGUUAUGUUUGAGCUAAAUAAAUUGUGGGAAAAGUAUAAUUUGUUCAUAGUUUAGCCAUUUGCAAAUAUGAGCGAAACAAAUUAUGGUACAUAGAGAUGGUUGUUGCUGCUGGAGGUAGUGGUGAUGGUGGGGGCGAUCGUCGUUUCUCUCGCGGUAAGGGGAAAACCAUAGUUGGUCCUCAUGAUAAGCUGGAGAAAAUGAGCAUGUGGGAGAGAACAAUGCUUCGUUAUUUGCAAAUAUAUCAUGAAGAUGCUGUUGCGUUGUGUCAGGAAUCUCCUUUUGGUGGUCGUUAUGCUCCACCGCUAGUCCCGAGGGUUUUAAGUCCACUGAGUACUACCGUCGCAGGAGGCACAAAUAAAGUAGAGGAUAAGGCUGGGUCAGGAAAACCUUCAUCUUCGCCACCCAAGGAUGCUUAAAGUCCUCCUAGAUGGUACUCAGUGGAUGGUUUGUCGUACUGUAUCAUGUUGUUUGGAUCUGAAAUUUAAAUUUCUGUAUUUCUAUCUAAACUUUCAGCAACAUUUGAGUUUGUCGUAGUGUAUCAUGUUGUUUGGGUCUAAAAUUUAAAUUUAUGUAUUUCUAUCUAAGCUUUCAUCAACAUUUGAGUUUAAUGGUAUUUUUAUCAUGUUUGUUAUGUUUCAUGUAUAAUUCUAUGGAUGAUCAGCAUAUCUUUGGUUCGGUAAUACUUUGUAGAUGGAUCGGCAAUAGAUGUACAACGCGGACAAACACUCCAUGGAGUAUAUUAAUGGCUUGCAUGGUUUUCUCGAUCUGGCAGAGUCCAACAAGCUACCGUCUGGUUUCAUCUAUUGUCCAUGCCGAAUUUGCAAAAGUGAGAAGGAUUAGUCAUCCAGAAAGACUAUUCAAGUCCACAUAUACAGUUCGGGAUUCAUGCCUAACUAUUUUGUUUCGACUAAGUAUAGGGAAAGAGGAGUUGUGAUGGAAGAUGAUGAUGAUGAAGAAGAUGGUAACUACAUUCCUGACUGGACUCAAGGAGGUACCUUUGCAGAUGCUGCAAUGGGCGAUGCUAAAGAAGAGAUGGUUGCAGAAGAAGGUCCAACCGAUGAUCCAGGUCAGGUGUUGCGAGAUGCAAAGGAAGACUGCGAGAAUGUGAAGGAGUCAAAAAAGUUCGAGCGUAUGUUAGAUGAUCAUAAGAAAUUAUUGUACCCAGAUUGCAAACACGGGCACAAAAAGUUGGUACCACACUGGAAAAGUUGGUACCACAAGAGUUUUGAUGAGUUAAUGAAAAUCAUAAAGAACAUACUUCCCGAGGUUUGUUGGUACCACACUGGAAAAGUUGGUACCACAAGAGUUUUGAUGAGUUAAUAAAAAUCAUAAAGAACAUACUUUCCGAGGGGAACGAAUUGCCAUCCUCCACGUACAAAGCAGAAAAAGGUUGUUUGCCUCCUAGGUUUGGAGGUACAAAAAAUACAUGCAUAUUUUAAUGACUGUAUCCUCUAUUGCGGUGAGGAAUACGGGAAAUUGGAGGCUUGUCCUGUGUGCGAAGCACUACAUUAUAAGAUCAGGCGAGAUGAUCCCGAUGAUGUUGAGGGUCAGGCCAGUAAGAAGAAAGUUCCUACGAAAGUAAUGUGGUAUUUCCUUGUAGUACCACACUUGAAGCGUUUGUUCAGAAACAAGACACAUGCAAAGUUAAUGCGUUGGUACAAAGAAGAACGUAAGUAAGAUGAAAUGAUCAGACACCUCGUUGAUGGGUCCCAGCGGGGAACAGUUGACAUAGAAUUUUCCAAGUUUGAAAAGGAUGUAAGGAACAUAUGGUUUGGUUUAAGUACAGAUGGAUUCAAUCUAUUCGGUGAGUUCAGUAGUGGUCAUAGCACUUGGCCUGUAACCUUAUGUAUGUUCAAUCUUCCGUCCUGGAUCUGCAUGAAGCGGAAGUUCAUUAUGAUGCCAGUAAUUAUCCAAGACCCAAAACAACAUGGCAACAAUAUUGAUGUUUACCUAAGAUCGUUGUGUAUGAAUUUUUACUGUUAUGGAAGGAAGAAGGAGUACGUGUGUGGGAUGAGGAUAAAAAGGAGACUUUUAAUCUACGAGCAUUGUUGUUCGUAACCAUCAAUGAUUGAUCGGCACUUGGUAAUCUGUCCAGACAGACAAACAAGGGAUAUCGAACCUGCACGCACUGUUUAGAUGAUACUUGUAGCAUAUAUUUGAAACACUGUAGGAAAAUCAUGUAUACAGGCCAUCAUCAAUUUCUUCCUGCUAAGCACCCAAUGUGAUGUACUUGAAGCAUAUUUUGGGAGCUACCCUUUUGGAAAAGUCUUUGAGGUCUAUAAUGCAAUCGAUGUGAUGCACCUGACGAAAAAAAUCUGCGUAACAUGCUUGGCUUUCUAGGUACAUAUGGAAAGGCAAAGAUACAAUUGAAGCAUGUUGGGACCUGAAACGUAUGAAACAACGAGAUGGUCUACAUCCGGAAAAGAGAGAUGAUGCACAUUACUUGCAUCCUGCCAGUUACACUCUCAGCAAGGAAGAGACGGAAAGCAUGUUUGAGUGAUUGAAUAGUAUGAAGGUCCCAUCGAGCUACUCCUCGAAUAUACAGAGAAUAAUAAAUUUUUACAUGGUCAAAAUAUCUAUUUUUUCUAAUUUUAAAGUUAACAUAAGUAUUAUAAGUAUUAUGACCAUUAUAACAUACUACUAAGUUAAAAUUAAUAACUUUCCUAAUAUUUGACUGAAUCUAAUAUUUUUAUAGCAUCAAGCUAACAAAUUGUUUUUCAAUUUUUAUAAAUAUAAUUUGAUUUACUACACAAUAAAUUAAUAUAAUAGCAUUUGUAAAAAAACAAAAUAAAAAGAUGUUUAGGCAGGAAGCCAGAACAGUGGGCUACAAACACCUUUAGUACCGGGUGAUAAAAAUACCCGGUACUAAAGGAGGACAGUUUCGUUUUGGCACGCUCUGACGCGCUCCUCCUCCCCCGACCCAGUGCCGCCAUCUCUGCCGCGCCGCCCGUCCGCCCCCAGCGCCAUCUCUGCUGCGCCGCCGCCGAACUCGGCAGCCCCAACCCGUCGGCGACCGUACCGGGCCCCGCCAGCACUCCUCCCUAGCGGCCGCCCGAGAUAUUGCACGCGGCCGCGGGCUCGUCGUCUGGUCCGCUGACGUAAGCCCGCGGCCGUGCUGACGUCAUUUUUUUCUUUUUAUUUCUUUUUAAUUCUAUGAUUUAGGAAUAAGUUAAAAUAGCUAGAAAUUAUAGAAAAAUUAUUAAAAUAGCGAGAAAUUAUAGAAAAAAUGUUAAUUAUUAGUAUGGAAAUGGUGAUAUAGAAAUUGUGUUAUGAAAAUUAGAAAAUUUAUAAAUAGCGCUAGGAAAUUAGUAUACAUUAUUGCCUUGCAUUGUUUUAUUAUAACAAAUUGUAUAAAUAUUAGUCAUUCUUUUUUAUUGUUAUUUAUUGUAACAAAUUGUAUUAGUCAUUUAUUUUUUUAAAAUGUAUAAGUUUUAGCCAUUCUUCUUUGUAGUCAAUUAUUGUUACAAAAUGUAUAAAUAGUAGUCAUUAAUUCCGUAGUCAAUUAUUGUUACAAAAUGUAUAAGUUUUAUUUAGUCAUUCUUUUUUGUUGUCAUUUACUAGCAAUUCAUAGUAAAUAUUGUUGUAGUCUUCACAGUAAAUCAAUACACCGACCUCAUAGACAAGCUUAACAAAGCAUGGGCUCACUUCCGACAACAUCACUCAGGUGAAUUCGAGGAGCAACUUCAUAUCCACUCAGAAUUUCAGGUAUGUAUUGAAUUUGCACAUCUCAUGUCACUUCCUUGAACACAACAAAUAUUUCAUAACUUUUUUUCCCAUAUAUAUAGUGUUUGAGACAGAAUACAGGGAAUUAUUUAUGCGGAUACUAAGUAUGUGAGUUCAUCCAUAGUUUUGUAGGUCCCAAGCGUAUGACCGACCACGAAUUCAGAGUACGUAUACAAAUUUCUUAACAAUAAAUUAGUUCUAAUUGUGUAGAUCUAUUGAUCUAAUAUAAUAACCUUUGCUAAUGACAUAGAUUAUGCACAUGAAAGAAGAACUCCUCGAAACGGAAAAAAUCAGGGCAAUUUAAGAACAACUCAGUGGAUUUGUUUCUAACGAGGUAGUAAAUCCAGCGGGAGAGUUCUAUAAUAAUGGAUCAAAUCUGCAUCACCGUCAGGACUCGGGUUCAGAAUAGUUGAUCCAAAAUGUUAAACUUGGAGAGUUGAUACAAUAUAAUAUUAUUCAUAUAUGUGUAUGUACAAUAUGUCUAUGUAUAAUAUUAUCUCAAAUGUAAUAUUAUAGAUCAAAUAUGGAUUGCCGUAGACGCAGGAUGGGAAGCCAAGGAGAGGCUUCAACUCCAUGAGAAAGAGAUGAUGGGAACUAUGGAUUGCAUGACUACAUCGCUUCCUGUAAGCAUUCUCAUUCACACAAGGGUCAGACAAACAUUCGCCGGUUCAAGAAUUUGGCAAUUUGUCUUAAUUUUUUGUUGUCCACACAAGCAUACAAUAGCUAGUCAUGACUACAGUAGUUAAUUAUGCAACGGCAAUACACAAAUGAAUAGUUUGCAAAACUGAUCAAUAUACCUUAUUCAUUUCAAUUUGACUGCACGAUUCUUCGCUAUAUUGAAAUGAUCAAUAAUCAAAUUUGUCAUGACUUCGAUUGUAAUCUCUCUCUCGAUAUAGAGUAGCAAGCAAUCUCUUAAAAAUCCAUCUUCCAUUAUGUUUCGUAGCCUAGUCCUAACCAAUUUCAUUGCAGAAAAUACACGCUCUAUAGUUGCAGUUGAAACCGGUAGAGUAAGAAUAAGGCUUUGGUCUAAUUUCAUCGGAAAAUCCUAUGAUACUAUGAGACAAGAAAUAAAAUUGAAAAUAAUGUAGAGGAUAUACUGAUAUGGCUUAGGAAAAUAGGGUUGGCUUACAUUGGUUUGAGUCGGUUGUGAUAUUGCCCUUCAUUGCAGCCACGCCGCCACGGCCACUGGCUUGUCCGUCGUCGAUGGCGCAAUAAUGGUAGUGCAAGAUUCCAGCAGUCCGCAGACCGCAGGCGGCGGGCGACAGGGCAUCGGGCGAGGUUUUAGCGGCGUUGGCGCGUCGCGAGAUUGGAAUGAAACGUCGCGUGAUUAGGUACGUGAACAUGCACCUGACCACGUGCGUUGUUUGGGCUCUGGGCAACAGUUGCCAGAAUGCCAAUUGGGCUUGACCCUGCGACCUUUAACUUGCUAAGUGCUGAUAUAGUCUAUGGGCUGACAAUUGACAAGAGGUAAUAGAAAUUUUUCUUUCUUUGUUCGGGGAGGCCAUGCCCCGCCCCCCUUCCCCCGUUCCACCACUGAUUGUAGAGCACCCUUUUCCUUUUAUUCCUAGCUGGAAAGCACAUUAUUUUCAAAUUUUUCCUUGUUUGCCUGAAUCUGUGAACCUCAAAAAGCAAUAUUUUUUGAAUAAAUUGAAAGCAAUAUGACAACACAAAUUAACAUGCCAGAGCGAGAAACUUUGCAAUGCGAAAAACCAAGGUGUCCAUCACCUUGAUUGUACUCGCCGAGCCAACACGGAACUGUGAGCUUUGUUAAGGUAACUUCCUCCAAUAUGUAGUUCAUUAUGUAACUUUGGGAUAAAGUUACAUGUCUCGAGCGCUUACGAAACAACCCUGUUAAUAUAGUUGUGAAAAUGAAAAUCACGUGUCUAGACUUGAGGGGAGAAGUGUACAGCGGCAUAAGCAUGGACUGCAUGGUCCCUGGAGCCAGCAGUGUCGUUCGUUCUUGAGGGUUUUGGCCGCGUCCUCGCGCCCGUGCAUAAGCAGUGGCAUUUCCACCGCGCCGUGCCGUGACCAUGGGAUUCCAAUGGUGACGGCGCCGUGCGCUAGCCGGGCAGUGCCGAACGUAGCCUCCAAACUCAGAGCGUGAAACAGCCGCUCCUCGUCUUGGCGUCAAACUGUCCACGGCAGGACGUACAGGUGUAAGUGUACGAGUUCAGUAUCAGUCACCUUGAAGCAAGGCGAAUAGGCCUCUGCUUCUGCGCCGCAAAUGGCGGCGUGGGUGGCCUCAGCGUUCCAGGACAAGAGACACGGCGUGGCCUGCCUGGGAGAAUGGAGGGUGUGGGCGCUUGGCCUGCUCUUGCCCGGCAUCCGGCAAGAGUACAGGAGCACGAUGCGGGCGGCACCUUGCCGGCGCGCGCCAGUGUACAGCACGGCGUUGGUCAGAUUCAGCGGCACCUCGACCGCCCGAUGCAUGGGAACGCUCGUUCUCAAUCUCUGCGGUGAGCAUCACACCCUCCAAUGUCGGGCGUUGGCGACGAGCGCGGGCGGGAGCGCCUCUACGCGUUCUUGGUGGAAUUAGUGUUGUUUUGACGCCGUCCGACGUCGGCCGCGAUGACAAGGCGGGACACGGCCGAGCACGUCGGCGAGCGCAUCCGAGAUCGUGUGCAGCAGAACGCCCGAAGAAAUUGUCGAGAAGCUAGCGGCGAAGGCCACAAAGGCGUGCUUUGUCGCCGACAAGCCUGGUGGGAUCGCCAUUGAGGCGAGCGCGCUGGGGAACCGAGACCCCAGGGUGGACGGUAAAUGAAAUACCGUCCACCCCCGGUCCCUCAUGACCGUCGGAUCCGACUCGAGCGGGUGAGAUCGGCUACCAAAAAGAACAGGAGUCUCGUUCCCCAACUCGCUCGCUCGUCGAAGCCCGUGCAGGCCGCCUGUGUCGCCAGCUCGCCGAACGCCGCCUCAUGGCGAUCUCCGCGACUCGGGCGGCGCUCGUUCCGUCUUGCCGCGGCGCCAGGUCUGCGUUGGGGCAGUUCCAUCGUUUCCACGCCGCGCACGCAUCGAACAUGCACGAGACGCUUCCGCCGGGCAUCGGGGAGUGGGAGGCGUGGUUGUCGCCGACAAGCCCGGUGAGGUCGCCAAUGAGGAGAACUCCCGAGACGGCGACACCCCAGGGGUGGACGGUAAAAGAAAUACCAUCCACCCUUGGGUUCCUCUGGACCGUCGGAUCGGACUCGACCGGGUGGGAUCGGCUAUCACAAAGAACAGGAGCCCCGUUCCCAACUCGUUCGCUCGUCGAAGCCCGCACAGGUCGCCUGUCGCCGCGCACCGCCUCAUGGCGAAUUAGCGAUCUCCGCAACUCGGGCGGCGCUCGUUCCGUCUUGCGGCGGCACCAGGUCCGCGUUGGGGCAGUUCCAUCGUUUCCACGCCGUGCACUCCUGGAACACGCACGAGGCGCUUCCGCGGGCAUCGGGCAGCGGGAGUCCGGGACGCAACUCUUGCGCGCCGCCGCGCCUGAGCAGCAGCGGUGGGUCCAGCGCGUCCGCACGGAUGCACGAUAUGAUCGCAGACACGAUCACGAGUAGGUGACCACUUUGCGCGGGAACACCGUCCAGGCGUCCGUGGCGAGCAGGUCCAUGACCAAGCGCUGCACCUCGCCGUCGGCGCCGAACCGCGCCAUCCCGACGGCGUCCACCUCGCAGACGAACACUACUGUUUGCGCCGUCUCCAUGGAGAUCCGGAGCACGUCGUGAACCAGUCUGGGGCCGGGCCUCGCGCUGAGGUGCUUGUUCUCGAGCUCCACGCCGUUGACGCGGAUGGAUACCGCCCAGGUGCCGUGGGCGGCUGACCUGGCCCAUGGCCGUCUUAUCGGGCCGGAGGAGCCAUAAAGAGGUACACGAGGCCAAGCCGGCGGCAGCGCGAGUGGAGGGACUGGGUGAUCCUGGGAUCCGGGCCGGCGGUGCUGAUCGCGGAGCGCGCCAUCUCCAACGACUGUCGACUACGUCGACUUCCUCCGGUUCCGUGCCGCGUGCAGGACGUGGCGCGAGUGCGCCGGCGCCACCCCGCUCCCACGCAGAGCCCUGGAAUGGCGGUUCCUCCCCCAGCGAUGGAUCAUGCUCCCGCGCCGCAGCACCUCCGACAACGACGACGCCCACGACAGCCGGCGGUGCUUCCGCGACGUCGCUACUGACCGGUGCUUUUCUCCGUCACUGCUACGUCUUCGACCGCACCACCAAGGGCCUCCUCGUCCUCAACCCGCUGACCGGACCUCACGACGGCGUGGUUGCCAUCGACGAUGGCGACGCGCCGGCGCCAGCCACCAGGCGGGCGGCGGAUCACCCAGGGGUGGAUGGUAAAUCAUAUACCGUCCGGGACUCCGGGGUAGACGGUAAAUGAAAUACCGUCCACCCCUAGAUUCCAUAUUAACCGUUGGAUCGAGCUUGGCCGGCGGAGAUCGACGAGCGUAAUCGCAAAAAGGGCCCCCUUCCCACUUUUCCUUUCUCGUCCAAGUCCGCGCGGCCUCGCGGGUCGCCACGCACCGGUCGGCCGUCGGCGGUCGCCGCACGUCGCCCCCAUGCCGGCCGCCUCAGAUCAAGCCGCGGCUAUCUCGCCGGUUCCUCCCGUGUCGUGCCGUGUCGACAUGUCCUCCAGCUUGAUGUCGCACGGCCGCACGCCUGGAACGCGAGCCGCUAGCUUCUGCCGCGCAUGCCGGCCCGGCAGCCGGGAACGCGUCGCACACUAUCGUGGGCCACUCGCACAUGAUGCCAUCAUUCAUCAACUCAUCAUGUGGCGCUCGGCCUCUCGGCGUCCCCGACGACGGAGCACGGCGGUGAGAUCUGCCAGCUGGGGCCCGAAUGGGAACGAGACCAAAAAUCUUCUUCCUGGUGUCACAGUCCUUUGCAUUUCUGUUGCUCCGCCAUUUUUUAACAUGCCUAGAUUUCUAACAAAAAUCUAAUCUGCAAGGGAUCCCUGUCAGCAAAUCGCAAAGGAAGGAUCAUCAAGGUCGGCGACCCGGUUUAUGUUUUGCAGUCAUUCCCUUCUCCUGAUGAAGCUCCAGCCUGAGUCCAUUACGGAGUACGUAACAAUUGCUUCCUGUUGUUGUCAUACUGUGUGUGCAAGGGACUACCAGCUAGAUGGAUAAUUAUUGCUAGCAAUAGCAACAACUACGUAUAUUUCAAUUCAAACAGAGUUUAAACAUUCAAAAAUUUCAAAAAUUGUGUUGUGCGUGUGGUUGUCCGUCCAAAGUUCAUACAUUCAGAAAUUUAGAAAACUGUGUUGUGUACUUGUGUGCAUGCAACGAACCCAGAUGCCAGAUCUUCAAACCUUUCAUGGCAUCCGAAGAAAAUUAUUGGACUCUGAAAUUAUCAAAAAUGAAAAGAGAGAACAGAAGUCACUGCCCUUGCUUUGCAAAUCGCCUGGUGCUCGCGGCGUGGAGGUCCAUGACUCCAUGGCCAUCGCCGCCGCGAUCACCUCCUCAACAUCCAUCUCUCUCCCGUCUUCAACAUUCUUCUUCAUAUCAUCAGUUGAUUAUCGGAGUAUCAUCGGGGCGGAGAUACGAGUGCUAUGGUAGGCGGAGAUACGACAUGCGCUCCAGUAUUUUACAUAAACAGAUCGCGAUUAAACCUCCUAACCUGGAUUGCCAUCAAUAAUCGCGAUCCAAAUAUUUACGUAAAAGACCCUAUUAUAUUUUCAAAAUAGUCCCUAUUUUCGUUUUGCCCCUGCUAUCCUCUCCCUCGUGGCUCCGGCGAGGUGGCGACGGCGAUGGCCGCCGCUACUAGCUUUCCCCUUCCGGCUUUCCUGCCGGAUCUCCGCUGUCGCGACCCCCGCUCUCGAGAAGCUGCCCGGCGGUGUUUUGGCAUGGCGAUGCUGCCCGGCGGUGUUUUGGCAUGGCGAUGCUGCCCGGCGGCCGGUGAGGGUAACCGGCGCGGCUCAUGUUCCAUGAGUACUGAGUGUGAGGCUUCAGGACUCAGACGAACUGCCGUCCCUCCUCGCCGCGGCAGCCUGCGCGCCGUGGGCCUCCUCGUCGUCCUCUUCUUCUUCACAUCAUAACUUUGAGGUAUCAGGAUAUUACUGUAGUUGUGAGUCCGAUGAGGCACAUAAGUAUACUUCAGAGUUCAGAAAUUUUUAUGCGCUUGUAUUUGCUAAAUGGCUUAUUUUAGGAAAUUCAGUGUCGCAACAUGCUUGUUGUGUCAUCAGAUAUUUUACUGAAUCAUUACUCUGUAUGAUGUCCUAAUUGUCUAUAUUUUCUUUUUCUUCUUUGCAUAGUAAAAUCAGCAACACGACUAUGUCCUACGGUGUGGCUUCAGUUUUUUUCCCCCUACAUGAUUAGAUCAUCUGUUGAGCUAUGUGAUAACUGAUGAUAGUUAGUUGAGUUAGUAUUGUUCUUAAGAGAUAAUCUUCAAUAAAAUUGUCAUAUAAUUCGUGCCAUCUAUAAUUUCCAGGAACAUAGAACCAGUAAAUUCAGUACUGCGAUGAGCACCAUUUUAUUCACUUUGUCCUGGAUGAUUCAGGUGCCUACAAUCAAUCAAGACACUGGAAUACCUAGCUCUACUGAACCAACUGGAACUCUGCAGAGAUAUCGGUCCGGUGAAGUGCUGCUUUCAAGCCAAAAAAUAAACGGCAGGUGAUUGUGGCUCGCAUCUUAUCCGCAGCAUUUGCUAGUCCAACGUGCUCAUGAAAUAGAUUCAUAAUGGCCUAAAUUGUUGAAAAUCCAUGCUUUCUUAUCGAUUUUGUAGGUGUACUUGGGACAAAAUGCAGUCUGCAAGGAAUCUCUGUCAGUAAAUGGUGAAGGAAGGAUCAUAAAGGUUGGCGAUCCAGUUUAUGCCAUGCGGUCAUUCCAUUCGUCUGAUGAAGUGCCAGCCUGAGUGACUGAACUAUGAUCAGGAGUGCCUAACAGCCACUUCUGUGUUGCAUGUGCAUAAUCCAACACGGAUCAUAGUGAUGUACAUGUGUGUGAUUCGUAAUCGAAGCCUGUCUGACAAAAGUUCAGACAUGUUGUUUGCCCAAAGAAAAUUCAGAUACUCUGCUGAAUCCUUUUAUGGAGUUAGCAAUUCACUAUGAGUCUAUGACUGUUCCAAUGGCGUCUUCCUAGCUAGCCAAUGUGAUAAGGAAGGUAGUAGUCAGUUCCUAGCUAAACCUCCCCCUCCUUUUGCUGUAAGGUCGCACUCAUCUUGAGAAGCUGAUAUCAGUGCUUCCCAUGAACCUUGAAAUAGUGAAAGAAGAGGAGAGAAAUCACUGUGCUGGUGAUUGGUUAGGUGGCCAGAUUUCAAGCCAGGGUUGGCUGAAACCAGGUCAGCUCGAUCAUGUCUUAACCAAUGCAACACUCUCGUUCGGUUGACUUGCAUUACCUAAGCCUGCAUACGGUUUCUCUUGUUUGGUUACCUUGCUUGACUUGAGUGUGUUUACCUUGCCCUUGUUGCGUUGAGUAGCUCCAUCACCCUCCCGUAUUGGGAGCUGCUGCACUGCUCAUUGCUCAAACUGAACUGGCAGAAGCCUUCAAUCUUCAGACAAUAUUCAGACAUACAUGAAAGGCAAUUGCUUUUGCAUCUGUAAACCAAUUGAGACACACUAGAAGCUUCACUGCACACCGAAAAUACCAAUCUAAAAAAGAAGAUCAAAAUAGAACUUCACUGCAGCCGGGUGUUUUGAUUGCAAUUGCAGUGUCACCGUCUUGUAUCCAGGCCGAGGUCAUGUAUCCGCCACUAUCACAGGCUCAGAUCGUGCUGGGAGAUCUUGAGAUUUCCCGUCGAUUCUCCACGAAUCAAUUUCCGUGUUCUUGCCAUUGAACUCGAUGGCACGGCCGCCUACGCGCACCGCAGCGCCGGCAACUUACGCUCAGCUCCGCCUCCUUACCAGCUGCUGGUGCCGCGUCGUGGACGACGCUGCGUCUUUUCCUCUCCACACCGCCAAGUCAUCAGUUAUGUGCGGCGGGUUUCGGGAUGGAGGAACGGGGGCGAGCUAGCCGGGAGGCACGGGAGCUGGCUGGUUCGGCCAUGGCGAGAUCGCGCCGCCGUGGCUGAUGCUCAGCGAGUCGGAGGCCGGAGCUCACAUUUUAGAGAAAAUCUUGUGUUAGUAAUACGACGCCCCCAGUAUUUGCAUUAAACCUUUGGAUCGCAAUUAAUAGUCGCGAUCCAAAUCGGGAGUAUAUGUAAAAUUUGAUCCGAACAUUUUUCACGACACCCCCGAAUUUGGAUCGCGAUUGAUAUUCGCGAUCCAAUUUAUGCGGGUAUUUGUAAAGCAUGAUCUAAACAUUUUUAUAAAACCCCCCUAACCGAGCUCUUUUGCGGCCAGACCCCUCCGCUCGUUCGCCCCUUCUCCGACGACGGUGACGGCCGCCUCGUCGCGCCGAGUGGCCUCCGGUUCUCCCCUACCCGAUUCCCCAUAGGAUAUCCCCCGCCGGGCCCCAUUUCUCGCGAGAUUCUCAGCGGCAGUCGGGCUUGUGCUCUUAUGGUGAUGCUGUUGCUGCCCGGCGAUGGGUGAGGGUCACCGGCACGGCGCUCGUUCCCAGUGCAUUGGCUCGAGUUCGCAAACCUUUGUCCCCGUCUUGCGCGGCGCGGACGGCGGACCUCCUCAUCCUCACCGGGCGUCACGUGUACUUGUAACAAGCAAACUUUUUUUUCCUAUAAUACGCCGGAGAGUUGCAUGUCUUUGUAUCAAGAAGAAUGAAAUAAAUUUUUUACAACGCUGGCCUAACCGGACGCACGCACACGGACAUAUUACAUGACUUGUUACAUGAUCGAAACGUACUCAACCAAAACCACAGCAACAAAAACAGCUAGAGCAGGUCAGCUAGCUUGUUGCAGCCCAACUGAAGACACCGAUGUGCCUUGCACCUGCAGCACUCCACAGGUUGGCCUCGUCGACGAUGUCACAAUAGAGCUGCGUGGGUGUCUUCUUCGCUGCUCUCUGAAAAACGCGGUCAUUUCGUUGCUUCCAGAUACGCCAAGAGACCAACAUGAAAACGGAGUCGAGUCCGCUUCUUCUGUCAGCACUGAUCGACUCCCUUUUGUGCAAUCACCAGUCUGAUAACGUUUGGUUUUGUGAAGGCACAACAUUCUGGAGGUUCAGGACUGAAGUUAGCUUGUGCCAAACUUCCUGAGCGAAGCAGCAUCUGGACAGGAGAUGUUCUGCUGUCUCAAUCUCUUGAUCACAAUUCACAAAGUAUGCAUUCCGCCCGAUCUUGCAGGCCAUGCCUUUGUCUCCGAGCUGCAAUCCAUAGUCUUUCCCUUAGCGCCAACCACAUGAAAAAUUUAACCUUCAGUGGCGCCCAGGCACGCCAGACAGACCUCAUUGCCGGGGCUUUCGUCGAUCCAAUGAAGAACGCCCUAUAUGCGGAUUUGGCCGAGUAUGUGCCCGUGCUUUCCCACCUCCAGGACACCCUGUCCUCGACUCCUGGCAGUAACUGAACCGUUGCCACAGCAUGCCAGAGGGAAACAUACUGCGAAAAUGGCGUGCACUGUAGCGCGUCCGACAAAAUCAGCUAUCCAGCGUUUUGCAGGGUGCGGGUGUUUCUGAUUCUCGGAGAGAUGAGCUGACAGAGGUCUGGUGCAAGGAUGCAGGGGGAGUUCUGACCAAGCCAGUUAUCAACCCAGAAUAGUGCUAGAUUGCCAUCGCCCAACUGAACUUGGAUAGAAACUUGUAGCAUUUGUUGCAGACUCCUGUCCCGGGCAAAGUCUGAAGGCAAAUAUCUCCAGGGCCUGUUGGCAUCGAUUUUCUUGAGCCACAGCCAUCUCAAACGCAGGGCAAAAGAGGCGAGACUGAGAUCUAGAAUUCCUAACCCCCCCCCCCCCCCCCCCCCCCAGCUCAACUGAAAACCGUGUGAGUUCAACUGAAAUAAUCUUUGCUUCGAAGAUGAUCCAUUUGGUCAGCAGCAGCCUGAAGGCUGAAGAUGAUCAAUUUUGUCAGCUACAGGUUACAGCAUGCAAUGCAACAUCAUCUGUAGUGACGCUCCGGCCAAGCUGGUAAGCUCAAUUGUUCGCUCAAACUUCAUUGUGAUUUUCAGUUUGGUUCAGAAAUUCAGUAGUAUAUGACAAUCGUCCAUAUAUGUUCUGGCUAUUGCUGUACAUAAAUCACGUAGCUAAGCUCCGCAUGAAACCUAAAAGGUAGAAAUGUGAUUGCUAUUUUACUGGCAAAUUUGCCUGGGAGCUGAACUUUCCCGAACUGUCCCGAACUGAAGAAUAUUUGCCAGAAACACAGAUAUGCUUAAGACUGAAGAGUUGUAGGCUAUAAGCCUAUAAGCAGCUGAAAAAUGACAAUACAUCUCCACAUGCGGCAUUCAAAUGCUGAGGGGGAACAUGUACGUAGCAAGACUUUUCUUGUGCGCACAAAAGAUGUCAUGGGCAAAGUUCAGAUGGCCCUGAACCCAAGCAGCGUGACCAUGCCGAUGCCCGGCGGCCGCACCACAAGGGCAGGGAUAGAGAGGGGGAAUAGGAACUCUUGAUCUAACUAAAAGAGAUACAGUCCCAUCCUUAUAUAGAUGGGCUGACUUGAAACCAAUCUCUAAAAUUAAGGAACCAAAUCAAUCUAAUCUUAUCUCUAAAUAACAAAUCUAAUCCUAGGCUGCUGUGAACAUAACCACGUGGUUACUGUUCGCGUGAACAGUAACUGCGGAUGAACGGUACACCAGCCCUUCAAUGGGUUGGGGCUUCUCCAUCUCAUGGGCCCUAAUAGGCUGCACAUGACAAAAGACGUCAGGAAUAUGCAAGCGUGUGGGCAGUGUAUCCAAGCAAACCUGAAACCUGUUAGAAAAUGUAUGUAUAUAGACAUGAAUGUCAGAGUUUAAUCCCUAAUUUUCAGCAUGUCAAAAGCCCUCCUUUUUUCUGUCAUGUCUUGCAGGUUACAUCCGUUGCUUACAUUUCCUUUUCCCAUCUUGAACAGCACAAUGAUGAGAGGGAAAGAGAACACCUAUUGGCAAGCAUGAGGCCUGUGUACCCAAAGAACAUUCAGGGAUCAGGAUGCCACUUUGACGGCUGGUGGCAGGAUUAUUGAUCGUGGCACAAAGCAAGUCUGUCUUCAGGACUCAAGUGCUGUCGAACUUGCCAUUGUCACUGCGCCACUUGGCUAAUCCUAUCUUUGAUGGUCUGUCAGAGAAGACGUACUCAAACGUUUUGAGUUCCAGCCUUCCAGGCAUAAUUUUCAGCUCGCCAAAAAUCUCUCUGCAAAUUCGGUUACCUACAUCGCCGUGGCAUUGUUUGCUCAGCAAAAUUCCGCCGCUGUGUGGCAUUCUGGCAUGGCCAGACGAACUGCCUGCAUCCAGAAAGACCUGAAAAUCUUUCAUGGAGUCCGGACAAAAUUUCAGACAUGCUGUUUGACCAAAGAAAAUUCAGAUACUCUGUUGAAUCCAUUCAGAAGAAUUAAACCUUUUAUGGAGUGUGCAAUGCACGAGAUCCAUGUACGUCAGUUUAAAAAGCAUGACAGUGACAGUUCAAUGGUGUCUCGCUAAUAUGUGAUCAGGAAGGUAGUAGCAAGUUGUAUUCUAAGAGCAUGUUUAUUUGAGCUGCAGUUUUUGAGUCUUUUUUGAAAUGCUGCUGCUGACUUUUUUUUUAAAAGCCAACACUAGCUUUUAGAAGAUGUGUAUAGCUUUCUGGGCUUAAAAAGCUACGAAAAGUUCGGAAAACUGAGCUUUUCAGCUUCCCAUAUAAACUCAGCUUUUCCGAGCUUAUGUUUUUUCGAAAGCUGCACGGGAAGUUUGCUGUUUGUUUGAGUUUCUAACUUUUCAUACUGCAAAGUUGUCAAAAAGCUCAAACAAACGGGCCUAACAAACCUGCCUCUCCUUUUGCUGUCAGGUUGCAAUCAUCUUGAGAAGCUGAUGUCAGUGCUUCCCGUGAACCUCGAAAUCUGUCUAGUGAAAGGAGAGAGAAAUCGCUGUGUUGCGCUGGAUAGCAUCUGAGCUUGCAGCGCGGAGGUUCAUCGUGGCCGGCGGCGCAGCGCCCUGCUCCUCCAACUCUUUCGUCUCCAGCCUUCUUGUUCGAGAACGCUGACCGGUUCGGCCAUGGCGAGACUAGUACGUGCAAGGACAAGAAAACGUGCCGCAGCCGGGCAAUGACCUCAUCAUCAUAUUCUCCUCUGCAGUCUUCUUCCAUUCACGGAUGCCAUUGCCAUGCCAUCAUCGCAUCGGCAACUAAAGCUAGCGAAUCCGUUUACCUAGGAUUAUUCGUUAUUAGCAGCUGCAGUCUGCAGAUCGAUGACUGCAGCGCCCAGCAAGUGCCACCCGGUGCUGCCCGCGGCGAGGGCGCCUGCGGUGCUGCUGCUGCGAGGACACGCUGGGCGUCCCGCUCCGCCGCGCGCCGGCCCAGCAGCAGCUCGCCGUUCCUGACAAUAAUCCCCCGCCGCCCCGGCCUGGCCCAGCGCGGAUCGUGCUGGUGCAGCACGGCGACUCGGCGAGAGAGAGGGGAACGUGGACGAGUCCGCCUACACUCGCGUCCCAGACCCGCGCAUCGGCCUCACCGCCAAGUGCUAGCGCAACACCGAGGACUGCGGCCGCCGCCUCCGGAACCUCUUCUCCUCCUCCGAGUCCGGCGAGUCGGAGCUCACAUUUUACAGAAAUCUGGUACUGGUAAUGUAAGUACGUGACCCCAGUAUUUGCAUUAAACAUCCUAAUUUGGAUUGCGAUUAAUAGUCACGAUCCACUUAAGGGGGUGUUUGGGUAACACCUCCUAAACUUUAGUACCUGUCACAUCGGAUGUUUGGAUACUAAUUAGGAGUAUUAAAUAUAAUCUAAUUAUAAAACUAAUUACACAGAUGGAGUCUAAUUCGCGAGACGAAUCUAUUAAGUCUAAAUAGUUCAUGAUUUGACAAUGUUGUGCUACAGUAACCAGUUGCUAAUGAUGGAUUAAUUAGGCUUAAUAGAUUCGUCUCGCGAAUUAGUAUAGAGGUUCUGCAGUUAGUUUUUAAUUAGCUCAUGUUUAAUCCUCCUAAUUAGUGUUCGAACAUCCGAUGUGACCCUCUAAAGUUUAGUGUCUCGUAUCCAAACAGCCCCUAAGGGCGGUAUAAGUCAAAUAUGAUCCGAACAAUUUCAAAUAACCUCUUUGGAUCGCGAGUCGCGAUCAGGAGGGUAAAUGUAAAAUGUGAUCCGAACAUUUUUACAACCCGAUCCUGGGCUUUUGCAAAAAACAACUUUUGCGGCCGGAAUCCCUCCGCGCGUUCCUCCCCCUUCUUCUCCGGCGACGGCGACGGACGCCUCGUGGCCCCGAGCGCGAGCGGCCUCCGGUUCUCCCCUACCCAAUUCCCCAGCGGAUAUCCCCCGACGCGCCCCUCCUAGUCAAUUUUUCGUGCGAUUCCCAGCGGCAAUCUGGUGGUGAUGGGUGAGGAUCGCCGGCGCGGCGCUCCUUCCCGGUGCAUUGGUUCAAGUUCGCAGACUUUCUCCUCCAGAUCAUCCAGGUCGCCGCAUCCUUUUUCUCCGUCUUGCGCCGUUGCGAGGUGCAGACCUCGUCAUCCUCGCGCGGGCGUCACCUGUAUUCAUAGGGAACAAGCAACUCGUGUGAAUUCUACUGAAAUAAUCUUUGCUUCGAAGAUGACCAGUUUACUCAGCAACAGCUUGAAGAUGAUCCAUUUAGUCGUCAGCAGCUUCCAGCAUGCAAGAUCAUCUGUACUGACGCCCCCACCUAGAUGGUAAGCUCAAUUGUUUGCUUCAACCUCAUUGUGUUCUUCAGUUUGGUUCAGAAAUUCAGUAUUAUGAAGACCAUCAUAUUGUAUUCCGGAUAAUCCUGUAACCAAAUCAUCAGCUGGCUAAGUUCCACAAGAGAAACAUAAAAGGUAGAAAUGUGACUGCUAUUUUACUGGCUAAUUUGCAUGGGAGCUGAACUUUUGUGAAGCAGAAGAGCGGCAGGCUAUAAGCAACUGAAAAAUGUCAGAAUACGGCUCCACUCGUGAGAGCCAAACUCUGAGGGUGAACAUGUACAUAGCAAGACUUUUCUUGUGCGCACAAAAGAGAAGGCGAAUUUUGCAAGCAUGUGUGUACAGUGUAUCCAAGCAACCUGAAACCUUUUAGAAAAUGUAUAUACUCCGCAGAUAUAAUUAUCAGAAUCUCCUCCCUAUAGAAACAGCAGCUCACUUGUGUUUGCACUGCUGCUAUGCAAAAGAGGUCUGGCUGUUAGUGAGCAAUUGGACUUCCGGCAUCAUCAAAGUCCCAGAUAGGCAGGGGGAAGAGAUAGAAGAGUGGUGGAGGAGAAGCCUGGAGCGACUCUCACAAAAUCAGAAAAGAUCAACGGCAGCGCUCUUGAUGUAUACACUAUACAGCAUGAACCAUUUGGAAAGAAAGGAAUCGAAGAGUGUUCGAGGGGACGAGCCUUCAGCCUUCUCAGGUUUUCAGCUUGAUCAAAGAGGAAGUUUGAGUUUCUCAGGGCACCCCUUCUUUAGUUUAAAUGUCUCUAGAGUUUGAGUUUGAGUUUCUGUUUUAUUGUAAUCACAACAUUGUUGUAACCUGUUUCUUCUUCCUUCUUAAAUGAAUUGGCAGUGCUCCUGCCUUCUUUCAAAAAAAAAAAAGAAUCUCCUCCCUAAUUUUCAGCAUGUCAAAAGCUCUCCUUUUUUUUUGUCAUGCCGUGGCCCAAAGCAAGCCUGUAAUACCACUGCGCCAUUGGGCUAUCCUAUCUUUGAUGGUCUGUCAGAGAGGAUGUACUCAAACGUUUUGAGUCCCAGGCCUAAUUUUCAGCUUGCUAGAAACCUCUCUGCAAAUUCCGGUUAACGAAACUCAUCAGUCCCAGAUUGAAACAGCCGCUCCUCGUCUUGUCGUCGAACUGCCAACGGCGUGGGGUGUACAGGUAGUACACGGGGUAGGUGGCCUCGGCGUUCCCGGGCAAGAGACACUCACGGCGUCCGACCUCGGCGAAAGGCGCGCAGUGCACUCGGACCUCUCUGGGCGACGACGACGAUGCGGCUGCAGAUGGACCUCAUCCUCGCCGCGUACACCUGGAACGAACACGAGCCGCUUCUGCCGCGGUCCGGCAGCUGGAACUCGAUCGACCACGCACACGCCGUGUCCUCGCGGCUCGUUGCCAUGACCCCGCGCACGCAACUUGCCCGGCGCGUCGCCGUCGAACCUCGGUCCAUCUCGGCAUCUCCACCAGCACGAGUGUUAAACCACAGGCUUGGAAGAACGGAGGUGUGUAGGCGUGUUAAACCACAGGCUUGGAGAACGGAGGGCGUGGGCGCCAGCUUGACCUGCUGCGGCAAGAAUAAAGGAGCACGACGCGGGCGGCGCGGCGCCUUGCCGACGCGCGCGCCAGUUCGGUGCACGGCAGCACAAUGUUGAUGCAUGACAAGGCGUGGCCUGCAGCCACGCUUGGUCCAGCGCGUCCGCACGGAUGAUUGCAGCCACGAUCACGAGUACGUCCGAUCAUAAUAUCCUGAUUCUUUGUGGAAGCUGAUUUUCUAAGAAAAGGAGCAGUAAUUCUUUAUCUGAAAAUGAUUCUCUAGUAUAAAUUUUUAGAAUAAGGAUGGAGAAUCACUUUAUAGAAUCAGAAGAAGGUACUUUUUUUACUCCCAACCUCUUAAAAACCUCUUAGUUUAUUUAAGAGAAUCACUUCACAGAACCAGCAGAAAAUCACUUUCUCUCUAAAACUAUUUGGCAAAACUCCUGCUAGAAUCGGCAGAGAAUCAACUCCGGAAGCUCUGCCAAACGCACCUAAGAGGCCAAGUUCUGAUUCAUUUGAUCCGUACAGCACAAUCAUGAUUCGACCAUCUACUACAGGCCAAGUCAUAGAAUGUAGGUACCUACGAACACAGUUUCACCGCCAAAAACGAAAAUACAGGCAGGUCGUUUCGAGGAAGCAGCGUAGCAUUGGCAUUUGGCAUCUCAGCUGUGGAAAAGAAACAAAACGCCAACACCCUGCUGUCAACAGUCAAUGUAGUGGCGACCACCUCUGCGUUAGCCCUCGGCCCAGAUUGGCGUAGAUGCGGCAGAACGGGAGGUCACGGAGAGGCUUCAGUUCCAUGAGAAAGAGAUGAUGGGGCCUAAGGAUUGCAUGACUGAUAAUCAUCGAGGAGUAUGACCUCCAUCGGUUCCAGAAGUCAUUCACACAAGUACACAACAGACAUGCAGACUGUAGAGCAACCUUUUCCUUCUGUUCCUAGCUGCAAAUCACAUUAUUUUGUAAAUUUCCUUGUUUGCCUGAAGCCCUGCCUGAACCUGAAGGAAUAAUAUGACAACAUAAAUUAGCAUGCCACCAAGAAACUUUGCAAUGCGAAAAACCAAGGUGUUCAUCACCUUGAUUGUACCGAAUCAGCACGGAAGCGGAACUGUUAGCUUGAUUAGUACCUUCUUAAUACUGAGCACUUGAAAAGUGGACUCCCAUCUGAAAAACAGCCUCCUCUGUGGAAGCGUAAAGCUGUACAUUUCAGGCAUGGUACAUUUGCAUGGUUAGCCCUUCAUUUUAGUCUAGAAAUCAACUGACUUUGCUUGAUUGUAGAGGUUUCUGAAGUAAUCCUCCUGUUCCCAAGUACUCUUCAGCAAAAAGUUCGUCGUUUUUUGCAAGCAUGUCUGUCAGACUACAGUCUAUGUUUCUACUCUGCAGUACCCAAAACCGUGGCUUUAUCCUCCCUUCAAGUGAAUAACUGAAGUACCUUGGAUAUUCUACAACUGCUUUAAGUGGCUUUUUCAUGAUUCUUAACAGAAACUCAAGCUUUGGUUUCAUAACAAGCUCGAUACUGUAACCUAGAAGUGGGGAAAAUCUAAAGAUCAUUGAGCGCACGUCUUUCUUAGACAAACCCGCCUCCAAUAGGUAGUUCAUUCUGUAAACGUUGAAAUUAAAGUUACAUGUAUCAAGCACUUACAAAAAACAUCUUGUUAACAUACUUGACAAAUGAAAAUCACAAGGUUAAACUUUAGAAAAAACAUACGGCAGUGGUUGAAUCAGAAAUAAGUACUAGGAGUUGUACAAGUGGAUUAUGCUACCGACCAAAAUGAAUAACUAGCAUCCAAGAUUGCAAAAAGUAUCACUAAAAGGCACAACCAUCCACGUAGGGAAACAACAUUAGCAAUAAUGAUACCAAAAGCUUGCAGCUUGCAGAAAACUCUAGACCAUGGCACAAUUAAGAGGUACACUAAGUUUGCAAUAUAAAAUGUCUAUCUGGGCUGCAUUUUCUAUCACACAAAGUUGCAGUCAUACCUGGGGAGCAGUGUAUCAUUUAUGUCCAACAAUAAAAUCUCAGGAUACUUCCUAAUGAUGCGAGGAAGAUGAUGUUUGGAAACACCAAAGUCAAUAAGAAAGUCAAUUUUCUUCUUGAGGGUACUUUCCACAUUUGAAGCAAAUAUUUCAGGAGAACGACACAAAAUCUUUCCUACUGUUUCCUUAUCAAAACCCAUUUCCCUGAAAAAGAAAACAAUCUGAAACACAAGGCAGAACAGUUAGUACUAAGAUAACAAUUAUCAGAAGAUGGGGGCAUCAAAGAUGUAUAAGAGCAACCACUCAAGAGUCAAGACUCAAGACACAAAACCAUCCCCAACUUUGGAUACAAAUGUGCCUACUGUGGAUACAGUUACAAACAUUGGAUGUUGAGUUAUUGUCCACCGCUUUCAUGACCCAUAAAUCUUCAUCCUAUCCAUUGUGGCUAAUUGGAAAAAUAUGUGAAUCUGUAAAACCUGAUGUACCAUCAUUACAGCCAUCAUCCAUGUCAACUUAAAGGACAUGUGAUGGUGGUCAAACAAAGUAUUCAUUUUACUGAAGCUUUGGUUCCAGUUUGCUAAGAAAAUUAUAAGCAAGCAAAAGAAAGUUUUUCCUUUACCAAACGGAGUAUAAAUAUGUAAACGAAAUUAUAUUAAUGAUUACACACCUGCAGAAACUCGUUAGGUUUUCUCAGCAACAAUUGCGGACUUGAUGUAAUGACUGGAGCCACCAUUUUCUUAGUGAUGCCCAGAUCAUCAAACUGCUCCAGAAUUAAAUUCAUUCUUUGUGUAGAGCAGCCAAGAAUAUGAGGCCAACUUUUCACAGCAAUACCAAGGACUGUACUGGAAAUCUGAAAGCAAAACAAUUGACUUACUACUCCUGGCAACAAGAAACAGAAGGCAGAACAGGGUAAAUAAAUGAAAAAGAAAUUAAAACAUAAAUAGUGAGAAAAUUCUUUUUUUCAGUUACCUUUUUUCGCUUUAAGAACAAAAGGAUCCGUUUGUAGUUCUCUAUCACACUUGUUGAAAGGAUCCAUGGAUACUUCAGCAACAUCCUACCAAUAUGUUCUUGUUCAAUGCCAGCCUAGUAAAUUUAGAAAUGGAUAAUAGUAUUAUUGUAUUAUAUUCAAGUGAGCACCAAUCUAGCAGAUACCAAUGGACACCACGAACAUAAAUACCUUCUCCCAUUCAUGAAUCCUCGGCUUGAUAUCAUUUUCAAUGUCAGAAAGAAUGAUAGGAGGAAAUGACAGCAAAACUGAUGCAAUCCUUGGGUUUGGAAUUCCAAUGUACUCAAGAAAAUCAAUUAAUGGCUUUAGAUGAUUAUCCUCAGAGCAGAGAAGCAGCAUGGGAAACGACUCAAUGAGGUAAGGAAAUGACACAUCUCCAUGUCCCAACAUGCUAACACCACCAUACCUGGCCUCCAUCUGCAAUAAUAGGGUUCAAGAAAACAUUAAUUUCUGCUGAUACUCAGUGCAAUGAAACUGAACAAUAAGCAAUAGUCAGGACUAUGAAACUUACUUUUUCAAAAAAUGAUAAAGUACUUUGGAGUGCAUCGUCUGCAGGUAUUGAUAAGUGUGUCAUCAUGCGCUUAGAAUUCCUUCCAAUAAUUGUUGCAUAAUCACUGCUUGAAAAUAACAUUUCCUUCAAAAACUUAACCUAUAUGUGAAUAAACCAUAAGAAAUGAGUGCAGUGAUCUAGUGAACAUAUUAUAGUGCCAAGGACAACUGCAACUAUUGAAGUAACAUAUUGACCAAUGAUCACUAUGAUCCAAUCUAUUUGUUACCCUUGGGAUAUAAUGUAUAAUGUCACCAUGGACUAGUGUUACUGAAAACUUGGUGCCUGAAUUCUAAAUUUCUAAUGUUAAGGAUUCCAUUAAAAUGUCUUCCUGCCAUGCUAUGGAAAAUGGAAGUACUAUUGAGAUUCGUGGUGUGAAUGAGAAUAGGAGCAAGACUCACAUAACGUCUUUAAAAAAAAAGAAGAAGAAGACUCAUAUACUUGAACACAUGCUUUGUGCAGGACUACAAGCUUGCAACUGAGAACAAUACCAACUUUUUUGCAGGUAAAAUAUCAGUUUGAGUGCUCCAUGUUUAAGUUUAAUACUAGCUCGAUUGAACUUUGUUCAAGUUCAGCCAAACACACCCGAUAAGAGGUCAUGGAUUAGGUUGGACUCGUAGAAAAAAAUAUGAAGUAACCCUGCAGUUAGCAGUUUCUACAGGUUUCACCAAAUUUCACUGCCAAUUGCAACAUGUACGAAGUAUUCUUUCAACACGGACCAAACUCGCGGAAAUGCAAGCAAAUUGAGCCCAAAUUGGAGUUAACUCUCACCCGAUCAAUCAGCACAGGGAGGCCAGCGGCCGCGACGUACGGCGCGAUGAGCUUGGCGGAAGAGAGCCGCACCCCGAAGCUCUCUAGGAGCGGCACCACGCCGUGGUCGUGCUUGCUCCGCCCCAUGAGGUACACCUUCCUCCGGAACCCGAGCCUCCCCAUCUCCAUCUCGACGGCCCCGCUGCGGCCCACCCUGGCCCCGGCGCCGGAGCUCCACGACGCCCAGAGGCCGAGCUCGUCCAGCUCCCGGACUCCGUCGGCGAGCAUGGUGGCGUAGGCCGGCGCGCGCGCGGCGAUGGCGGUGGCGUCGGCCGGGGAGGCGCCGCUCUCGCGUAGGAGCUCCGCGACGGCUGCCUCCGCCUCGCGGGCGUCGUAGGCGGGCGAUGCGGAGGCGGACGUGGACGAGGAUGUUGUCGCGGGGAAGGCGGCGAUGGGCCCGCAGCGGCGGCGGCGCGGGAGGAGGAAGAGGAGUGGGAGAGGGUGAGGAUGCGUUUUGGGGUGGAAUUGGGUGGGAAGCGGGAGAGCGCGCAGUGGUGGGGUUGCAGGUUUGGAGAGGAGAAGAUGGAGAAGCGGGAGAGUGGCGGUGGCGGUGGCCAUGGCCACGGCGGAGGCCGGAGGGGGACGAGUGGGAGGGAAGAAGGGGUGAAGUGUGAAUCCCCCGCGCGCUUGUAACGUUCCCGCGUGCAUUAUCCAUGGAUGAGAAAAACUUCGGGAAGAAAUCAAUUUUCUGCCACAAAAUUUCACAGUUAUUUCCGAUUACUGGGUUUUCCUCAUCAAAAUUUGCCUACUUUCACCGAAUUUAGUUAGUUUUGGUUUGGUUCUAAUACUUUCAAAGAGUCCUAUUUUGAGACUUUCUAGUUUGUUUUCUUCCCAUUCCUGUGAAACAGUUAUUGAUUUUAUUUUUUUAGUUUUGCUAAUUGGGUUCUGCGGAAUAAAUUGGUAACCAGAACUCCAGAAGAAUGCUCCUAGGUCCUGUUUGGAAUGACGUACUCCUCGGGUUCUUUAUGGAUUAUUAAACCGAUAUUGUGUCAAAUGACAAGAUUCUAUAGGAGCGUAUCAAUAAAAAAUUCAUGAUGGAACUGAAUAAGAAGAAUUAAGGAAUUAUUUUUGUAAAAGUGUGCUAUUCGUAUGCCGAAACAGAUCCGAAAAUGCUACGAGCCCUUUUUUUUUACCCUUGACUUUUAGUUUGUCUAUCUUUGAUCUCCAACUCUAACAUUAUACUCCAACUUCCAUUAUAGCUAGCGUAGUUUUGACCCUUGAGCCCAUCCAAAGCAAUUCAAGGUUGACGUGGCAGCGACUUUUUAAUCUGGGUGGGAGAAAAUAUUUGAAUGAGGAAGGAAAGUUACUCGAUCACUUCCAAAAAACUUUGAAAUAGACAUUGGACAAAAAUAAUUGCAGCUCAUGAAACAAGUUCUAUAAUCUAUAACAUUCAAAUGAAAGACUCAAUAAAUCUUAGAAAAUGUAUUUGAGUAUUUAUUGAAUCUUUUAUUUGAAUAGCAUAGAGCUUGUUUCACAAACUCUACUUAUUGUUGUGGGGUUCCUUAUGUCCAAAUUAUCUUUAGGAUUCUUUUCUGAAUUUUUGAGAGGUGUUUGUUUUCCUCAUCUAAACAUUUUGUCUUCAUCAAAGUUAAAAAAAAUUGCAAUCACGUCUAAUCUGCUUUGUCUGGCCUUAGGGGCAAAUGAGACUAUUCAAAGUAGAUCGUAUCAAACUAGAUUGUAUUUUGAGUAUAAAAACUAGAUAAACUAAACAGUUGAGGGUCAAAUAUGAACUUAGUUUUAUUUGAUUUUUUGACAGUUCAUGCGCUAAAAGGAGUAUCACGGUGGAGUGUCUUUUGUCCCUACUGACUGCACACUCCACACUAUUUAUCCUUUUUUUUUUGUCCAAACACCAAAGAUACACUACAUAUAUGCAUGCUCGCGUUAUGAACACACGCACACAUACACAAUCUACCCCUAUGUUUGUUAUGGAUGGGCAUUCGCCGACUAUUUAAAUAAAAAAAAAUAUGAGCACAUGAUGAGUUGAUGACUCGAAUCUGUGCUGCACAAGUUCCACCACAAUAAAUCCAAUCAACUGAGCUAAGUUUAAUUCACUCAGAUCAUUUAUGCCUCCCACAGUCCCACUAUCUUUUUUUACCACCAUGUGCAUUUGCAAAAUGACCAAAACCAGUUUUAUAACAAUCCAUAAGCUAGAUGCCAUAACUUAAGAAUUUCUAGUUGAUCCAAACAUAUAGACAAACACAUAUAGCGCAUGCGUAAUGCAUGCAUUUUCCUAUAGAAGAGCUAGUGAUCUAAAGUCCAAAUCACCACGAUCUAAUCUGAAUGUGAGCGACAUUGGACUAUUGGAGAAAGGCGCAAAAGGACUCUGGGAGGAAGCUGCCAAGUGCCAACCAUAAUCAAAAUAGACACAAGUACGCAACCUUGUGAAAUGAUGUUGAUGUGAAACCUAAAUCAUAUUGAGAGCACUCCAAGGGCUAAAUCCGUUUUGAAUUAUCGUGGCUGUGAUGGAACUUUUGAAUUUCGGCCGCGUCGGGAUGGGCCGGCAUGUGAUCAAAGAUAUACGUAUGACCCGUGCCAGCCUUUUGUCCAGCCCGUUGGCAUCUACCCCCAACUACCCGCUUCGGAUGGAUCAGUUCGCAAAUGUGUCGCUUGCCUGUGGGCCCAGACCCGUCGUCAGCACCACGCCCCGCAUGCGCUCCCGCAUUUGUCCCGUAGCGGGCAAGAUUCAAACACCGGAGCGAAUCUCCAGGUCCCACAGUCACUGAGCCGUGGGUCCAGAGCAUGAUGGCCCGCAUGUCAGGAGCGAACCUCUUGGGUGAAAUUCGAAUCGCGGCACCCAAAAGCGCGAAAGGUGCGGCAACUCGCCACCUCGAUCGACUUCAUUGCUCCGCUCACAAGAGCGUCCACCCUCUCAGCCCAUGACAUGUGGGUUCAGUAUCUUUCGGACCCCACGUGUCAUCUCGAGAACGGCGUGGGUGAGAGAGGCCCCGGUGAUACCGCCUCGGAGACAGAGAGGUCAGCGGAGGUGGAAGACUACUGGUCCUCGGAGUUGGCGCUCUCCUCCUCCCCUUCCUCGCCUCCUCGGUGUGGGGCACAGGGGCUGUGGGCACGAGAGGAGAGAGAGAGAGGAAAAGGUGUAGAGAGAGAAAAGUGAGAAGGCCUGCCAAUUUACAUGAUUACCGCGUGGUAAGUUUGGAAUUCAAAAUCCCUUCUAGUACGGGAAAGAGGCGAGGCUUCCAUUCCAAGCCUGCGCGGCGGUCCUCCGGGCGGGCUCUCGCACUCGCGGUCGCGGAGAGAUCUCCGAGCAUCCCCCGCCGCUUCCGCUGUAUGUGCUGUUCCUCCUCCUUCCGCGUGUCAUUUGCAGUUGCUUAGUUGAAGUCUUAUUAGUUCCGCUACGUGAUUGAGUUUUUUUUUUUUUUGGGUGUGUGAGAUGCGGGAGUGAGGAUGGGAACCGGCAGUUUCAAAUUUCUCUCCCCAAUGGUUGGUGGCAAUGUUAUGCUUCGUUUUUUAGGCUGCUUUCGUGUUCCUGUGACUCUUUUUUUAGCCCGGAGGGGCUCCAAUUGCUCUCUGAUCUCUAGGUUUCGAGGGUUGCUGAGCAGUUAGUAAAAUGUGCGAGUGUAAGCGUGAGGUACGGGCGUGAUGCUGCUCAGCUCAAAUACUCUGAUCGUUUAGUUUUGGUUGGUUGGUUUUUAAUCAGUUAAUUCUAUUUCGGUACAUUUCUGAAUCGAACUAGUGUUGAUUUGGGCAGUUAAGCACCAACUGUUAGAUGAGCACAGAUUAGAUGCUAAUGUGGAUAAACUGGUUGUUUUCGGAGCUCAAAUUUGUCAUUCUCUUAAUGAAUGCACCAAUUUUAUUACCUCUUAGGUGUAUGUGUGUCUGAUCUCUCAUAUGAGUUCAUGUGUGUUUUGUGUUACAGACAGGUAAGGAAUGGGAGGGGAAACUACAGGAAACACGGUCUCCGUUGCCCCGGUGGAGAAGGCACUGUCCCUCUCCCUGUACGUUUUCCUGUGAGAUCCCUGCUAAUUUGUUCACGGAGCUGUAUCUUGUGAGAGCAUUACACUACCAUGACGAAGUCCAGUGCGGUUACUUCGAAGGGCAAGGCCGCAUUUGAGCUGAAGCACAGGCUGGUCCAAGCUGUUAACAAGAUUGCUGACAGAGACACAUACCAGAUUGGAUUGGAUGAGCUCGAGAAGAUGGCGGAUACCCUGGCCCCUGACAUGAUCGGUCCCUUCUUGUCAUGUGUGAUUGACACUGAUGCUGAGCAGAAGAGUGCAGUGCGCAAGGAGUGCAUCAAGGUGAUUGGCACACUGGCACGCUUGCAUGGGAACCUACUGGCACCACACAUGGCGAAAAUGGUGUCCAGCAUCGUUAAGCGCCUGAAGGACACCGACUCAGUUGUUAGAGAUGCAUGUGUUGACACUUGUGGUACCCUUGCAAUGUGCGCCAGAAGUUAUGGGGAUGGUGGUGCGGCAUUGGUGGCAUUGGUGCGCCCCCUGUUUGAAUCACUGGGUGAACAGAAUAGAUAUGUUCAGGCUGGGGCAGCAUUGUGCUUGGCCAAGGUUAUAGAUGAGAGCAAUUACUUCCCUGGACCUGUUCUCCCGCAGAUGCUUGUCCGUGUUGUUAAGCUGCUCAAGAAUCCCCAUUUCAUGGCAAAGCCCGCAGCGAUUGAAUUGAUAAGAAGCAUUGUUCAGGUUUGCACUCUUGUUUUUGUGUAAGCAAUGCCAUCCCACUAUUGAUAUACUUUUUUAUGUCUACAGAUUACCUUGUUUAUCUGACCUUGUAAUUAGUACCAUGAGAAAGUAGCAUUCUUCUGUGCAACCAUAUAUGUUCUUUAUUCAAUGGUUGCUUAGUUAGUUUGCCAUAGAAAUACUGCAAUCUUCCUACAAAGUCAAAUGUUUUUAUUGCUCCUUCGAGUCUAGAUCAUGCAUCUGAUUACUAGGUUGAUUUGUAUUUAUAUGCUGUAUAAAUUCCGCAAGACUUCUUAAUAUCUUUCAAGGACUAGAGUAAUAAACAUCAUCUUCAACUUGGUUCCACUUCUUGUAACUACCAGUAAGAUCUUACAUUAUGUUAGUGUACUUAUUUUGCUUUGCUCCCCAUUUUCAGGCUGAAGGUGCUUCCACAGAGCAGGCGUUAUCAUCAGCUCUAACAAGUAUUAUGGAUGCACUUAAGAGUAGCGACUGGAAUACAAGGAAGGCUGCCUCUCUUGCUCUUUCAAGUAUUGCUGUCAGUUCUGGGUAUUUGGUUGCCUCUUUCAGAACUUCCUGCCUUCGCUCCCUUGAGCGUAGUAAAUUUGAUAAGGUAUUUUUAUCCCUACUCUCCGUUGUACCUGCAGAAUUUUUUUUCCUAGAAUACGCAGGAGAACUGCGCAUCAUUCAAUUAAGAGGAAGGUAAAAACGAUGUUUGUACAACGCGGGCCAUUAACCGGGCACUCGCACACGGUAGUGGAAAUAGACAGAGAUUACAUUUGUUAAAAGGGGGCGUCUACUAGCAGAAUUUAAGACAUAGAAAUCGCAACGCUAGCUAACGAUCAGGAGGCUUCCAACCAAAAGCUUCCAUGUUUCGGGCACCACUUUGAGCCCAAAGCGACAUAUUUUUCUAAUGACUUACUGACUUCAUGCCUCCUAUUAUAGGUAAAACCAGUUCGUGAUGCCAUUAUACACGCAAUUCAGCUGUGGAAAGCUAUUCCAGGGUCUCAUACUCCUGAACCAUCGGAAGCUGGAUCAUCAACAAAAGGUACAGAAGAUGUUCCUUUAAUUCACAUUUAGCAGUCGAUAUGGGCAAAACAGUUAUAACACUGUUUUGUUUUUGGCUUCUUUCAAAUCCGCUAAUCCUUAUCUUAUUUUAAAUCAAAAGUUAGCAUACAUAUAUCUUACUUGUUCUAUUCACCUCAUUAAGAAAUUUGUUUGAUUACCAAAAUAAUUAAGCUAAUCAGAACCCACCUGAUGUUCUAUAUGUAAGCACCUCUCUUGUUUGUCAACUCUUCCAGGAUUUUAUGCAUCUUAACUCUGGAAUCUUCAACCAAAAGAAUCAAAUAACUAUAAAAGUACUCUAGGUGCCAAGGUAGCAAUGCUAAUGAUCUUCGUAGAUUUCUUCUUGGAUCAUGGCUAACUAUAAACAAUUAUGGAUGGCAACCUUUUCUUUGUGAGUUCUAUUUUUCAUAUUUAUUGUGUGCUUAAAUGAUCAUCCAAGAAUACCACAAUACCAUGUUACUGCCUUCUUAUGGUCUGUGCUUAACGUGUGAUGCUGCUAGCUAAUUAAGAUCCUUCUACAAAAUUAUUUGUUACAUGACCUCUGCAUUAUUUCUAGCUUUUGUCUUUCGUUAACCACAACCAUAUAAUCAGCUUAUUUUCUAUUGCCUAUCAUUUUUUUCUCACAGAGAACUUCUUUGGUGACCAUCAUGAUGCCAGAAGUAUACAUGAUGGUGGAUCACGAGAUACUUCUUUUAGGAGAACAGAUCAUGGGCCUUCCGUAUCUGUUACCAGUGGCAGUUCUAUCACUUCAGCAAAGAGGAGAUCCCCUUUGUCAAUCAACAAAAUAGCCCUAAACAAUGCUGCAAAUAUGCAUCGCUUGAAGUCUGGUGAUUGGCGUGUUGAGGUGUCAGUUCCAAAGCAGAAUAUGAUGCCAUUGGUUGAUAUUGAUGAGAAGGGGUCCAGUAAAGUCUGCAUCCUAAAAGAUGCAAAGAGAAAUGCAUAUGAAAUCGCUGAUGAAGACAGUAAGUUUGACUAUGACAUCUUGGAUGAUAAACAAGAAUGCUCCUCUGUGUCAGAAGUAGCCAGCAGGAGUUGUGAGACAAAGCAUGUCACUACUGCUCAGGAAUGUAUUGAAGAUUGUGAAUCGACACAAGUCACUGAACGAUGUCCUAGGGGUCAAGAGAGUAAGAGCAUAGAUUCAACAGUUACAGAUGUUACUGCACAUGGCACACAUAGUUGUUGUCUAAAUACCAUGAAUGAAUUGGCACUCAUUAGGAAGCAACUUCAAGAGAUGGAAAGGAAGCAAGCAAAUCUUUUUGACUUGUUGCAGGUAAUUAUCAUGUUUUGAGUAGUGAAGAUCUUGCCGAUUUGUUGUGUCUAUAUACUACAUUUACCUAAUAUGGUGUAAGCGUACAUAUUGAGUAGUGUGAUAAUGGUGUAAGUUAUAAUGCAAGGCUAUGAUUCCAGUCAUAGGAUGUAUAAUAUCUUUUAUUAACUCGCAGUUCAGCACUGUGCACUUUAUAUUCUUGUACUCCCUCCGUUUCAAAUUGUAGAUCGUUUUAGCUUUUCUAGGUUCAUAGAUGUUUGUAUGCAUCUAGACAUACACUAUAUUUAGAUGCAUACAAACAUCCAUGAACAUGGAAAAGGUAAAAUGACCUACAAUUUGGGACAGAGGGAGUAGUAGCCUACUAUAUUGUUAUGCUUCUUGAUUAUUUUUGAUUUUCAAUUUGGGACAGAGGGAGUAGUAGCCUACUAUAUUGUUAUAUGCUUCUUGAUUAUUUAUGAUUUUGUUGAACACUGGCACCCCUGAGCUGUGAAUCUGUCAUCUUAUUUUGGCAUUUUGCUUUCUGCAAACUCUGUAAGGAUGGCAAUGCAUAAUGACCAUAAGGAUAGUUAUCUUCAAAUUCUGUCAAUUUUUUUCCUAUCAUUGUGUGUCUGCAUCAUAUAGGCCAUGUGGCAUAUGCAAGUACAUAUGAAGACAUCAUGUAUGCAAUAUAAAGAAGUGGAUUCAUAUCUUUUGUCAAAUGCUCACUUCCCCCAGUUAAUUGUAGGAAUUCAUGUCCACCUCUGUGGAGAACAUGACGGUGCUAAAUUUGAAGGUGCACAAUUUGGAGAAUGCUGUAGACAAAACUGUGUAUACAAUCACUCAGAGUGAAAGCCGGUAUCAUCUUCCUGGUUCCAAGUUUUUUAAGAACCAAAGUGUUUCUUCUUCACCCAGGCUUUCUACUUCUACACCUAGAUCAUCUGUGGAUGCUAACUACAAGCCACCACCAAUUUCACACUUGAAACAUGAGAAGAAGUGGAUGCAUGAUCUACCAUCUAAGGGCUCAAACGUGUGCACUAAAGAGGGAGCUGAAUUUCCGAAGGAUCAUGUUCGCAGCAGAUUUAGGAAGCCUGAGACUGUGAGCUCAGAGAGUAACUUGGGAAGAUAUGUUCCAAGCUCAGCGAGAAGUCAAGCAUCAAUGGUUAAAGGGGCUUUGCCAGUUUCAUUUACCAGUUCCUGUGAGCAACCUGAAAUGCAAAAUGCAUUAUGUGCAUCUAACCAGUCUGGUGAAUUUCAAGGUACUGGCGAAAUCGAGCCUGAAAUCGAGCCUGCAUACAUGGAGGCCCUAAACUGUGGUGAUUAUGAUGAUCUGAUUGACCUAAUGGAUAGAACUGGACCAGUUCUUGAGAAGUUGUCGUGUGAGACAGCAAAUGAACUUCUAAGGGUUAUAACUUGCCAAUUUCUUAAUAAAAAGUUUUUUGACUUAGCGCUGCCUUGGCUUCAACAAGUAAGUCCACUAGAUUUUUUUUUACAGUAAUGCCCAAGUCUGAAAAGCUUGUGCAACUUACUCAGUCCAAAUUUGGAUUGCUUGUAUUGCUUCAGUUAGCAGAUUUAAGCACGAUCUAUAAGCCAGGCCAACUUUUUGCAUCUGUGAGAGCACAAAAGGAGUUUCUUUCUGCAUUGGAGGAAGUUGCAACAAGUGGAUCUACAGAACCAGCCAUUAGGAUUGCCAUUGCACAGCUUGCAUUUAAACUGACCAAAGCUUUUGAGGUUGGCCCAUGCAGGUAAUCUUCAUUGCGCAUUGACAGUGUCUCAUCAGUUCUACUACAUGUGAACUUCUUGUAAUACUGACAUAUCCAUUCUGGUUCUGCAGGAAAAUUUCAACUAGAGUACGCAGAGGAAAUGAAACUAUCAUGGCCACUGCAAUGUGAGAUAUUCCUCGCAAAUUGCAAUGAUGUAAUCUAGUGUAUGCUCAGGGCACGAAGCAGUGCUCUUUUUUAGAUGAAGGACAAAGCAAUGCUUUAGUGAGCUCAAUUUCUUUUUCUUGUAGCUCUACAACCUUUAUGAUGCUGUAUCUGUUUGAUUAGUGUGUGAAAGACUCAAAGGUUUCUGCAGAACGAUUGAUAGUUUGCUAGUUGAAAACAUGUGUGUUUUAGCUCUGUACUGUAGUUCUGGAAUUUGCAUUUUGCCAUUUGGCAUGACUUAAGAGUUAUGAGUAUAUGCUUGAUGCUGACAAGGUCCUACAGAUGUUGUUGGUGUUUUAUACCCAGACCCCUCGGUAGUAGAUUGGUUGGUGGGGGAUCGUCGGAUCUGGAACUCGAAAGUAAAAGUGAGGACACAAGACAUGGAUUUAUAUAGGUUCAAGCCGUCAGAGUAGCGUAAUACCCUACGUCCUGUUUGGAAUGUUGUAUCUGGUAUUCUGUUGUGGUAUUGUGGUUCUAUGAGGUCUUGAUCUACAGAUCUAGGGACCUCUGCCCUCCUUUAUAUACUCCAGGGGGUGGGAUUACUAGUCGGUUACAAGAAGGAAUUCUAGUAGGAUUACAUGGUACAAGUCAUAGUACGAUUACAUAGGAAUUCUAGUAGGAGUCCGUCUUCUUCCUUCCUUGUGAGUACUGGGGGUCUAUCUCCUAUCGAUGUUUCUUAAUCAUCUAUCACCUAGAAAUUCUAUUUACCUGCAUUUCACUCUGUCCACAGCAUCGGAUCUGUGUGCUUUACAUAUAAAAUAAUAAAAACAAGGGGUAGAAGAAUUCGGUACCAUUGCUAUAUCACUACUCACUACAAGAACAGUACCUUCUUUAAAUUAACCAACUUGUUUGUUGUCACACUAUAUCACUACUCACUACAAGAACAGUACCUUCUCUAAAUUAACAAACUUGUUUGUUGUCACACUGUUUGAGCAAUCAGACUAUGUAGUAAAGCCUUUUUCUUUUGUACAAUGGCAUCACAAGAGCUGCACAUCUAGGUUCUGUUUCAAAGUUUCAGCAAUAGGACGGCAACAAGAUGGACGCACAAGCAGAAGCAUCACCAAUCAGAGUCGUCAGUUCGCUGUGAGAUGCUGCGGAGGCCGCCCAUCCUCCUGUUGCUGGUGGUACGCUGGACACAUUGGAGCAGCGAUUGCACCACCUCUGAUAUGGACGGCCGGAAUUCUGGAUCGGACUGCAACACCACCACAAAACCAAUGUUCAGAGUUUCAGAGUUAAAGUUUGUUUUCAGGUGAUUCAUGGCCUUCAGCGUUGAAGCCGAAAGGAUUCAUCACCGAAGGAGGACCCUCUCUGCGUAUUUCGAUCAGUUCACCUGAACACAGCGACCGAGGACAUCGGCGAAGCGGGAGAGUGCUUUAGGCGGAUACAGGCCACGCAGAGCAGGAUCUGCCAGAGCUCCCAAGGCGUCGAUGUCAUGAAGCUGUGGAGUGACAAAAUUGACCAAGGACUGCUCCGUUCUAGGCUUUGAGCUGGAGUCACAAAGAACAUCAGAGGAUUAACUGCAGUCACGCUCCUGAGCAUUGCUGACAAACGCAAUGUUCCGUAGGCAAGCUUUGCCUGCCCCGGAAUCACAAAAUGUGGAGUCCAAAGUGGAAGGAGUUUUUUUUUUUCCAAUUACCUAUCGUAGGGCUUCCGACCGGUCAAUAGCUGAAGCAUGACGACACCGAAGCAGUACACAUCGCUCUUCAUAACGUAACCUGAUGACCUUGUGCACUCUGGAGGAUUGUACCCUGGUCCCAGGCUCUCACUUGUAUCCUGCAGUUGAUAUCACAUUGCCUUUACCAUCAUACUUUGUUCAUCAAAUGCAAGAAGAGACAGUCUGCAAACCUCAUAGAAGUAUGCAAGGCCACAGUCGGUGAGGCGAGGGUUAAGGUCAGCAUCAAGCAACACAUUAGAUGCCUUUAUGUUCUUGUGGAUCACUGAUGGUGAGCAGGCUUCAUGUAGGUACCUGAACAACAAGGAAUAUUAACACCUUUCUUAUGAACUCUGAACAUCACACCCCUCUGUGCCUGACGAUGUUUACAAAAUUCUGGAUCUAGGCUUAAAUGUUGCUUGUCAACUUACUCCAGAGCACUAGCUGUACCAAUAGCGAUCCACACUCGGGUGUCCCAGGUCAGUGGCUUGCUGUAAUCAUCAGACAAGUGCAGGAAGUCAUAGAUGGAUCCAUUCAUGUGGUAAUCAUAGACCAGCAUGUAGUGCCCAGGCUCUGAGCAAUAACCAACAAGCUCAGAGAUGUUUGGAUGGCGCAGCUUGGAAAUGCUGUUCACGAGAUCCAUGAAGUCGCUGCUUCCUGAGAAGCUCAAAGGAUCAAACUUCUUAACGACCAGCACCUGAAAUUCUUUUAUGAGAGACGAUAAGGACAACGGGAAUGCAAGGCAUACGAUCAAUACAGAGUGCCAACUCAAGAUCUUACUGCAGAACAUAUUUGAUGCCUAUUAUAAGAGUGGUACAUGAUACUAGUAUUAUUGGGAACAGCUGAUGAGUAGCUUAAAACAUAUUUGGACAUGAUAUAAAUUUUUAAAUUUUAGAUGCAGAAGAAUACUGAAGUUGUAUCUGCAAACAAGUUCCUUUGGCAUGGGUUUAAGAAGCAACAGUAAGAUCUUACCCUUCCAUCAGCAUAUUUUGCCUUGUAAACGCCACCAAUUAUCCCCUGACCUAGUAGCCUGGUACUAUGGAAGUUUCCAGUGGCUGCUUGCAGGUCUAACGAUGAAUAAGUCACAAGGUUGAUUGGGUCUGUGCUCCGCCUCGAAUGGUUUAGUUUGUUCUCGAACUCAUUGUCACUAAUCGACUUGCGAGGCAUUGCGGAUGGUGUCCUACUGCUUAUUGACGUAGAACGCUCCAGUGGCUUCAUGUUGACCGCUGAAGAUUCCUUUUGAACUGUAGAAAAUAAAACAAUGUGAACUAUUACAAUAAAUGUGAAAGUGUUCAUCCCUGAGAUGCCACAGAAAUCAUAUGGGAAGGAGGCCUUUCUUGAUUCAUCAUGAUUUAAUGAUGGACGCAAGGCAUAACUGUGUAAUUUUCUACUUAUAAACAUAUCAUGCACAUAAGUACCUCUGCCGUCAUUAACUAGCGGGGCAAAUGAUCUGUUGUGACCAGACUCGUCCAUGAUGUAAUGAGAUGAGGCAGGAGAGGAAUGAUUCCUCUUCAACACAGACAAGAGAAUCAGAGCUGCAAGAAGCACCCCUAUAACUAUAGCUCCGAUAAGGAGACCAUUUACUCCACUGCCACUCCCUCCACCUGAAGAGCUUCCGAGUGCAGAGCCCUUCUCCAUACCAGGGGGAGCUGAUCCAGAUGACCACUGAUUCCCUCCAAUCCUUCAGAAAGAUUCAAGGACUGUUAGAAUUCAUCAAGUGCAACAAAUAGGAUUAUAUUGGCUGGAAUUACUACUUACUGUAGAUUGUUAAUGUCUUUUAGUUUACUGGGGAUCCACCCGGUAAACUUGUUGUUCUGCAGAUUCCUUGAGCACAAAGGGGAAACCAUUAUAGCUUAGUUCUCAGAAAGACAAGUGUAUUUCAGUAAAUAUGCACAGUAUAAGUAUCCAUUACAUGCUUAAAAACUGGCAAUAGGGUUUACAUCUGUUGGCAUUUCACAAUUAGUACUGUACUGCCAUGCACAGGCACCACCACACAAACGUUUGGGUCAUCAUAUCAAAAUUGGUUUUUAAUGCAAAUGUUUACUUUGAGAUAUACUUACAGAUCCUCAAGAGGAAGUUUGGCCAGAACAUCUAUAUGACCACUGAAUUGGUUGCUCUCCACAUUCCUGGAGACAUUUUUUUGAACGGAAUAACACUGAUUGUAGAUCUUAAAGAGCAUGCAAAUUACUAGGAUGUGUAAAUUUCAGUUUCCUUACAGUGUCUUGAGGUUUCUUAGGUGCUGAAAACUCUGGGGCAGGCUACCUGAGAAGCGGUUGAAUGAGAGAUCCCUGAUAAAACAGUUGACGUUAGUCAUACAGGCCAUGAAAAAUGGGAUAUAGAAAGCUUAGUGGCUUACUACAAUAACAUCUUAGCUAAUAGAAAAUAAGUUGCUGUUUUAAUUUCCGAGAACUUAUAAUUUGCUGUUUAACUUACAAUGUUGAUAGCUUUGGAAGCUGUGAAAACAUAUCUGUCAACUGCCCAUUUAGGUGAUUCUUGCCUACAUUUCUGUGGUUCAAUAAAAAAGGAAUUGGGGUGAUUAAUGCAAACAAAAAUAAUGAUGGUGUGAAGGGAACAGAACUAAGAAGAGCAGGAGAAUUGGAGUUCAUACAGUGUUUCCAGAUCUUCCAUCUGAGAUAUUGAAUAAGGAACUCCUCCAGUAAAAGAAUUUCCAUAAAGAUUUCUGCGUCGAAAAAAUAACAGGAGAGAAUGCUUGGAUCAGCCAUGAACCCAGGAAACUGUAAAUGGACGAGAAAAGUAGGAACUCACAAUUGAACCAUGUUUGGUGGAAGCUGGUACGGAAUAUCGCCGUUGAGAUUGUUAUUGCUCGCAUCGCUGUACUACGUAAAACAAGGAAAUUCAACUAAGUUGCAUAACUACGAUGACCAGUGCAGGAAAUCGCUAGGGCAACUCACAAUUUGGUUACUGAUUUCAAGCUUGAUAGCUGAUAGCCUAGUGUGCCGCUUAAUCCAAGCCCCGACAAGUUACUGCUCUAAGCAAUAUGGUUAUAAAAGAAAACUGAAGUGAGUAGGUUGCAUUGCUAGAAAAAAAAAGGUUCUUGGAACUUUACCAAUCAUCUUCCCUCUUUUGCCCAAACAUAUUAUUUUAGACAAAUGUUGAAGGCAACUACGUACAUUUCUGUCACAGAGGAGCCGCUGCAUUCUAUUCCCUUCCACUCCUCGUCACCACCACAGGGAUCGCCGCCGCUUGAUUUCCAACCGGACAAUUGAGAUGGCUUGUUCAUGCUAUUGAACAUCACAUUAAGCGCCGCAACUGAAAUAAUGAACCAAACAAUAUACAGAAUGUUCAGAACCAUGGCUGAUAUGAUGCAUUCACAGAGGGAAGAACAAGGGCUUGCCGACCCUCACCGUCAGGCUGGUCGGUCUUGGCCACUGCGGCCGCCGCCACGGAAAGGAGGACGGCCAGCCCGACGAGCGGCGGCAGCGGCGGCAGGGGGCGCCGUCGCCGAGCCAUUGCGCGCCAAGGGGAGAACGGCGCGUCUCAGCUGAGAGCAAGCAGGAGGAGACCCCCACGCGCGCGUCGCCUGACCUCCUUCUCCUCUCUCUCAUGGACCGGUGGUGGGAAGGAGUGCUUUCCAAAAUUAGGAGACUGAGGAGGAAGAGAUGGCGAGCAGAAAUUGGAGGGAGGAAAGCGGGUGCGGCCAUUCAAGCUGCGAGAGUGGCGGGAAGCCGCUACUUUGAAGGCUCUACCUUAACGCGUCAAACCGUGUUCUGAUCAGGAAAACUAAAGAACAGCCAUAUAUUUUACUAUCGUUCAACCUAAUAACAUCCGUUGUAGUCUAGCUGGUUAGGAUACUCGGCUCUCACCCGAGAGACCCGGGUUCGAGUCCCGGCAACGGAAUAUCUUUUUGUUUUGUUUACCACCAUUUUAUACCUUUGUUUUGUUUUAUAUCACCAUUUUAUGGAUGGACGGAUCAAGUAAACACUAGCAUUUUAUACCUUUGUUUUGUUUUAUAUCACCAUUUUAUGGAUGAACGGAUCAAGCAAACACUAGCAAUUUUGAAAGCAUAUUUAGAUGAGUUUUGUAACGUUUAAAGUUCAGACUACUACCACCUUAAGAGAACAAGAACACGUCUCAAAACAUUAGUGUACAUCUCUAUUGAAAUUAAUGUAGCCAGUUAACAAUCUCAUGCCUCCUUUACUCUUCCUUUCCCUUUGUAUCCUCCAUCAAAGAACUGGACAAAACAAUGAAUGGCCUCUGGGGCCUUGAUUCUGUAUGGUGUAUCCCUCCCGAGUCACAAAACUCAUCAGCUCUAUGCAGUAAUGUGGUCGCUUAACUUUCGACCACUUGUUUCCAGGGGGAAGUACGACACGGCGACACCGGAGACCAGCAUCACCGUGAUGAAUAUCACGAUGGCUGCCGUCUGGUGGCAUGCGUGAACCAGACCAACGGCCACAAGGGGGCAUAGGAUCCCACCAAAGCGAGCAAUUGAGCUCGCAAACCCGACACCGGUGGCCCUGACUGCAGUCGGAUAAAUCUGCAGGGAACAAAACAUAGGAAUGCAACGAUCUUCAGAGGUUUGACAAAAGAGACAAAAUAUAGGCUCUUAAAGAGUAACCAGACCUCAGGGGCGUAGAUGUGCAGAACAGUGAAGCUUGCUGAGAUGCAAACCCGUGCACCGAAUAAAAAGACGGUCGUCAGAGCUUCUGUCUGAGCAAACAUAAGUGGAGCUAUGCACAGGCAACUGAUGUAAAGCAUGGAAGACAUCGAGAGUUUGCGCCCAAACUUGUCCACGAUGGCAGCAGACAGAAGGAGGCCAGGGACCUCUGCAUCAUUGUUGGCUUACAUAUGAAUAAUUUCUACGACAUUGUUUCUGAAGAUGUUUUGUUGACUAUGGGCAAUAGCACACGUACCUCCAAAGCUGGUGAUGAAUACAUUUCUAUAGAGAUUUUCAUCAUUUAUGUGGGCUGUUGUGGUCACUUCUGCUCCGCCUUCUGAUCCACAAAUCCUAUUUCCAUGAUUCAGUUCUGAUGUUAGCAGAACAAGACCAUAGUAUAAGAAUGCAUGGCCAAGAAAGACAGUCCAAAGUAGAAGACUCGAUCUGAUUAAGUUCGGAGAUAGAAGCUUCAAAAUGGCAUUGAGACCUCCAAUCUCAGAUUUGCUAGCAAGAUCACCAGUAUUAUUUUUCUUAGUUGUUACCAAUUGUGCCGUUUCUGAGGAAUCCCCCAUCUCAUGAAGCUCUGUCCGAUGGCCAGAGACAAGUCGACCAGAGGGAAGAGUAACACGGUUCACUCGCGCCAUUGUUUCCAAAACAUGAACUGCUUCAGCUAUUCUACCCUUCAUGCAUAGAUAUCUUGGUGACUCCAGUGUCACUGGAUAGAAGAGUAGUAGAGCAAAUGAUGGCAACGAUGAAAGUGCCAGCAGCCACCUCCAGCCAAAAGCUGGCAUAACAGCCUGGAAAUUAAGCAGAUAAGUAAAGAAAAAUACAUGGAGAUUUCGGAAAUAGCAAUAGUCACAUCAAAAUGAACAUGCAUGUCAUUUCACCACUUUAUGCCAGCAUAGUGCCAUUAGGUUAUAUACUAUAUAUAUUACCAUGGAUGCUAAUGUUCACUUCAUUAGAACUACGUAUGAGUGAAAGACCACAGCACAAUGACCUGAUUAAUUACACAAGAAGACCAAUGUGGUGGCUAAACUUGCCCAAAUAUGAAAGACAAGCAGUUUUGCUGUUCCAUAGGAUUCAAUGGUAUAUACUACUCUUGAAUUACAAUUGCUGCAAUAAGGACAGCAGAAGAUAUUAUGGGCAAAGGGCACCUGGGCCCAGAAGGCCCAGCAGCCGUGGCCCACAAGGCCCUGUGGUACCAUUCAUGCAUGAACGCGGGUACUUUAGCGUGCGCCAAUGGGUCAGCCUGAAGUUUUUUUCUCUCUGCCUCUCUUCUUUGUACACGUAGUGUUCAUCAAGCACCUUCCCCUUUCUCUUCCUUUGAUUCUCCUCCUAAUUCCCCAAUUCUAUCCUCUAAUCUAUCCCCAGUCUGACCCAAAAAAAAAAUCUAUCCCCAAUCCCCCUCCAGUAAUCCAAGACUCGAACAGAAGAACAUCUGCACGUGGAGCUGUAAUGUGCAUCCAGUGCCCGCAGAUUAGCACACCUGCUAGCCUGAGCUGGUAGCUUGACAAGCCUAGUUAGUGUCGUUCAUUUGUUUGUGGCGCAUCAAUUUAUUUGAAUCAAGGACCCACUCCACUCUUCCCUUCCCCUCAGCUCUCUCCUUUAAUCUUGUACUUGGACCAGUUCUAUUCGUAAUAAUGGAACAAUAUGCAGUUCUCUCGCGUGCUAGAGAAAAAAAGGACAUCUGCACUGAGCAGUCAAGAUGUCAUGCUAUGCAGCUAGAAUGUAACACCCACUGUAGCGUUUACACACAACCCCAAUAUUUCAGAACUAUCUGAUAUUACUUUCUGUUGAGCCAGCUAAAAAUAUCUCUCAAACAUCUAGUAUUAUACAUAAGGCAACUUGGAAACACUGAUCUUACUUUUGCUAAAGAUAUUAACUUACCCAAGCAAGAGAAGCUUCCAGUAUCGUGCCAACGGUCCAAAAUGCCGAGAACAUAACCAUCCAAGUUCCUCGGUUAGGAGCAGGGAUGAACUCUAGGAACCAAGAACCUAGAACUGGCCCACCACCCAGUCCGACCCCGACCAUAAAUCUCAGUACAAUCAAAGAUAAGUAAUUUGGAGCAAACGCGCUAAGAAGACCAGCCCCACCAGUUACAAUGGCUGUGAAGUUGAACCCAACCCUGUAGAGAAGUACAAAGGGUCUAGAUUAGAAUGAGACAAAAUUCACAUGUUGGAAAAUAGGAAACUGUCUCUGAUAAAAUGCAGAGAUGGGAAAAAACAGGGCAUUCAAGGAUUAGAACUAAAUCCAAAAGCUUAAACAUGGAGCGGUAAAGUGCCUAGCUUAAGCUUCCUAGCAUGUCCUCCUACAAACAUCGCCAUGAAGACUGUCAUUGCAAUUUUUUAAGGUUAGAACACUCAAUAAAAUCUCAAUAGUCAAUGGAAAAAGGAUGUAAGGAACCUGCCUUCUUCCAUAGUUAUCCGAAACUAUGCCCCAAGCAUAUGCUCCUACAAGCAUCCCCACGAAGACAACACUUGUUAUAAGACUUUCUGCCUGUGCAGAAAGCUCCCACUCAGCUUGAACCGAUUGCCCAACAAAUGACAAAAGCAUCAUUUCCAUUGCUUCAGAGAUUUUAGCCAUCCCGGAGUAUGCAAGCACGAAGGCAUGGAAUUUUCCAAACCCCAUGAACACAAGUGCCUCAUCCACAGUAUAAGUAGAUACUCCAUCCUCCAUCUGAAAUAAGCAAGCAAAAAUGAAGAAAAUAUUCAUUCAUCGAGUUUUCACUUUCAAGCGCAAGGACAACAUAUCAAGUCUGAUGUGGGGAUAGGUGAUGUGGACUAAGCUUUGCGAAAAUAACUGAGGACCACAGUUUUACUGCUCACUGGUAAAUAACUCUCUCUAUAGUCUAUACAGAUCGAAUGAUAAACAUGAAGUAAAACUUUCCCUGUUGCAUAGCAUCUGAUAUUCACAGUGACAGAGAUCCUCAUCUUGAUCAACCUAGCACUGCUUCACAAAAACAGGGUAACAAUGUGGACCAAAUUAACUUCCGAAUAACCUAAACGUUCAGCACAUCAAAAUAAAGCAUAUUUCCAACUGAAGAACAAACAACUGGUCAACUAAACAACGUGUGUCCCCUACCCAGGGAGAGGAAAAAAGAAAAGAGAAAUCUGCACCACCGAAUCGGGGAAUAAAUUGCACCGAGGACUCCCAUUACCAAAUCAAGGACCAAUCCCCCAAAAACCAGCUAGUCGCAAAGAAUCCACUGAAUCACAGCAGUCCCGUACCGGAGAGGGAGAAACCAAAUCAAGAAUGGCAGCCCGCGCAGCGGAAGAGGGGCGGAUGGGAUCAGCGGACUCGCCAAUCUAGCAAGCAGGUCACGGGGAAGGCAUGAAUGGAGGGGCUGGAUCGCUAGGGCUAUGGAGAAGGGGUGAGAGGCGGGAUUGGUAGGUGAGGUGUACCUCGUCGGAGCCGGCGGCGUGACGAGCGCGGCGCCUCCGACUCUCCGGGAACGUAUCGAGGGCGGGGCGGCGACGACGGCGACGACUGACCGACUGACUGGGGCGGCCCACUUCUUUUAGAUGGGUCGCUUUACAUCUUAGUACCUCACGAACCGCUUAAUUUUUCGGUCCCCAUGUUAGAAGAAGCCCUUUUUUGUUGGAUUUCUUGGUGAGAGUUGGUGUAACAUCCACAAAUCUUGGGUCUCACACAAAGAAAAGGCUUACUCAAUCUCAGAAGAUAUAUGCAUUUUAUAAAUAUUUUUUAUUUGAGUAUGGCUAAUGAUUCAUAGUCAUUUAUGGAACCGAAUAUGUGUAGAGUAUAAAUACAUUUUCUCAUUAUAUAGCAAUAAAUGCAUUCUUUUUAUAGGGUGUAUUUGGAUUUGAAUGAUUUGCUAAAGGGAUGGUUUGGCUAUUGCUUUACAAUAUAGUAUUGUUGGCUACAUAAUGAAUACGGAGUAUUGCGUAAAAAGAUCUAUGGGAUAUGAAUCUAUUGAUACACUUUUAAAUGCUAACAUACCUGUACGUACUUUGACCAAUUGCUGGAGAAGAUUUAGGAAGUUUGAUCCUUUUCAAAUCUUAAUACAUCCUAUAAAAAAUAAAAUGAGGUGUUAGUUGAUUUUUAUUAUUUGAACCGCGCGGUACAAAUAAUAGAUAUAUAGCGUUCUUCAAUUUUGGAAGACGAGAGAAAAUGCAAUGCAAGGACCUCUUGCCCGGCCCUGAAAAAUAAAGGGGAAACCAAAGCUUGCGUUUUGUGGCUUUUGCGAAGAACUCCUUCCUGCGUGCCGUUUGGAGCACGGGCCGGAUGUCAAUAAUCAACAGAGCGAAAGAUCGUUAGCAGUACGCUGUACUGGUCAUCGUCGUUGACUUGUCUUGCAAACCUUAUUAAUUUCCCCCACGAAAAUUUGCAGAAAAUCACAGAUCGUACGCAUUCCUGAUUGGAUGGCUAGUCAGCCACACGCGUAGUACGUCAGUUACCUGACGUUUGGACACUGGGCAAGCGCAAACCGGGUCACGCAUCGUCCGGCGCCCCCUCAACGUAACCCGGCCCAGCUCGCGGCGCAGCAGAGCGAAUCAAAUGGCUGGAGCACCGGCCGCAUCUGCCCCGGCCAGGUAACAGCUCCCUGGCGCACGCCGUUGGGCCUUCCUCUCCUGCUAUGUGUUUUCAGUUCCAGCUAGCGGCGCCGGCGCGCGCGGGUGAAUAGCAUUAGAAGACUAGAGUAUUAGAUGCGCCACGCCAUUUCCAUGACGCCAACCGAACCGAAAACCCAGUCGCCGGCCGCCUCAUCUUGCUCGCCACCGCGUUCGCACGGCAGCACGUAGAUAUAUAUAGCGCCGCGCCGUUGCUUGCUUGCAUUGCCCCCGGGCGAGCCUGCCGCACGCAGCCUAUGACGAAUAUCCAGGCGCCGGCCGGCUGAUCAAUUAGCUAAUAGUGACUGAUCGACCACCAUGCGGUCGUCGUCAUCGUCGUCGUCGACGACGUCGCGGCUGCUGCUCGUGGUGGGGGCGGCGGCGGCGUCGGGCGUGUGCUGCCUGGCGUUGGUGCUGGCGGUGGGCGGCGCGUGCACGGACGGCGGCGUCGCGGUGCAUGGUGGGCGGCCACGCCCACCGUCGUUGUCCUUGGUGGACUACUCCCUGGCGGCGGCCGCGCGCGUGAACGACUACCCUGCCGGCGUGGGCGGAGGCGGCGGCCGUGAUCUGGCCGGCGGUGCGGCGGCGGCGGCGGAGCAAGACUACGGGUUCGUGGAUCCGACACCAGACACGCGCCGCCGCGGGGGAACCGCGCCGAUUCCACACAACUGACCAGUGAUCGACGAUCGGUCCACGGUGUACCGUAUAUAGAGGUAAACCGUAAACGUAUAGUAUAUAGCAGCUUCCUUCUUCCUCUGCAGUAUACGCUUAUACUGUACUCUAUGGCAAUGAUCAUGUGUACCGAGCAAGAAUAUACUUGUAGUCACUGCCGCCCGGCUCCUCUGCAUGUAUAUGUAAUCAUGCCAUGCAAAAAUAUUUACUCGCAGACGAUGACGAAAUGAAACGAUAGACCCGGCCCGGACAGAACUUUGCAUGAAUGAUCCCUAGUCGGCUAGUCCUAGCCCUAGGCCAUCCGUGCAGACGGGAAAUGGUGAGAGUGCGAGGCACAUGAGCAGGAGGUCCGGGUCUCCGGAGGCCGUCGAGCCGCUGUUGACGCACCCGGAGCUGUUGGCACGCUCCGGCGCCGACCAUGCUCGCCAAGUUACCAACACCAUCGCACAAUCCCGCCUCUGCGGUGCUCACCCGCAACAACGGCGCCUAGCCCGUCGACGAGCAAAUCGGCGAGGGGCUCACGAUUGUCCGCGACGUGUUCCCGGCUCCCCUGGGAUACGGCGGCUGCAGCCGCGCCGGGGCGGCUGGAUGCCGGCCGGGGACGCGCAGCAGAAGCGGCUCGCGUUCCAGGCGUGCGCUGCGACAUAACUCUAACAGACCGAGAUGUCGACACGGGACGAACCCACUGAGGUAGCCGCGGCGUGCUCUCAGUCUGAGGCGCCCCCGCACCAUGGCGUGCUCCGACCUCUGAGGCGCCCAGCAUGCGGGCGGCGCGCGGCGCGCUGCGGCCGCCGACCGGUGACCCGCGCGGACUUGGACGAGCGAGGAAAAGGUGGGAAGGGGCCCGUUUUGCGAUUGCACUCGUCGAUCUCGGCCACUCAAGUCCGAUCCAACGGUUAGUACAGAACCUAGGGGUGGACGGUAUUUGAUUUACCCGCCUGGCCGCCAUCGUCGGUGGCAAAAUGACGCCGUCGCGACCUCCGCCACGUGAUAAUUAAAGCGCGGAGGAAGGAGGCCGUCGAGCCGUCGAGCUGCUAGGGUGGACGGUAUUUGAUUUACCGUCCACCUCUGGGUCUCGGCUCCCGGGCGCGCUCGCGUCGCUGGCGACCUCACCGGGCUCGUCGGCGACAGCCACGCCUUCGUGGCCUUCGCCGCUAGCUCCGCGGGCGUUCUGCUGCACAUGGUCACGGAUGCGCUCGCCGGCGUGCUGUCCCGUGGACGUCGGCUCGGCCGUGUCGCGCCUUGUCAUCGCGGACGACGUCCAGGCGCUCCCGGACGCACUCGUCGAUUUGGUGUACGAUUUCAAGCAAGAAAAAAGUAGUGAAGUACCGAUUCCUUUGUUAAAUCAACAGAAUAAUCAUCAUACCAUAUCAUUGAUAACUUGCAUGUGCAUUACAUUUGUUUUCCUCUUAGUCGAUCACUCGAUCUACGAGACCAAGAAACAGUUACGAGACUCGGAAAAGAAAAUCAGAUCAGAAGCACGUGACGCCUGCAGAAGAAACGGCGAUGUGCCCUCAAAAACAAAAAGAAAAAGAAACGGAUCUUGUGCUUGAAGCCUCCGUCUUCUAUGUCCACCUUGGUGAGCUUGGCGCGGUGAUCGUCGUCCACUCCGCGGCCGCCGCCCGCUUCUUGAUCUUGGCCUCCUCCGCGGCUUCAUCCGCGGCCGCCAUGCCGAUGAGAUGACGCACCUGCUCCAUGACGGUGGCCAGCCCCGGGACGUGCUGCUCGAGCAGUUUCAGGGUGUCGGGGCCGUCGCCCUCCAGCGCGGCCACCAUCUCCCGCAGCUCCCGCGGCGAUCGCGCCGCCAGGUACCGCGUGAUGGAGUCGAGUGGCGGCGUCCCAGCAACGAGGGACGCGGCGUGGAUGGCGUCCUCCAGGCCGACGGCCUCGUCGUCGCCCCUGUAGCGGCGGCGCCGGCCGGCGAGGCCGACGCGGAGCUCGCGGCCGCGCAGGGGGUGGGCGUUGAGGUUGUGGCAGGCGCUGCACGCCGUCUCGUCGUCGGGGUACUCCACGAAGGCGUACCCCUUGCGCUUGCCGGUGGCCGGGUCGGCGGCGAGGCGCAGGGAGCGGAUGGGGCCGAUCAGCUCGCAGGCGUCGCGGAGCUCCUUCUCGGAGGCGUGGAACGGGAUGUUGCCGACGAACACGACGCGGCUGCAGCGGCAGUUGGCUGCGGCGGCCGCCAGGGACAGGGAAGUAGACAUGCUGCCGUCCAUGCGUGGAUCGAUCGAUGGAUGGUGCGGGGAGGAGAGCGAGCGAGCGCACGCGCUCGCUUAUAAUUUAUAAAGCCAGGCAGCUGGCGAGUCGAGUCGGAGUCCGCCCGAGAGUGAAUGGCCAUCGCAAACCCCCCGCCUCUGCGGCGGCGGUGUUCACCCGCGUCAACGGCGCCUAGCCCGUCGACAAGCAACUCAGUGACGUGUUCCGGCUCGCCUACGAUACGCCGGCUGCAGCCGCGCCGGGGCGGCUUGCUGCCGGGGACGCGCAGCAGAAGUGGCUCGCGUUCCAGCCGUGCGCUGCGACAUAACAGACCGCGACGUCGACACGGCACGACACGGGAGGAACCCACCAAGAUCGCCGCGGCGUGCUCCCACCGGGCCGGCAUGCGGGCAGCGCGCGGCGCGGCCGCCGACCGGUGCGAGGGCGACCCGCGCGGACUUGGACAAGCGAGGAAAGGUGGGGAAGGGGCCCUUUUUGCAAUUGUGCUUGUCAAUCUCGGCCGGUCAAGUCCGAUCCAGCGGUUAAUAUAGGACCAGGGGUGGACGGUAUUUGAUUUACCGUCCGCCCCUGGGUGGUCCGCUGCCCACCUGGCCGCUAUCGUCGACGGCAAAUCCCGCCUCGUGCUCCUUUGUACGGCUCCUCCGACCCGGAACGGGAAGUCAAUGCUCGCCAAGGCUCUCUCCCACGAUACGGCGGCGGGAUUCAGGAGCCUUCAUUUGCGAUGUGGUCGUUGUCGCGGUGGCGCGGUUCGACGCCGACGGCGAGGUGCGGCGCGUUUCUCGCCGCGACUGGACGGCGCAUUCAGGCGCAACGCGGACCUGGCGGCGUGGCAAGACAGAAAGAGCGCCGCCGAGAUCGCCGCGGUUCGUUUCGAGGAGUCGGCAUGAGGCGGUGCGCGCGGCGACAGGCGACCCGCGCCGAGCCAGCAGGUUGGGAACGGGGCUCUUUUCCUUUGCAACAGCCGAUCCCACCCGCUCAAGCCCGAUCCGACGGUCGCGAGGGACGCAGGGGUUGGACGGUAUUUCAUUUACCGUCCACCAUGGGGUGCCUCGGCUCCCUGGCGCGCUCGCCUCGCUCUCGCUGGCGAUCCCACCGGGCUCGUUGGCGACAGAACACGCCUUCGUGGCCUUCGCCGCUAGCUUCUCGACACUUUCUUCGGGCAUCUUCUGCUGCACAGGAUCUCGGACGCGCUCGUCGGCGUGCUGCCCCGUGGACGUCGGCUCGGCCGUGUCACGCACACCUUGUCAUGCAGCUAGCAACGUUGUGCUGCUGCACACCGAGCUGGCGCGCGCGUCGGCCCGCAUCGUGCUCCUUUAUUAUUCUUGCCGCGGUUCGACGCCGACGGCGAGGUGCGGCGCGUGCUGAUGGACCUACUCGCCGCGGACACCUGGGCGGCGUUCCAAGGCAAAGUGGUCGACGUGCUCGUGAUCGUGGCUGCGAUCAUCCGUGCGGACGCGCUGGACCCAGCGUUGCUGCAGGCCUGCAGCCGGGGGCCGUGUCACGCAUUGUCAUGCAGUACAUCAACAUUGUGCUGCCGACUGCUGUACACAGAACUGGCGCGCGCGUCGGCAAGGCGCCGCGCCGCCCGCGUCGUGCUCCUUUAUUCUCGCCGCAGCAGGACAAGCUGGCGCCCAGGACCUCCGUUCUCCAAGCCUGUGGUUUGACGGCGGCGCGGCGGACAAGUUGCGCGUGCGCGGGGGCAUGGCAACGAGCCGCGAGGACACGCUGGACCGCAGCGUACGCGGCGAGGAUGAGCCUGGAUAGAAUAUAGAUCAAUCUGGAGCCGCGUCCUCGUCGGUCCUCGUCGCCCGGACUCCCAGAGGUCGCUUGUGUUGUGUGUGCUCCUGCUUGCAAACCCACCAACUUUCCGGCCGGCCCAUUGGGAAUGGCAGCCCAGCCGCCGGCAGCAUGUGAGCGGCCCGUGCGCCUAUGUAUGUUAACGCGCCUAGCACAAGGGGGCGGCCAACAUUUCAGGUGAUGCGGGGGAGAACAAAUCAACUGUCUUUGCACUGCCACAAUUAAGGUUCUGUUUGGGAAGGGGUGUUAAAGUUUAACACCCCAUUUUUCAUAAACAUGUGGAGGGGGUGUUAAAACUUGCUAAAGAUGUUAAAAGUGGUCCCCCUCUUCACUUUUUCCCAGGUUACCCCUUCUUUCUCCUCCCUCUCUCUCCGCCGGCCAUAAAUGAGGAGGCAAUGGAGUCAUUUUCCACCAAAGGUGUUAAAGUUUAACACAUCAUCCAAACACCCCAAUGUGUUAAACUUUAGCACUCUAUUUGAGAGUGUUAAAAUUUUAAUACUUGUUAAAUUUUAACGCAGGGUAUCCAAACAGGCUCUAAUCCUGGUAACGGGCCGGCCGUAAGGUCUCCAAACUCAUGAGCUGUGAUUUACGAAUCCUAUAUAGGCUCUUGUAGAGAAGGAGCGAAUCGAAUCAGACUACUUGUUAAAAGGGUUAUAUUAUAGCUGUGGCUCGAGCCCAACAUGUGGAUCGUGAGAAGGACCUAAUCGAAUCGGACUGCUUGUUAAAAGGAUUGGAUUGUAGCUGUGGCUCGAGCCCAACAUGUGGAUCGUGAGUUAUAGGGCUGGCCUGCGGAUCGCCCACAAUUAACAACAACAGGUACGGUGGACUGUAAAGCCCAAAACAUCACUUUAUUCGUCUCGUCUCAAGCGACGGCUGCUUCUUUGUACUACUACUACUGUUAGCAGAAAGACAGCUAGCACAUUACGUACUUACACUUACACAUGGUCAAUCGGUAAGAUACAAAUGUUUUCCAGGAUACAAUGCGGCACCAUGUACGUGCGCAUCAUUUAUUUAAUUUUAUCUUAUCUCAUUUUCGUUAAGUACUUCCUCCGUUUCAAAUUAUACGUCGUUUGGCUUUUCUAGAUGUAUAAUAUUAUUAUGCAUAUAGACAUAGAGCAUAUCUAAAUACAUAACAAAGUUUAUAAAUUUAAGAAUGUCAAAACGACCUAUAAUUUGGAACAAAGUGAGUAGUAGUAUGGUCUAGGUACGUGGCACACAUGCUGGAUCUCGAUUAGGUAGAGAUGAAUAGGUUUUCAGGCUUUGCCAUCUUUCUCCCCACGGGAAAUCUUGAGAACAAUCGGGAAUCUAAGAAUGUUAAAACGACCUAUAAUUUGGAACGGAGUGAGCGGUAGUAUGGUCUAGGUACAUGGCACACAUGCUAGAUCUCGAUUAGGUAGAGAUGAAUAGGUUUUCAGGCUCUGCCGUCUUUCUCCCCGCGGGAAAUCUUGAGAACAGCCGGGAUGUGGGUGUCCAGCAAAUACAAUUCCCAAUUGACGCAGUUGGGAUCGAAGUUACAUAUGUAGCCGUCACCCUGGCUGGCGCCUGACGUCCUCCACAGCUUCCUGAGGUUCGUGUCAUCAAAGCUUCACAAAGAAUCAAUGUAAGAGAGGGCAAAAAGUUAAUCAGUACUCUCGCAAGUAAUCCAAGGACUCAUCCGAAACACUUUCCUUAAUUUUCUUAACAAUGGAGGAAGUGUAUGUUGAGCUGCUGUUUAAAUUUGUUUGUGGGAUUGAUUAACCUUCUUUUUGUUGGAAAUUUUUCAUUGCUGCACCGCGUGACAAGAUUUUGCAUAUUCUAUUUGUAACCUUUUGAAAGAUGCAAUGUACUGUAUAAGCGUAGGUUCAGGCUUUAUCGACCUAUAUUCAAAUUAACGUGUAAAUUAAAACGGAACCACAAUACACUAUUAGAACAAAAGAUGUUUUAGAAUAACUUUCCUAAAUCUCACCAUGCCUUGAAGAAGGCAAACGGGGCAUACAACUUGGCCAGAAUCAUGAAGUAGUUGUAAUUUCGGUUGAUCAGCUUGUUGUGGAACUCCGUGAACAACCCACCAAGUACUAAGUUCACCAGCACGAGCAGCUCGAUGAAAUGUUGUUUGUUCGUGGCGUGCGUGUUCGUUGCCGCCGAGAUUGAGGAGUGCCGACGCCGUCGCAGUUCGACGCCGACGGCUACGAUUAUUCCUGCCCAGCGUCCAACUUCGAGAUUGAGCUGCUCGUGCUGCCCACGCCGUGGUGGUGCAUUGGCGCUUCAGCUUCAUCCCCUGCAUCUCCUCGCAGCUCCACCCGCAUGGCGGCGCCGGCACCCAGCUCACCCGAGGUUUGCUGCGGCAGGGUCCGCUGUGGCUGUUCUCAUGAUGCACGAAUUUCUCCCCAAUCAUCCGCAGCACGUCCGACACCCCAAUCUCGCAAAAUCCAACGAAAAUAAAUCCCUGUCGGUGGCGGUACGUUAUUAGAAAAUAAUAAAAAAAAGACUUGCUCAAGAAAUAAAUGUGACACUCGCUAGUGAAUGGGAUAGGUAACAUGGCCAUCGAUGACUCCCGUCCUGGCACGUACGUAUAGCUAGUAACAUCGGUUGCGCACAGCGCACGUAUUCUCUCCUUUUACUUCCAAGUGUAUACAAACGGCAAGAAUGGAACUCGGGCGCACACGGCAGGUAAUUAAACAUAUAUGGGGAAGGACGAAGGACACGAGGUACUAAUGUUUUAUGUGCUGAAACAACUCGAGUAAAGCACAAACAUGCAAGUAGGAUAUCAUCUUUUAUUUUAUUCUAUAUCUUUUUCCUUUUGUUUUACAACCAUGUCCUUGGUACAUACCGUUUAUACUUCAUAUCUAAAAAUAGCUCGAUUUAGAAGGUAACGCUUGUAAAGUACAAUAUAAAUUGUUUAUACUACCUCCGUUCAUUUAUAUAUGACGCUGGCUUGCUCAAAUUUAAACUGAUCAACGUCAUAUAUAAAUGAAUUAAGGAAUAUAUAAGUAGCUAGGUUUAUUCAAGCCUUUGCAUGAGUUUUCCACCCAACCACCGCCAUAUAGUGCAAUAUCAUGAUAGCAAGGACCUCCUUCGCGCAAAGAUCAACCGAUACAUAUCAUGCAGUGCCUUCUUUCUUCAUGUGGGCUGCCACCUUGAGAACAGCCGGGAUGUGGGUGUUGAACAUAUACAUUCUCCAGUUGAUGCAAUUGGGAUCAAAGUUGAACACGGAUCCAUCACCAUGCCCUUUCCCUGUCGUCCCCCGCAGCAUUCUCAGGUUCGUGUCGUCAAAGCUUCACACAUAGAUUCAAUCAGGAGAAAAAGAAAUACAACUAUCAUUACAGGUGGUGUACGAUAUACAUAGAGAUGGAUGUGUUGAACGUCUGUCUAUUCAAGUACCUUUUUUUGAGUCGGACCUUAGUCCUGCGUCUAAAUAAUGGACAGCUGCGUGUAAUAAUGGACAGGUAUAUGCAUCAAUCGAUCGAUGCAGAGGCUAAGAAAAUAUGAUACAGAGAGAAUCACUGCAUGGGCAUCGAUCUCUCUUAGUACUGCUUAUAUUUGCUAUGUUAACUGCUGUAUAGAUUUUUCUUUUGCUGGCAUGCUUCAUGUAUGCCUAGGGAUAAUAGUUAUUUGCAAACUGUUUUAAUGAUCCGAUUGCAUCUGCAACGAUUAAACAUGUAGCUGUUCAAAUCGUGAGCGAUUGCAACGCGAUGGUGUGUAUAUAAGGUGAUAUCCACUCCUGAAAACUCAGAUAUGCUCUACGCAGUACAUCUCAACUUAAUCAUCAGGUCAUAUUCAAAUCUAAGCCGAAUGAACUACGAAGAGGAAAAAUGAUAAUAAGAUAGUUUGUAAAGCUCACCAUCCCUUGAAGAAGACGUAUGGGGCAUAAAGCUUGGCCAUAAAUAUCAAGCAAUUCAAGCUCCUGUUGAGUUUAUUGUGAUACUCUGUGAAGCGCCCACAAAGUAAUAGACGAUUCGCUAGAUAAAGCACCUAAGAUAUUUCCAAGUGAUCACCACAUGAGCUAAAUGGAGCAGGGUAUUAAAUUGUGUUCAAAAUUAACCCUAUACAAGAAAGAGAAAUGAGCACCUGGAGUCGUGUCUUGUAUGCUAGAACCAUAUAUGCAUGGAAAUAUGCAUAUCUACUGAACAGCAUAGGCCUUUCAUGUUGAAUGGUCCUCUUGUCGUCCCCCACACGAGGAUUGAUCAAGCAGUACCCAUAUACUGAUUCCUCUAGAAGAUUGCAUGACAGUGGAUUUUGGAGUGCUGAGGUCACAUGGUAGACUACUUGAGUUCCCGAACAGUCGUAGUGAGUGGCCAUGGCUACCAUUGUAGCAUUAACCACCAUGUCUCCCGGUAUCUGUCAAAUUUAAGCAUGCAUUUUCUUGGGAUUAUUAAGUUUACAUACAACAAUAUAUAUAUUGUUGUAAUUAUUGAAUUUCCUGUUCUAACAUGUUGCAGAUAUAUGAUGAUCACCGACCGAAUCAAGUACGUGACCGCCUAUGAAACACGGAAGUUUUUGCUCGUAGGAAGCAGCAAUCAUAACAUCCAUUGUCCUGCAACCAAAAAUAGUAGCAUGUAGUGGAAAUCGUUCGACAUACUUUACUUACUAAUUAUUUUUUGCUUGGGAUUUUUUUUAUUUUUCUCCCCACCGGUGGGGGAAAAUUGGAUCCAUUGUUUUCUUGAAUAUGCACAUAACUUGAAUCUGGAAUUAUGUGAUCGAGCCCGUAAAUGUGUGUAUACAAUAUAAAUCUUGCCCCCACCCACAAAAAAAACAAAAAA
Molecule: long non-coding RNA, 91073 nt
Filed under: Setaria viridis
Lineage: Eukaryota; Viridiplantae; Streptophyta; Magnoliopsida; Poales; Poaceae
Description: long non-coding RNA (SVIR_LNC002343)
Rfam family: tRNA (bases 16944-17016)
Source: RNAcentral